CUUGUGCUUUUCGCUUCCAGAAACCUUUCCAUUCCUAAUGAUUUCCCAAUCUUGGCGGGAAAACAUAUUCUCUGGUUUUCCGGAUACAACGCUGGAUUUAGGAAAGAAAUUCUGAGUGUUCCACCAGUAGGUUAACCAAGGUAUAUAGUGAGCAGCUCGAAGCGCCCAUUGAUCCUGCGGAGGUUGCUUCUUAUAGGCAUAAGAUGACAAGUUGGCAGGAAGUCCUGGCCACCAGUAGUUGAUCACCGGAGCGAUCAGCACUGCUCCUGCUAGCCUGUUGUAAUAGGCAUCUCAAACACAUCGAACUUUAGAGAAAAAAUUUCAGUACCGAACGAUGCAUACCGAAGGAGGCUUCUUGUAAAAUCUUACCUAUGAGGGAUGUACUGAAGACACUUCCAGAUGCACUGUCCUCCCAUUGAGUAUCCAAUCACAUAAAAUUUGGAUCCGAGUUCCAGCUGAUCACCAAGCUCCUCUAUAUCUAACGCCAAGCUCUUCGUUGUUCGCUUAGGAUCCGGAUCACUUUCACCGUACCCUGGUCUGUCGAAAGACACAAUGUACACACCUAAAUCUUCAAUAACUUCCUGAGAAAAAAAAAAAAAAAAACAUCCGCCACGAAAUCAACCAAAAUAGAGUUGAACUGAAGAAUGACAGAGAACCAAUCAAGGUAGUACCGGAGAGACAGAUGUUGCAAUGACUGGAUCAUGUCGGGAAGUACCGAAGGGAUGAACAAAGAUAAUCUUAUACUUGGCCACUUGUUUUGGAACACCAUGUUCCUUGUAGGCCAAAAAUCUUCCAUCCCUUAGCCUUAUUCUAGGCGCUGUGACAGGUGGACCGCCAGGCGAACCACAGAUGUUCGGAGGGGGUGGUCGGGCGGCCUGAUGUGCCCACGCCAGCAAUCCAACCAACAAGAUGAAUGCGAUCCUGUUAAACAUCAUUGAGAAGAUGAAGUAUGGAGCUUUGCUCAACUGCAGUGAAGAAGCAAAUACAAAAAUAACAUUACACUUGAGGACAUUAUAUAAUAAGUUCUAAUUUUGCCUCAAUUGGAUCACUCCAAUUUUUAAGAGCUCAAAUAAAAAUGGUGUAAUGUAUAAACAAUACAAAUACAAACACACUUUUCAUUUAUCGAAAAUGAUAUUCUAAUAUCUAAACAACAAGAGACGGAUUCCAAUAUUUAAGAGAACGCGGUGUUCUAACCAACUAGGUUAUACUAAUUGUUUCUAUAGCGAACACAAUCAAUAAAUAAGUUGGAAAUUAAAAGAUGCACUCCUUUGUUUAACCGAAACCACAAGAAAAGAAAAUCAUAUGCACAUAAAAAAUCAUACUUCCUAAUGUGCUUUUUUGGAAAAAACUUACCACCAAUGCUCCUCCCUCUGAUAUUUAUAUGUUUAUGCAGAAGAAAAUGGCAGAAACAGGCUGAGUGAGCAGCUGCUUUUAGCUUUAGUGUGGUGCUGAAGCUGCCGGUGUCGGUGGGCUGCUUGUUUUCGUAUUGACAAACGAAGAAGAUAGAGAAGUCAUGAAGAAAAUUCGUCCAUCACAAUGAUGAGAAGUCAGAAAGAUGAGAAGGGAUAUAGUUUUGUUAGACAUUUUUAAUUCAUUAUGGUGUUUGGUAUCGCGUUCCACCUAACACAAGUUACACAACCAGCCACACAGAAAAAUCCAUCCACUGAUGAUUUUGGCAUACCUUCCCGGCUUUCCUUUUCACCUUUUUUAUCUUUUUCUGUAUUGGAACUUUUAUGAGUCAUCAGUCAUCAGACCCAUCACAAAUGUGGUAUUAAUGCAAUGUCAUUACAGCAUCUCUAAACAUGGUGUAAAAACAACUAAAAUUUUAUUUUAAUGAGUCAAAUUUAAAAAUAAUAUUGUUGUAGCAAAAAGCUGUCUUUAGUCUUGACGAAUUUGAUCAAGGUCAAAGCCACACACGCGCCCACGAGUUGGGGGUUUAGCCAAUAGAUCUCUGAUGCUUAAUCUGAAAAGAGUGAGUUUUUAGAGCUUGAGUGUGUAGCAAAAGCUUACCAGAAAAUGGUGUAGAUGCAGUAUUUAUGGGAAGAUGGGUAGUCAUAAUGUUAGGAUUUUUCCUUACACAUGACGGUUUCCCAUUGGCCAAGGUGUGAUAUUCAUAGGAUGGAUAAGAAAAGAAUUAUCCCGAAGAUAUUAACUAUGAGAUAAUACCUUGGGAUUAUCAAGUAUCUUUGAUUGCUUCUGAUGAGAAUUCCUUGCCUGUUUGAGUUGAUUUUCAAUUAGGAAUGUAUUAACGAUAGAAUUUGGUGACUAAUCCUAUCAUUAAUGUAUUUAACUUUUCCAUGUUACGACAGGAAACUUGGUGAUGUUGUAUUCAGCAGCUCAAUUCUCUAGGGAUAUUGAACUGCAUGUGUGAAUAUUUGUGGGCCCUACCCAUUAAUGAGGGCUUUAUUGUAUUUUUUUGGAAAAAAAAGUCACAUGUUUUUUCUAGAAUUUUUAGAAUUAUUUUUUGCUCCACACACAUCUCUAAUAGACUAUAUAAAAAAGUCUUUAUUAUAACAUAAGGAAUAGUCACUUUUCAAAUUUAUAGAGUAAUUGUCCAUCAGCUAAAUAUUUAAAAAAUAAAAUUAAAAGUUGACCCUUGAGCAACGAAAAAAGAAAGAAAUAGAAGACUGUUGUAGAAAUGGUUUUUUACACAAGUACCACUUGAACUUGUAAGCAUGUGCGAUAAUAAUACCUAAACUUUCAAUUUUUAUUUGUUACCACCUGGACCCUCUUAAGUGUUGGAAUGUACCACCUACGUUACUUUUCAUCCAUUCUACUGUUAAAACAUGUCACCUGAAGAGAUUUUUUUCAUCAAUUAACUUCAUGCGGCUAUUUAGAAUCAAUAUGCUCCAAAAUAAUAGUGUCUGAGUUAAUAUUGCGCUAAAAUUGGGGGUUUGUAUAACUCCAGUUUGGCAAUUCCCUUUAUAAAAGUUAGAAAAAUUCAUAUUUGUAUAAAUUAAGAUAAAUCACACACCCACUUGCUGAUCCAAAAAAAAAAAAAAAAAAGUGAAAAUACAUUGUAAAUGAAAGACUAGAUUUUGUACAAUAUUUCUACUUCAAUUCUUCAACAGUCCUUGCCAAAAUCAAAUCAGAAAUCAACUUCUUCCUUUCUCUUGAUGACCUAACUCCAAGUCCGCUAAAAAUUCGCCUUUUGCCUUUGUACAAAUUGACAAUAGUGAUCCCUAAAAAGUGAAUUGACAAAAAUAUCCCUCCAUGUGAAGAGCGCGUGAAAUAUUUUAACGGAAAAAUAGAUGAAAAGUAAUGUAGGUGGUAGGUUCUAAAAAUUAAGAGUGUCUAGGUGGUAAAAAAUAAAAAUGAAAGUUCAUGUGGUACUUGUACAAAAUCCUCCAAAUAAGAAUAAAUGAGUUGGGGUUGAAUUGUUAAUAAAAAAAAUAUUCAAAGUUUGUUAAAAUAAAGAGUGUUGUUGGAGAUGGAAAGUUAAACUAAAUAGCUAAAAUAGUUUUUUGGCACUUUUGACUUGCUAGUUAAUAAAAAUUUAGAGCUUUUUAUAGACAUGUUAUAGUGCUAGAGCAUCUUCAAGAGACUUUUUAAUAUAACUAGUGGCGGAUCCAAAAUUCUACCAUCGGGUGGCCCUAAUCAAGGCACACUAGGAUAGGCGCUACUUAGGUGGUGGGUUGCGGCCUCGCGCCUGUGCGCUUAGAUGGGGCCUAGGCAAACUAGGCAGAUUUAAAUAAAUUUAAUAUAUAACAUAUAAUAAGUGCCCAUUUACACUUUAAAAAACUAUACUUAUGAUUAGGAUUUGAGUUUAUUAUUUUAAAUAGGUUUAUUAUUUGACAUAUAACAUACAAAAACAUCAGAAUUUUUGCUUUAGUAAUUUAGUGAAUUAGAUGGUAUGAGAUGAAAGUUUAAGUGAUUACGUGACGCAAUAUUUUACGAAAUAUUUUUUCAAAUGUCGUAUGUAUAAUGAAUUUUAAAAGAAAUAACUGUAUCAAACACGUGUUAUAAAAAAUAUUGAUUUAGUAAUCCACCAUCUGUUGUAAAUAGUGGGUAUGUUUGCCCACAUGUGUAUAGUAAAGUACCACAUGUGUAUAGUAAUGUGUAUAGUAAAUACUCAUAUGCAUAUAGUAAGCCUUUCACUAUGUUGCUUGUGAUUUGCUUCUAUAAAAGCAAGUCUUAUGGAACACAACAAAAGAUUUAGGAGAUGAAAAAAGCAAGUCUUAUGGAACACAACAAAAGAUUUAGGAGACGAAGGUGAGAGGUUCAUGGGAGAGAUAGGAAGAAUAAAAGGAAGAGAGAAAAGAGAGAAAGAGGAGAGGAGAUAAUAGAGAGAGUUAUCUUUGUACUCUUAUUAUUUCAGAUUAUAAUGAAAACACCACCGCUGCCCCGAUGACGUACUCCAGUCACACUGAUUGUAGAGGAACCUCGUAAAUUUUGUGUCUUGUUUCAUUUAUUCCACUGCACACGCCGUCGAUUUUACAACACAUUAUCAACACGAGAAGCUCUCGUGUCAGUAGAAAGCACAACAUCACAAAUCUUGUUCAUCUCUAUCGCCUGAAAUCUCACAGAUAAGAAAAUCUUUUCAUUUUAUCUUAAAAUCUUUGUACUACUGAUUUUCUUGAAGCAAAUAUAUAUAUAUAUUGUUGUAUGACUGUAUAUCAUCAUUUGCAGAAGCAAAAGAGUACAAACUCAAAAAUUCGUAGAGAAUCUAACAGUCAUGUAAACAGCCUCGGAACUCCAACUUGCGGACCUCGGAUUGAAAUAUUUUCUUCUUCAAAGUUGUUUGUCUGCUCAAUAUCUACAACAUAUCAAAAUUUCAGAAAACUUUAACGGUGCGAUUGUCGCAGAUGUCUGAAAUACCAAACCAGUUUCCAAUUUCCGCAGAAAACUGGACAGCCACCUUAUGAGUACCAAAACUCUAUUUCGGUAGCUCAGAUUGAAAUUGUUUUUUCAUGAAAGUUGUUCGGUAUCCUCUUAUCCAUAUCAUACUAAAAUUUGACCUAAAUCUAACGGUUUGAUUUUCGCAUAAGUUGCAGACACUCUUGACUCCAAAACUUAUGGGAACCAUUUCGACUUUUUCGAAACUCAUCGGAGGAGGAACACCAAUUGGAACCUAUUGUUACUAUUAUUUCCUGAGUAACCAAAAUGACUUCAGAACUGUGAAAUGAAAACAAAAAUAAAAAGGGAAAUGGGGCCAAAGCUCUUGGAAAGGUGCGUUGCACCAUGUGAAAGAAAAAAAAAAGGACAAAGUUCUUGGAAUGUUGCAACAUGUGAAUGAAUAAGAAAAUAAUAAUAAUAAAAAUAGAUAAAGGCUUUUGGAUGGUGUUGCACCAUCUGAAAAGAAAGGAGAAACAAUAUAUUUAUUUAUGUGAAUGGUGUUGGCUUAAAACACUUUCACAAGUUCUUUUUACUUUAAAGCAAUUUAUUUACCAUGGACGGUUUUACCGCCCAUUGCUUUAAAUUUUGAUGGUGCUAAAUUAAAGCCUUUGUCACAAGUUUUAUUUACUUAAAUGCAAUUUAUUCAAUAUGGCUGGAAUUACCGCCUAUCGCUUUAAUUUAUUUAUUGCACUUAUCUUUUGUUACAAUGAGUAUAUAUAGGACCUAAAGUUCAUUGGUCAGAUCAGAACCUGCAGUUUCUUGAUCCUCAUCAUAUAAAAAUGAUUGGACCUGAAGUUCCAUCACGCAAAAAGAUCAGGUAUGAAGUCCCUUGAUCCUGAAGAUCAGGACAUGAAGUUCCUAGAUGAGUACCGUAAGUUUGAAGUGCCGCAGUGCCUUAACUUAAUUGUAAUAAAAGCGAUAAGAGUUUCAGUUUACAAACUAUUAAAUAAGGACCAGAAGUUCCUUAUGUCCAUACUCAAAAUGGUUUAGCAGAAGCCUUUAUUAAGCUGAUGAAAUUGAUUACGCGCGCUCUGCUCAUGAAAACGAAAUUGCCAGUUUUCUACAUGGGGACAUGUUAAUUCGGUUGAGACAUGUUACCAACCAUCAAUACUUCUCAGUACAACUCGUGUUUGGGAACCAGCCAAGCAUUAUACUUUUAUGAUUUUUUGGUUGUGUUAUCUAUGUGCCUAUUGCACAGCCACAAUAUAUUAAAAUGAGGCAUCAACACAAACUGGGAAUUUAUGUUGGAUUUGAUUCACCAUUUAUCAUUCAAUACCUAGAACCCUUGACUGGGGAUAUGUUUACCGCGUGGUAUGCGGACUAUGAUUUUGAUAAGAUAGUUAUCCCGCCAUUAGGGAGAGAAAAUAACAUUGUUCUAGAAGAACGAUGAGAAAAUAUCAUUCCAGAAGAAUGAUAAGAAGAGACCGUUCCAGAAGAACGAAGAGAAUUUGUCUUAUUUUGAUUCAUGAAGCAAUCAAUGAGAAAAUGAAAUAGGAAUGAUUAAAUGAUGCAACGAAAGUGAUGAAAUCACAUAUAUUUGCUGCAAAUGUGCCUACAAAAAUUGAUGUCCUUGUUGGACAAUAUAAUGAGGCUGUAAAUGAUUUCUCUGUUGCACGCCUGAAGCGUGGCAAACCCUUAGACUCAAAAGGUUCAGUCAUUUGAAAGAAGAAGAAUAUGGCAUUACUGAACUAUUGCAUUCUUGUAACAUAACUGUUGCAUGCCAGAAGCAUGACAGUCGUCGCAUGAAUACAUGGUCCAGAAGGACAAUCUGUGGACAUGGGAAUAUUGAUGUCUCAUGCAUGUAGUAUGAUAGACGUAUAGGUUCCAAUGACUUAACUCCCCAAAAGUGGAGAUUAAAAUCCAAGCUCUAUAACGCUCAAGAGGAGGUUAUGAUCUGCAUUCUUUAAAUUAUGACUAUCCUGGAAAAGAUAGUGUAAUAGCCUUGAAGAGGCAAUGGAUAUCCAAAUAAAUAAAAAGCUUUUAUGCAUGCGCAUGCACAUGAGAAUAUGGGAUCACAGAUUGAUGAUAACCAAUGACAAUGUUGGUUUUGACAAGUAGCUACUAAAUUCAUCAAUGAGCUGUGUUGAUAUUGAGUCCCGUUCUUUUGCGUCAACAAAAUUAUUGGCCAAUAAUGGAGAAAGGCAAUUCCAUUACAAUUUUGUAAGAACGUGGAAAAAUGGAUCUAUAUAUUUGAAUAUAAUACAAAUAGCCAAAAGAUGUUGAACCAAGGAGGUUACAUUGGGCAUUUGUAAUAUAGUGAAAUACACUCACAUGAUAUGACACAAGGUAUUGAAACCUGAAAUUAUACUCUUGUAAACGAGUUCAUAUGAAUGGAGAAUUAUAUACGAAGGGUUGUGAGUCGCCCACAUCAUAUCUCCAUAAGUAUCUUAAGUAUACAUGGAAGCAAAUUGCUCUAUAUAAAUUCCAAAGGAAAAUGUGUCAUGAAGUGUAGAAAAUCCCUGAAGGAUUCAAAUUGCUUAAAGUAAGCCCCCGAAGGGUAAAGCAUAAAAUAUGUUCUUAAUACCAAUGAAUGGUAUAAAUUACCUUAGUAAGUACUAUCAUUAUGAUAUUGUUGCAACCUCUUGCAAAAGGUUGAUGAUAUUAAAUUAGAACUCUUGAAGAGUUGAUAAUAUUAAAUUGGGACUCCUGAAGAGUCUAGAAAAAUUAUAAAGUGUUGAAGGAAUUAUUGUCUCGAGCUGCAGAUCGAACAAUAGACCAACACGAAUCUUAUCCAUGAUGUUUAUGAUAUUAAAAGAACCAUAUGGAUUGAAGAUUAUGAGUUGAAUACUCAAAUGAUGUAGACACUAAGAAUUAUCAUUUAUCUUUGUGAGGGUAAAGAUAAAUUAAUAUUGGUCCAGAAGUACCACAUCUUAGUGAAGUAUAUGCUUUAUUGUAUUUGACACAAUACAUUGAAUGAAAUAAAGCUUAUCUAUUAAUAUCUCCGAGAAAUUACAGAUAUGUACAUACACAUGAGUUAAAACAAACAAACAGGAUGGAGCCUUUACAAAGGUUGCUCAUGUGAAGCCUCAUUACUCGGAAGUACCCCAGAAGGGGGAGACACUGGAGAUUGAUCAUGUGGCACCCCAGUACUUAGCAAAACACCAGAAGGGGAAGGCAUCAGUUGUUUUCGGAAUCUAGCAACGAACCUCUGGUGAUCACUUUGAAUCCGACUUUCGGAUUCUUGCAGCUGAUCGAGCUUUCUUUUCAUGCUCGUCGAGUAAUUAUUUGCAAGCACGUGUAACAUUCUAUUCUCGUGCUUGAGCCAUCUGAUCUCUUGUUUAAGACUUGCCACCUCAGCCAUCAAUGAUUCAACUUGGCGAGUUUGAGCAAGUAGGCGUUGACCCAUAUUGGAAACAGAGCCAGCACACUGAACACUGAGAGCCAAGGAGUUUUGAAUGGCAAACUCAUCAGACCGUUUUGAAAGGAUCUUGUUAUCCUUUGGAGUGAGAAGAUUCCUAGCUACCACAGUAGCGGUUAUGUUAUUCUUCAUCACAUAGUCCCUAGCCGUAAGAGGACCAUUAAAAGAUAAGAAGGACGGGCGCCAUAUAUUAUCUUGACGCUGCUCGUCUGUAUCACUCCUAAGACUCAAAUCUAAGCAAAUGUUAGAUGAGCAAGUCAUUUUCAGAAAUGAUGAAGAAAAAAAAGAGGUCAAAUAAAAUUUCAGAAGUGCAAGAUGAGGGAAAUUUCUACAGGUAGCAACUUUUUGAGCAUACUCUUGAACACAAUUGAUGUCUCUAUAAAAGAAGAGGCAGCAGAGCCACUUGUUCAGAGAUCGAAGAGGCACCGCUCUCCGAAUUUCAAAAGCCAGAUUUUCCUAAAUAAAGUUCGUUGGCAUUUUUCAGACGCAAUCUCAGCUUUUUCGGAUAUCGCAUGCAAUUUUGUCAAAGAUCUCUGACAAAGUUGAAAACGUGUAAAUCUUACUGUUCUAAUUACACCACAGUUGCUGACAAGAGUAAAGGCACAACACCACCACUUGCUAUUGGGAAAUCUCUAUAUAUGUCGACCUUCGUUCUCCAUAACAAGGCAGACCAGCAAGCAUGUCCAACUCUUCAUCAUCUCCAAGAAUGCAUCUUCAAUAAAGCAUCUCGAAAUACUCAGUUUUCUUCCUCUCCGAGAAUACCUCUUCAAACAAGUCGCACCAGAGCAAGAUUAUCUCAUAUCUUCAGGGACGAGAGCAAAAGUAGUCAUCUUCAACUGUUGUUGGAGCUGGGUCUCUAGUCACCAAGAAAUGAUGAACCAUACAAAUGCAAGGGUUUGCAUUCCACUCCUGCAUCAGGGGACAAAUCCUUCAAGAGAAGAUGCCACACAUGUAGGGGGAAAACCGGAGAAAAUGCUACUUAAGCAAGGGGAGCAAGUAAGGCAAGUGAAAAUGAUACAUUGAAGCAUGUGGAGACAAGCGCAACAAACACGUGCUGAUUCAUCCCCGACAAAGCUGAAUAUCACUUGCCACGUGAAGCUCUUCACGAUACAACUUCAUUCAAGAUCAAGCCUCGAAGGUCCUUGAAGAAAUCACAAGUUUGAUUCAAGAUCAAGUGUCUACGACCCUUGAAUUAAAUUUAGCUCCAGAUAAAAGAAGUAAAUUCAGACAUUUGGAGCAAGUUUAGCAGAAGGCCCUCCAGCCCAGUUCAAGAACAAGUCUGUGGAAAGUUAACAACAAGUAAAGUACCUAUUUCGGCAACUCUUUUUACUAAGAGACUGAAGCAAAAUGAUCAACGAUCAGUCUAUAUGAUUUGAAAUCAAGGGGAGAUACUCAUCAGGGGAGCAUCCAAAACAGAUCAAGAUCUUAACGAGUCAAUUGAAGACUUAUGUGGGCAUCCAAGGGGGAGUGUUGUAAAUAGUGGGUAUGUUUGCCCACAUGUGUAUAGUAAAGUACCACAUGUGUAUAGUAAAUACUCACAUGCAUAUAGUAAGCCUUUCACAAUGUUGCUUGUGAUUUGCUUCUAUAAAAGCAAGUCUUAUGGAACACAACAAAAGAUUUGGGAGAUGAAGGUGAGAGGUUCAUGGGAGAGAUAGGAAGAAUAAAAGGAAGAGAGAAAAGAGAGAAGAGGAGAUGAGAUAAUAGAGAGAGUUAUCUUUGUACUCUUAUUAUUUCAGAUUAUAAUGAAAGCACCACUGCUGCCCCGAUGACGUACUCCUGUCACACUGAUUGUAGAGGAACCUCGUAAAUUUUGUGUCUUGUUUCAUUUAUUCCACUGCACACGCCGUCGAUUUUACAACACCAUCUCUUUAUUUAUUAAAAUGAUAUGUGACACAACCUAAUUAGAGAACAAUUAAAAAAAAAAAAAAUUGGGAAGUUGGUCACGUGGGAAAUGGAAAAAGAACGUUUUUCUUCAAAAUGGGGAGUUGGUCACAUGGGAAGUGUAGAGAGAAAGUUUUUCUUCUUUGUUGGAACCAGGUCCAAGAACAGGAGAAUCAUGGCUGUAUUCUCUGUGUUCCUCUUCGUCUGAACUUAGAUACUUCUUCUCAACCCUAAAACUGGAUUGCCGAAGUAAGCUUGAACUCUUUUGUUUCGCAACACCCUAUUCCUUCUCAGGCCUAUUCAAAUGGCUGUAUGGAUAAUGCUUUUAGGCUGAACCGAAGAAUUGGCUUGAAAUGAUUAUCCAAGUUGCUUGCCGUUUGACAGUUUCUGUUGCUUGUUUCAUGCAUUGGUAACUUAUUUUUUGUUCUUUAUUCCAAUUAUGGUCUUUCUAUUCAUUAUCUUUGACACAAUAAUGAAUAAAUUUUCUUUUGUUCAUUCGAAAGUACGGCAUUGCGUCUUUCACUUCUAGCCGGAAUUAGAAAUGGAAGAUUGAUAGAUUUCACUAAAAAUGAUAGCUAGCAGUUAGUACAGGCCAGAAAAUGGUGAUCUGUAGAAGAACUAACAGAGUGGUGCUGGCAUGUACAAAGUUUGAUUUUGGUCUCUGUAGUGUAUUUUUUAAAUUAUUAUUAGCGGGAGGGGGAGGUUCAAAACUAUUAUAAUAAUUUGAGGAAAGGGGGAGCUUUGAGCCCUAGAUGCAUAGGUGGAAAUCCAACAUCCUAUUACUAGGAUAUAUUGGACCACAUGCAGGUAUUACAUGGGUGGAAAUUCCAACCCCUUGUCCCUGUAGUAGUUUCAAUUGUCGGGUUUAUAAAGAGAUGCUUUACCUUGCGGGUGUUACAUUUGCACGAAUCGCAUUGCAUCUGUAUUUUGUGUAGUUCCAACUUUGCUGGAUUUAACCAUAAAAAUGGCCUGAGAUAUGGAACAUCAUACAACUAAUUUUGAAUCGACUCUCAUUAUUUCCUCUAUUUGAAUUGUAACAUUACAAAUAUUUGUCUUGGAACAUAAUUUGGAUAUAAUGUAGCAUCUCUGAGAGAGCUGCCCUGUAUCGACGACGUCAAUGGUCUACUCUUUAAUUAGAAGUGCCUUUAAGAUGACUUCACUCAUACCAUCUACAGCUGGCAACAAAUGUCCACCACCUGGUAACUCAUGGUAGUGAAUCCAUGGAAGCUUUUCGGCAAUAUAGCGUUGCAGCUCAACUGGGACAAGCUUAUCUUCGUCACCCUGCCAUAGAUGGACCGAGCCUUCGUUGUUGACAAAAGGGUUCUUCAGAUCCGUAGGAUCAAAUUCCCAGCUCCCAAAUCCAAUUAUGAUGUCGCGAAAGAUGGACUCAGCUUCUCCUCGCUGCGUGACAUGUUCCUGCCCAAACAAAUAACAAAACAAAACAAAAAUCAUCAACGCUGCCGAGUUUCUAUAAAAUCGUAAACAAUUAGCGAUCGAAUAAGGAAAGUACCUUGUGCUUUUCUCUUCCACAAACCUUUGCAUUCCUAAUGGUUUCCCAAUCUUGGCGGGAAAACAUAUUCUCUACUUUCCCGGAUAAAACGCUGUGUUUAGGAAAGAAAUUCUGAGUGUUCCACAAGUAGGUUAACCAAGGUAUAUAGUGAGCAGCUCGAAGCGCCCAUUGAUCAUGUCGAGCUUGCUUCUUAUAGGCAUAAGAUGACAGGUUGGCAGGAAGUCCUGGCCACCAGUAGUUGAUCACUAGAAUUCGGUGUUCUAACCAACAUGGUUAUACUAGUUGUUUCUAUAGCGAACACAAUCAAUAAAUAAGUUGGAAAUAAAAAGAUGCACUCCUUUGUUUAACCGAAACCACAAGAAAAGAGAUCAUAUGCACAUAAAAAAUCAUACUUCCUAAUGUGCUUUUUUGGUAAAAACUUACGACCAACGCUCCUCCCUCUGAUAAUUAUAUGUUUAUGCAGAAGAAAAUGGCAGAAACAGGCUGAGUGAGCAGCUGCUUUUAGCUUUUGUGUGGUGCUGAAGCUGCCGGUGUCGGUGGACUGCUUGUUUUCGUAUUGACAAACGAAGAAGAUAGAGAAGCCAUGAAGAAAAUUCAUCCAUGACAAUGUUGAGAAAUCAGAAAGAUGAGAAGGGAUAUAGUUUUGUUAGACAUUUUUAAUUCGUUGUGGUGUUUGGUAUCGCGUUCCACCUAACACAAGUUACACAACCAGCCACACAGAAAAAUCCAUCCACUGAUGAUUUUGGCAUACCUUCCCAGCUUUCCUUUUCACCUUUUUAUCUUUUUCUGUAUUGGAACUUUUAUGAGUCAUCAGUCAUCAGACCCAUCAUAAAUGUGGUAUUAAUGCAAUGCCAUUACAGCAUCUCUAAACAUAUUGUAAAAACAACUAAAAAUUUAUUUUAAUGAGUCAAAUUUAAAAAUAAUAUCGUUGUAGCAUAAAGUUAUCUUCAGUCUUGACGAAUUUGAUCAAGGUCAAAGCCACAAACGCGCCCACAAGGUGGGGGUUUAGCCAAUAGAUCUCUGAUGCCUAAUCUGAAAAGAGCGAGUUAUUAGAGUUUAAGUGCGCAGCAAAAGCUUACUAGAAAAUGGUGUAGAUGCAGUAUUUAUAGGAAGGUAAGCAGUCAUAAGGUUAGGAUUUUUCCUUGCACAUGACGGUUUCCAAUUGGCUAAGGUGUGAUAUCCAUAGGAUGGAUAAGGAAAGAAUUAUCCCGAAGAUAUUAACUAUGAGAUAAUACCUUGGGAUUACCUCAAAAUAUUUCCCGUGUGAAGAUUUGAGGAUACGGCGCAUCACUAUUCGUCCAGGAUGUCCCAAACGAUCAUGGCAAAGUGUAAUUUCGUGCGCGGUCCCAGUAGUAGGGCCGGCCACAUAGUGGCAUUCUAUGGGGCGUAUGGUCGUAGUAUACAAAUCACUCGGGAUGCGCUUAAUCUUUUCUAGAAUACGCUUCUGGCCAUAUUCGUAGGAAGUUAUGCAUAGAAAUUCAACUCCGUUUUCUAGGUGGGUUUCAGUGUGGUAAUUGUUAUAUCUAAUGUCCUUGAAACUAACAACGUUCUUCUGGAACGUGGAGAGUAGAGUGCCUCAGAAAUGGUCAAGAUUGUACCAUUAGAUAACAUUAUAUGUGCCUUACCGUAUCCUUCUAUCAGGUUGAAGGGGUCUGAGAGGGUUGUCAGAGGUGCAUUCUUAGGUAUGAAGUUAGUGAAAUAGAUGCGUUCACGCAAAGCUAUGUGCGUGGUUGCACUAUCUGCCAGACAACUAAAUUCCCACUAGUUAUACUUAGAAUGAAAAAUUAAUUUGAAUCGGUCACUUGCAAAAUUUUUUAUAAAAAACAGUUAUCAAUUUAAAAUAAUUACAUUUAUUCAAGGAUAAAACUUAAUAUCCAAAACAAACACCAACCAAUAAUCCAAACAUAAAGGAAAAUUGUUCAAAAAUCAACCAAAAACAUGUCACGCAUAAAGGAAAUAAUCUCAUUAUUUCCUCUAUUUGAAUUGUAACAUUACAAAUAUUUGUCUUGGAACAUAAUUUGGAUAUAAUGUAGCAUCUCUGAGAGAGCUGCCCUGUAUCGACGACGUCAAUGGUCUACUCUUUAAUUAGAAGUGCCUUUAAGAUGACUUCACUCAUACCAUCGGCAGCGGGCAACCAAUGUCCACUACCUGGUAACUCAUGGUAGUGAAUCCAUGGAAGCUUUUCGGCAAUAUAGCGUUGCAGCUCAACCGGAACAAGCUUAUCUUCGUCACCCUGCCAUAGAUGGACCGAGCCUUCGUUGUUGACAAAAGGAUUCUUCAGAUCCGUAGGAUCAAAUUCCCAGCUCCCAAAUCCAACUAUGAUGUCGCGAAAGAUGGACUCAGCUUCUCCUUGCUGCGUGACAUGUUCCUGCCCAAACAAAUAACAAAACAAAACAAAAAUCAUCAACGCUGCCGAGUUUCUAUAAAAUCCUAAAAAAUUAGCGAUCGAAUAAGGAAAGUACCUUGUGCUUUUCUCUUCCAGAAACAUUUGCAUUCCUAAUGAUUUCCCAAUCUUGGCGGGAAAACAUAUUCUCUGCUUUCCCGGAUACAACGCUGUGUUUAGGAAAGAAAUUCUGAGUGUUCCACCAGUAGGUUAACCAAGGUAUAUAGUGAGCAGCUCGAAGCGCCCAUUGAUCAUGUGGAGCUUGCUUCGUAUAGGCAUAAGAUGACAGGUUGGCAGGCAGUCCUGGCCACCAGUAGUUGAUCACCGGAGCGAUCAGUGCUGCUCCAGCUAGCCUGUCGUAACAGGCAUCCCAAACACAUCGAACUUUAGAGAAAAAUUUCAGUACCGAAUGAUGCAUCAUCAGGUAAUGAGGCUGCUUGCAAAAUCUUACCUAUGAGGGAUGUACUGAAGACACUUCCAAAUGACUUGUCCUCCCAUUGAGAAUCCAAUCACAUAAAAUUUGGAUCCGAGUUCUAGCUGAUCACCAAGCUCCUCUAUAUCUAACGCCAAGCUCUUCGCUGUUCGCUUAGUAUCCGGAUCACUUUCACCGUACCCUGGUCUGUCGAAAGACACAAUGUACACACCUAAAUCUUCAAUAACUUCCUGAUAAAACAAAAAAAAAAAAAAAAAAAAAAACAUCCACCACGAAAUCAACUAAUAUAGAGUCGAACUGAAGAAUGACAGAGAACCAAUCAAGGUAGUACCGGAGAGACAGAUGUUGCAAUGACUGGAUCAUGUCGGGAAGCACCGAAGGGAUGAACAAAGAUAAUCUUAUACUUGGCCACUUGUUUUGGAACACCAUGUUCCUUGUAGGCCAAAAAUCUUCCAUCCCUUAGCCUUAUUCUAGGCGCUGUGACAGGUGGACCGCCAGGCGAACCACAGAUGUUCGGAGGUGGUGGUCGGGCGGCCUGAUACGCCCAUGCCAGCAAUCCAACCAACAAGAUGAAUGCGAUCCUCUUAAACAUCUUUGAGAAUGAAGUAUGAAACUUUGCUCAACUGCAGUAAAGAAGCAAAUACAAAAAUAACAUCACACUUGUGGACAUCAUAUAAUAAGUUUUAAUUUUGGUAUAUUUCCCUCAUUUAUAUUGGAUCACUCUAUUUUUUAUGAGCUCCAACAUAAACAGGACAUCUAAAUCAAACAAACACCAGGAAACAAGGGUAUAAACCAUAAACAAUACAAAUACAAACGCACAUUACAAUUAUCGAAAACGAUACUCUAAUAUCUAAUUCAAGAGACAGGAUUCUAAUAUUUAAGAGAACGCUGUCUUCGAACCAACAUGGUUAUACUAGUUGUUUCUAUAGCGAACACAAUCAAUAAAUAAGUUGGAAAUAAAAAGAUGCACUCCCUUGUUUAACCGAAACCACAAGAAAAGAAAUCAUAUGCACAUAAAAAAUCAUACUUCCUAAUGUGCUUUUUUGGUAAAAACUUACCACCAACGCUCCUCCCUCUCUGAUAAUUAUAUGUUUAUGCAGAAGAAAAUGGCAGAAACAGGCUGAGUGAGCAGCUGAUUUUAGCUUUUGUGUGGUGCUGAAGUGUCGGUGGGCUGCUUGUUUUCGUAUUGACAAACAAAGAAGAUAGAGAAGUCAUGAAGAAAAUUCGUCCAUCACAUUAAUGGGAAGUCAGAAACAUGAGAAGUCAUAUAGUUUUGUUAGACAUUUUUAAUUCAUUGUGGUAUUUGCUAUCGCGUUCCACCUACCAGCCACACAGAAAAAUCCAUCACAAAUGUGGUAUUGGUUAAUGCAAUGCCAUUACAGCAUCUCCAAACAUGUUGUAAAACAACUAAAAUUUUAUUUUAACGAGUCAAAUUUAAAAAUAAUAUUGUUGUAGCUAAAAAUUGUUUUCAGUCUUGACGAAUUUGAUAAAGGUCAAAACCACACACACGCCCACAAGGUGGGGGUUUAGCCAAUAGAUUUCCGAUGCCUAAUCUAAAAAGAGUGAGUUUUUAGAGCUUAAAUGCGUAGCAAAAGCUUACCAGAAAAUAGAGAUGGAGUAUCUAUAGGAAGGUGGGCAGCCAUAAGGUUAGGGUUUUUCCUUUCACAUGACGAUUUCCCAUUGACCAAGGUGUGAUAUCCAUAGGAUGGAUAAGAAAAGAAUGAUCUCGAAGAUAUUAACUAUGAGAUAAUAUCUUGGGAUUAUCAAGUAUCCUUGAUUGCUUGUGAUGAGAAUUCCUUACACUAGUACAAAAAACACUUUGCGCGAUGCAGGUCCUUCGUCGAGCAAAGUUAAAAAAUCGUCGCGCAAACAUUAGAGCAACGAACCUUCGUUGCGCGCCAACCGUCGCGCCAAGGCAGUGACGGAAGGGUUUGUGCGACGAAGAAGUAACCUACGUCGCGCAAAGCCACUUUGCGCGACGCAGGAACAUGCGUCGAGCAAAGUGUCUUUGCGCGACGCAGGUCCCUACGUCGUGCAAAACUACUUUGCGUGACGCUUCUUCGUCGCGCAAAGUUUUUUUUUUUUUUUUUGGUAAACAUAUUUUUUUAUUUAAUUUUUUAUAAAUAUUGUAAUUAAAUUAUAAACAAUAAUUAAGAAACCAAAAAAAAGUAUUUAAUUAUAAAAUAUAUGAAAAUGUACAUACAAGAUGUUCAAACAUAAAAGAAAAAACUAAUUGACCAAAAAAAAAAACAUAAAAGAAAAAACUACAACAAGUAGUCUUCUAGGCUUGAUGCAUGCAUCAGACUACUAAGUAUUGGCUGGUGGUGUAGCCUUGCCACGCUGAUGAAAACCAUUGCCUCUCAGUCUGUUGUAAUCUCCAUCCGUAACUACCUCUGCUUGAACUCCGGCCACCAAAACGCCCCCUUGUGGCGUCAGUUUGGUAACCUCCUCUGCCUCUGCCCCUUCCUCCUGGUUGAAAAAUUCAAAAUCCACAUAAGGAGACCAAAAGUUGAGCAAAUUAAAUGUUAUCUCUAAGGAAAACAGAUGCAUAGAUGCUUAAUAGUUUGGUAGAUCACAUUCUAAAUGCUGGCUAUGCCAAUAAACUCAGUAAGCUCAUGAACAGGACAACAUCUAUAUCUAACGCCAAGCUUUUCGUUGUUCGCUUAGGAUCCGGAUCACUUUCACCGUGCCCUGGUCUGUCGAAAGACACAAUGUACACACCUAAAUCUUCAAUAACUUCCUGAGGAAAGAAAAAAAACACCCACCACGAAAUCAACCAAUAAAGAGUUGAACUGAAAAAUGACAAAGAAUCAAGCAAGGCAGUACCGGAGAGACGGCUGUUGCAAUGAUUGGAUCAUGUCGGGAACUAAAGAAGGGAUGAACAAAGAUAAUCUUGUACUUGGUCACUUGUUUUGGAACACCAUGUUCCUUGUAGGCCAAAAAUCUUCCAUCCCUUAGCCUUAUUCUAGACGCUGUGACGAGUGGACCGCCAGGCGAACCACAGAUGUUCGGAGGUGGUGGUCGGGCGGCCUGAUACGCCCACGCCAGCAAUCCAACCAACAAGAUGAAUGUGAUCCUCUUAAACAUGUUUGAGAAGAUGGAAAGUAUGAAACUUUGCUCACCUGCAGUAAAGAAGCAAAUAGAAAAAUAACAUUACACUAGAGGACAUCAUUGUAUAAUAAGUUUUAAAGUGCUUUUAGAUUUAGGUCCAAAAAUAAGUGGUUUUCGUGAGUGAGUUCAGUAAUCUAAUUACAUGUUUUUAUACUAAUUUUACCCUUUUAGAUAAAAAUAUUUAAAUUCUUUAAUUAGAGAAUACAUUUCCUAAAUAUUAAAAUAAAAAAUCGAUUUACGUGGCAAAUAAUCAAAUGACCAUAUAUUUGAAACUAAAUAUACACCUCUUUUCGUAGGCAUAAAAACAUUAUAAUACAUUUUGAGAAAGGAGAUGAUGAUAUGUGAGAGAAAAGAAAGAUCGAAGAUGUUUGAAGUUUGAAACGUGAGGAACAAAAACACAAAGUUACAAUAAAAUGAGUUGAUUAAAAAGAAAACAAGAAAUAAAAGAGGAGAAUGCUUCCAUGGUGCUUUGGUGCCACCUGUCUCAUAUUUAUUGGGUUGGUUGGAGUGCUUUAAUCAGACUUGACCAAACGAGAUUCAACAAUAAGGGGAUUUCAUUUCUACAUUUAAGAACAAAGCAGUAGCAGAUGCCAUACAAAAAUGAGAAAGAAGAACGAAAAAAAAGAAAAAAAGAAAAGCAAAUUAUUCUCAAGUAAUGGUGAUUCACACUACUCUAUUUAUCAUCGUAAAAUUAGUUUAAAUUUUAAAUAUGUGUAGUAAAUAGAUACAGACUUCAAAAUUUAAAUUCAUCAAACGAUGGUAAAUAAAGUUGUGAGUAUUAUUAUUACUUGAUAAUGAUGAUUUGUGAGCAAAAAUGCACCCAAAAAGAAAUUAUGAAGAUAAAAUGAGCUGUGAGAAGUAGGUCAGGAAGAGAUUUAAUUCCUAAUCACUGAAUUUAUUUCCACAAGUAAACUAUUCUUAAUAAUAGUUUGAAUAAUUAGACUUAUAGCAAGUUUUCUCGAGUUUUUUAAUUUGCUACUUCCCCUCAAUUGAUGAAAGGUUAUUUAAAUCAAACAACAACCAAAAAAAUGGACAAUCAAGUAUAAAGAAAACAAAUACACACACACUUUACUUUUAUAUCGAAAACGAUAUUACAAUAUCAAAACUAUAAGAUGCGGAUUUUAAUAUAUAAGAGAGAUGUUUGUGGCAGGAAUUUCCAUUGGGGAUGUUCCCUGGCCGACGAGCACACAGCUCCCCGAGAGGUCGGCACCGGUUGAUGCUUCCUGUCAGGCUUCUGCUUUACUGGCGGGUUUGUCGGGCAAAGCUUAGUUGGGCAAGGUUUGUCGGGCAAAGCUUGUCGGGCAAAGCUCUUCGGGCAAGGCUAAAAGAGAAGGACAGAGUUAACUUUGAAAGGGUGCCUUUGCGGGGCCUUAGGUGUAGGCCUUGAGGCUCACAAUCAAGAUUAACCUUUCAGUGCUUAGGCGUGCCACUGCCAUCUUCAGCAUGGCAGAUGUAGAACGAAUGUUGAAUUUCAAUUGUAUAUAUAUCCAAGAGACUAUUUUAGUCAUGACGGGUGCCUUUGUGGGGCCUUGGCCUUGAGGCUUCCCGUUCAUAACUAACUUAGUAUUUGAAUAUAUACAUAUGGUUCGUUUCCUUGGUUUAUAUGAGUCUUAUACCCAUUAUACUUCCUGAUUACUUGAGCCCGAGGAGCAGAAUGAAUCCAAAUAGGUGCAUUUGUAGGGCCUUGAAUAGGCCUUGAGGCUUCCCAUCAGAACUCUUUCUAUACUCAAUGUUCUAGCCUGAGGAGCAGAAUGAAUCCAAAUAGGUGCCUUUGUAGGGCCUUGAAUAGGCCUUGAGGCUUCCCAUCAGAACUCAUUCUAUACUCAACAUUCUAGCCCGAUGAGCAGAAUGACUCAACAUUCUAGCCCGAGGAGCAGAAUGAAUCCAAAUAGGUGCCUUUGUAGGACCUUGAAUAGGCCUUGAGGCUUCCCAUCAGAACUCUUUCUAUACUCAACGUUCUAGCCCGAGGAGCAGAAUGAAUCCAAAUAGGUGCCUUUGUAGGGCCUUGAAUAGGCCUUGAGGCUUCCCAUCAGAAUUCAUUCUAUACUCAACGUUCUAGCCCGAGGAGCAGAAUGAAUCCAAAUAGGUGCCUUUGUAGGGCCUUGAAUAGGCCUUGAGGCUUCCCAUCAGAAUUCAUUCUAUACUCAACGUUCUAUAGUAAUCAUAAUAUAAUAGAAAUAAAACUAGGUGAUAGAUCGAUUACUUGCGCCCCAAGUAACUUCAGACUUCUUAUUUAUCAAAGCUUGUCAUGGAUGUGUUAAGUCCACAUAAGGUUCUUUUUUAUGCAUUGAGGCCAAGGACUUUUAGAUGAUCAAAUCUUACAUGCCCAAGGGCUUAGAACUUAGAUCUGGCUUGAACUAUGAAAACAUAUUCAAAUCGGAUUCAAGCGCUGAAAGGAUCUUUUAAUAGCCAUAUUACUACAAAUAACUUGAAUACAACUUGUAGUAUACAACAUAUUGCUAGGUUAGUGAAUGAAAAGACAAAAACAAAGGGGUCGGGCAAGGUUUAACCUUGUCGGGCAAGGCUGAUCGUCUUGCAACUUCCUAUCUUUGUGGUUUCAAGGGGUUUGAAAGCUUAGAAACAGGGUUGGGAGAUGAGUUUACAGAAAGAGAUCGAUACUACAUCAAGAGUUGAACAGGGUAGCAGAGCUAUUACAAAUGGUUUAUCCCGAAAGGGAUGAAGGCUUGCUGACUACAGCUUUGUUUGAAGGCAAAUCUGGCUUUUGAGCAGAGUUUGUGCUUGUAUUUGUUUGUUUGAGUGUCCUCAUUCCUGACUUUUCUUCUUUCUUUUAUAGACAACUUGGCUUGUCUUCUUGUAGCAGCAAUCUUGCCCGACUGCAGUUUGAAUGGUAGUGACUCAUCAGCUUUUUACUUGUAUUGUCACUGUAAAGUACUUUAUGGGCUGUAUAGCUGGUCAGUCUAUACUACUUGGCCAUUGGGUAGGUGAGCAAAUGGUGCAAAUGACCUGCACCUAGUCAGUAAAGCCUCUUCUGCCUUCGGGACUUGGGCUGGACUUCGGGCUUUCCUCCUCUUAGUUGGGCCAACUUCCUUCUGAGCCCAAGGUUGAAAUUAUAACCCAAACAAGAGACACAGUGUUCUAGCUAAUUUGAUUAUACUAAUUUUUACUGUAAAUGCACACAAUCAAUAAAUAAGUUGCAAAUAAAAAGUUGCACUCCAUUGUUUAACCGUUUAACCAAAACCACAAGAAAGGAAAUCAUAAAAAAUCAUACUUGCUAAUGUGGUUUUUUGGUAAAAACUUACCACCAACGCUCCUCACUCUGUGAUAAUAAUAAGUUUAUGCAGAAGAAAAUGGCAGAAACCAGGCUGAGUGAGCAGCUGCUUUUAGCUUUUGUGUGGUGCUAAAGCUGCUUUUAGCUUUUCUGUGGUUGUUAAAUUACGUGAAGGAACCCACCUUCACCUAUUUCAGGGCUCGUUUCUUGUCUAGAACUGGCUUGACUUAGACAAUCUGCUGGAUUUUAAAGGAAAAAAAAAAUAGAAAUAUGAAGGUCAGAUUGCAUAUUUUGUCAAAGUGACGAACGUAGAUGGAGACGCGAAGAAAAAUUGUCGAUCUUAAUCUCUAAACUUUUUGUAAAGCUUAGGAGGAAUAAGUUUUGUUGGUAAUUUUAAUGAGAUAUUUGUCGAUCUCCUUCCUUUUGAACUAGUAAAAAAUUGCUAAAUUUUUAUAUAAACUUUAAUUUUAGUCAAUUACUCGCCUGAAUUGUCACGCCCCGAUCCCGACAUAUGUCCGGGAUCGACACGUGACGUCAUCAAAUAACCACAUAUCUAACAUACCCGUCCCUUGGGAUAUGUAUCUAGCACAUGCCAUGCCUCGAAUUACAUAUAAUUUUUCGUAUGCUUUAUGGUUGCAUCUAACCUCCUCGUUAGACUGCCUACGUACCCUCAUUAGGGAUCAAGCCAUUCAUAGUUCGCCAUUCAUUACACCUCGACGUUUAUCACAAUACGUUCAAAUCAAAAAGCAUAGCAUUCCUCAAUCAAUUAUUAGAACUUAACAAGCAUGAAUUACUAGAUUCAUGGUUACAUAACAAAUCCACAUGACAUUCAAGGUUUUCAUUCCAUCCAUCAUAUAAAUCACUAUGUUUUCAACGUGAUAUCUCCAUCCACAUCAUGUAACUUAUCCAAUAACCAACGAAGCACAAUAUUAUUCUUAAGCCACAUUGAUCACUAAAUAAUCAUAAUAAUAGCAAUCAUAUCCAAUGUCAUUCCAUAAUUCCCGUCAAUUAAUCCCUUCAUGAAUCAAGGAUGCAUGAUCUUAGCAUUUAACUACGUUAAUCAAUCAAUGAGAUAACAUACGAUUUCACCAAUUCAAUUAGAGAACUCUAUAUAAUUCCCUACUUGGGUUAUGAGUAAUAACAUGGUAAUUCUAAUUUAUAUUCACAAGGUCUAUGGAUAAUUCUCAUUCGCUCGAAUCUAGGGUUCUAGACUAACCUUUUGGAAUGUGCAAGAGUAAGGAUUUCGGACCACUCAACGAAACCAAAAUAUCAAGCGGUUUCUUAUAAUCUACUUAGACCUGUCAUAUGCAAAAUCAGUGUCUACAUCAUGGAAAUGGUGCACUGGGCAAUUCAGAACUUGGAUAAGUUGUGAAGCUCAAGUGAGCAACAAUAAUACAAAGUGUGAUAAUAGUGAUAAAAACCAACCAUCAAUCACAGUUUAUAAACUUUGAAUAUGAAUCAUUCAUAAGAAAUUAAUACCAAACCUUCGCAAACUCCGAAGGAGUCACUCAGACAUCCAACGGUUCGUUUGAAACAAUCACAACAUCUCACAACCAUAUUCUCAUAUAACACCAGGAAAAGUAGGGUUAGAGCGACAUAGUUCGGCUGAAGCCUAUACCUUUGAAUCUAUCUCAAUCCAAACUCAAUGAAACCCAAGGUGAAUAUUAUUCCGGAACUUCACUCAACGGAAUCGCGGAGUAGAAGGGAUUUCGAACCAUCUCUCACGGAAUCCAAGUGGUUACGAUUCCAGAACAUCACUCAACGAAAUCGCAGAAUACAAUGCAUAACCACCAUUAAAUGAAACCCAAGUUAGAUACGAUUCUGGAACUUCACUCAACGGAAUCGCGGAGUAGAAGGGAUUCUGAACCAUCUCUCACGGAAUCCAAGUGGUUACGAUUCCGGAACAUCACUCAACGGAAUCGCAGAAUACAAUGCAUAACCACCAUUAAAUGAAACCCAAGUUAGAUACGAUUCCGGAACUUCACUAAACGGAAUCGCGGAGUAUAAGGGAUUCCGGACCUUCUCUCAAUGGAAUCCAAGUGGAUACGAUUCCGGAACAUCACUCAACGGAAUCGCGGAAGGCCAACAACCAUAAUGUACAACGGCUCAAAGAAAUGAGACAAGCACAAGCUACUAAAUUUACAAAAGCUUAACCAAGGGAAAUAAGGCACAUAUGCUAAAUUUAGAACGAAUCAACGAAGCGGGAAAAGAAACAAUAUCUAAGCAACAAAUCCCCAAUCACAAUGGGUUCACAGUCCACCACUAGUCCUCACAUUUCAUCACAUCAAGCCAACCAUACAAAGCAAACCAUGUUUCUAAUAUGCACGUCAAAUCCCACAUCAUAAAACUAUAACAAUGGCACUUUAUAGGAAACAUAAUCAUAAAACCACCUCAUACCCUCUCAGGAUAAUAAUUAUGAAAAUAGAGUAAUCACCUAUAUCACAUAUAUUAAAGUCACUCACCCUUUUUAUACUAGUAACCAUACAUAUUAUUUCUCAUCCAUGAAAUCAACAUUUUAACGUUCUAUUCCUAUGCUUGUAACCUUCAUUCUCCAUCCUUUAAUAAACCAACCCAAAAUUAAUGGUUUUUCAACUUAAAACACCACCUCUUCACUCAUGCCACUACCCCUUUUGACAUGUAUAUGCGGCAAUAUAUAUAUAUAUAUAUAUAUAUAUAUAUAUAUAUAUUAAGAGAAACUGGAUCGUUUACUAAUAACUUGAAUAUAACUACUAGUAAACAAUCUAAACUCUUAAACCCCAACCAAACACACACAAAUAAGCACAAGAUUAACAAGGAUGUCAUUUCAACUAUAAUUCCCUUCUAGGUCUAGAUGCUUGGUAACGAAAGAAGUAUUUCAUAAAUCUAAUGUCACACAUCGGAAAAUUCGACUUUUUCCAAAAAUUCUCAAAUUUUACAAGAAUGAAGGUUUCAACAAGUAGAGUAAACUUUAUACCUGUGGCUAAAUCCAAUUUGGCCAGGAAGGCCCUCAAAUUGGCUCGCACCCGUUGAAACCCUAAGGUGGGUGUUCUUCAAUUCGGCUUUCUUGGUGUUCCAACGCUUCAACCACCAGUUGGGUCUUGUUCCUGGGUCCAAGGGAAGUUGAUUAAGGGUGGUGGUAAGUGGUUAUACUCUCCGGAACGACAAUUCGUUGUCGAGAACCCCCUGGGUUCUCCUAUGGAGUUCGACCCGAAUUAGACCUUAAAAACCCUUGAUUUUUGGUAAAGAGGAAAUGAGGAAGGUAGUUGAGCAAGUUGCAGGUGAAGGAGAUUGGAAAAAUCAUAUGAGAAAAGGAAUUGGCCUGAAAUUGGCCGGUUUGAAAUUGGUUGGUGGAGCUCACGGUUUCACGAAAUAAAGAGGGGGGGGGGGAGAAAAGUGGCCCUUCCUUUUCUCCAAAUAUGGGUCCUUUCAUACCCUUUAAAAAUCUGACAGGUUCCCCCCUUUUUUAUUUAUUUAUUUAUUUUUCUACUAACUUAACUUAACCUUUAAUCUAUGAUUCCCACAAUCUAUAGUUCACAACUUCAAAUGUUCGUAACUAUAUCGUUAUAAUCCAGACUCGCAAAUGGUUUUCGCCUAUGCAUUCGUGAUCUCGAUAUCUAUUCGAAAACGUUACUUGUGACCUUUAAUUAAAAUCUAAAUUCAAACAAUUUAAAAUAAAUUCUCGAGGAAUAACACAAAAUCUCAAUAGUACAAAUACGUAGAUUCUAACAGUGAAAUCCGGGAACGGGAUUUCACAUGAAUUGUUAUAAUUAGCCAAAUUUUCCCUUAAUGUUAGAUUUUGGAUUUUUUCUUCUAUUUUGGUCACAACAAAUGUUUGAAGGCAAUAAAGUAAUUUUAUUCCUAAUGUAUACAUCAAAUUGCUUUUUGUUUUUUCCUUCUCCACCUCCUCGACGCCGUUCAAUCAAAUUGCUUUUUGUUUUUUCCUUCUCAACUUCCUCGACGCUGUUCACUCCCUAUUCGAAUUAGUAGCUGCAAAGUAUUAGCUUUGCAUCCAAUUUACCUAAAUAAAAUUACCUUUUUGCCUUUAUACAAUUGUCAUGUGUUGUUUGCGUGACCAAAAUAGAGGAAAAAAUUGGCUAUUUAUAACAGUUUAAAAUAAUAAUCAGCUAAAAUUAAAUUUCAAAAAAAAAAUUAACAGUUGCAUAAAAGUUCUGAGGCAAAUCAAGAAAUAGGUCAAUUUUAAUUAAUGGCAUAUUAUAAGUUGGCAGCCUUCCUCUUCGCUUUUAUUCUUUUUCUCUAUUGGGUUGGGAUUUUUAUGAAUCAGCACUGAACAGGCAGAUAGGGGUGGUUGUUGGUUAGUCCAAUCCAAAAGUUGGAGGCUGCUCAACAACACGACAUAAUAGACGACAUAAUAGACAAGUAUACAUGCGGGGGUUGUUAGUUGUCCUAAUAAGAGUAGACAAAUGCUAUUGGAAUUCUCUUCAAAGUGGAAUUUUUUAUCGACUCUCUAACAUUUUACAGUUUAACAUCAAUUGUUAUGCGAACGUUAUAAAAUAUUGUGUAAAAAACAUGAAGUAUAGAGAGCCCAUUGAAAGUCUUAUUCUUGAGAGAGUCCCUUUAUCAUUUCUAUAAAAUUUUGGUUACAACCAUACCAUUAGAGCAUCUAAAAAAAAAGAUAAUGUAUCAUAUCUAUAAUGUAGCAUCUCUGAGAGAGCUCAGGGCUGGCCUGAGGGUAGCCCAAGUAGGCGCCCGCCUAGGGCCCCCACUUCGGAAGGGCCUCCAAAAAAAAUUUAUAUCCUGUAAUUAACAUAUAAAUAUAAAAAAAAGUAAGAAAUAUAAUAAUUCAUUUGUUAGUGCAGUGUAAAUAUUGGCUUCAUUUUUCUUUGGGAUGUUGAGUUCGAAACACGAAGCUGCCUUUCAGUUACUAGAAUUUUCUUAAUUUUUCUUGUUUUUCAAAUUUACUGCCAAUCUACCUGUCCAACUCUCAAUCCAUCUAUCCAAAUGCAUAUAAAAUUAUAAAACUCAAGGUCUCUUUGCAAUCUUUUUUCUUUCAACUUCUCAUUCUCUCUAUUUCUAUCGAAUGUUUAAACUAACUUCUCAUUCUCUCCAUUUCUAUUGAGUGUUUAAACUAACUAUCAUAUGGUCUUAAAGAUUGUACUUUAAGGUAAUCAAAACUUUGAAUUUUAUAUUUUUCUUUUCAAUAACUUUUUAUUCAAUGGAUUAUUUUAAUAUUCAAUUCGUUAGUGUGAUGUUGAUUUUAGAAGAAAAAAAAAAUACAAGAGAAACAAUUGGCGUUAAAUUUAUUAUACUCGUCAAUCAAGUUUUAUUGUUAUUUACUCUCUUGAUCAACAAGUUUUAUUGUUCUUCACUCUCAAUCUUAAACUCUUGACUGCAAACAUUUAGUACAUUUGUGUAUAAAAACUUGAAUAGUGUAAUGUUUAAAUAAUGUUUGUAUAUUUAUCUUCUUUUGUUAUUAAUUUUUAAUGAUAUUUGAUGUGAAAAUAGAACUUUUUAUGUAUUUAGUGAAUUCUUUUUUAUACAAAUCAAUAUACAAAAAACUGGAAAUCAGAGAAUUUUAGGGCCCCACUUCGAAAGCUCGCUUAGGACUAGGCCUGGCAAUUCCUGACACGACCCAAUAACCUGACACGACACGACACGAAAUUAACAGGUGUUCGGGUCAACACGAUAACGAAACUGGUCGUUAUCGGGUAACCUGAUAAGCACCUGUUAAGAUAACGGGUUGGUUCGGGUAUAUACGUGGGUAACACGAUACACGAUAAGCAGAAUAUUAAUUUAAUAAUUUUAUAACCCUAAAAAAAUACUAUAAUAAUUAUAUAUAUUAAUUUAACAAUUUUAUACCCCUAAAAACUAUAAUAAUUAUAUAUAUAUAUAUAUAUUAAAUUAACUAUAAUAAUUCUAAUAAUUAUAUAUACUAUAAUAAUUAUACCCCCAAAAUAUUAACUAUAAUAAUUAUAUUUAUAUAUAUAUAUAUAUAUUAAAUUUUAAAUUAAAGUUUAUACCCCUAAAAACUAUAAUAAUUAUACAUACAAAAUAAAAAGAUUUAAAUCUACUUCAUAAAUAAAUAAAUAUAUAUGCACACACACAUACACCAUUGAACUUCAUGGGAUACAAAUUAUACGAAACUAAUUUCAACGAUUCAACCACCAAACUUGUUUGUAUAUGCUUCGAGAUCGCAUCAGCAAAAAAUUACAAAAAAUAAACAUUUACAGAUCAAGUAACGGGACAAAACUUUUCGACGGUUAUAAACGAAAAAUCACGAUUUAACGGUUAUUUUAACUCCGAUUUUGAUGACUUUUUACAGCUACACUCCUUAACCCUAUAUGAAUACAAUGAAUGAAUUUGAUCUUCAAUUUAAAAUAUUUACACUAGUGGAUACCACAAAAUCUUAUGUUAUACUUGAUGAAAGUAUGAAUAAACUCUUAAAUGUUAGUGAAUCUAUUGUUUUGAUGGGAUACACAUUCUACGAAACUAGUUUCAACGAUCCAACCGUCAAACAUGCUUGUAUAUACUUCGAGAUCGCAUACGCCAAAAUUUGCAAAAAACAAACAUUCAGAGAUCAAGUAACGAGAUAAAACUUUUCGACGGUUAUAAACGAAAAAUCACGAUAUAACGGUUAUUUUAACUCUGAUUUUGAUAUUUUUUUUAUAGCUACACUCCUUGACCCUAUAUGAAUACAAUGAAUGAAUUCGAUCUUCAAUUUAAAAUAUUUACUCUAGUGGAUACCACAAAAUCUUAUGUUAUACUUAAUGAAAAUAUGAAUAAAUUCUUAAGUGUUAGUGAAUCUAUUGUUUUGAUGGGAUACGCAUUCUACGAAACUAGUUUAAACGAUCUAACCGUCAAACUUGCUUGUAUAUGCUUCGAGAUCGCAUACUCCAAAAAUUGCAAAAAAUAAACAUUUAAAGAUUAAGUAACGAGACAAAACUUUUCGACGGUUAUAAACGAAAAAUCACGAUUUAACGGUUAUUUUAACUCUGAUUUUGAUACUUUUUUAUAGCUACACUCCUUGACCCUAUAUGAAUACAAUGAAUGAAUUCGAUAUUCAAUUUAAAAUAUUUACAUUAGUGGAUACCACAAAAUCUUAUGUUAUACUUAAUGAAAAUAUGAAUAAACUCUUAAGUGUUAGUGAAUCUAUUGUUUUGAUGAGAUACGCAUUCUACAAAACUAGUUUCAAUGAUCCAACCGUCAAACUUGUUUGUAUAUGCUUCAAGAUCGCAUACGUCAAAAAUUGCAAAAAAUAAACAUUCAGAGAUCAAAUAACGGGACAAAACUUUUCGACGGUUAUAAACAAAAAAUCACGAUUUAACAGUUAUUUUAACUCCGAUUUUGAUGAUUUUUUACAGCUACACUCCUUGACCCUAUAUGAAUACAAUGAAUAAAUUCGAUCUUCAAUUUAAAAUAUUUACACUAGUGGAUACCACAAAAUCUUAUGUUAUACUUGAUGAAAAUAUGGAUAAACUCUUAAGUGCUAGUGAAUCUAUUGUUUUGAUGGGAUACGCAUUCUACGAAACUAGUUUCAACGAUCCAACCGUCAAACAUGUUUGUAUAUACUUUGAGAUCGCGUACGCCAAAAAUUACAAAAAACAAACAUUCAACAAUCAAGUAACGAGACAAAACUUCUCGACGGUUAUAAACGAAAAAUCACAAUUUAACAGUUAUUUUAACUUUGAUUUUGAUGAUUUUUUACAGCUACACUCUUUGACCCUAUAUGAAUAUAAUGAAUGAAUUCGAUCUUCAAUUUAAAAUAUUUACACUAGUGGAUACCACAAAAUCUUAUGUAAUACUUAAUGAACAUAUGAAUAAACUCUUAAGUGUUAGUGAAUCUAUUGUUUUGAUGAGAUACGCAUUUUGCGAAACUAGUUUCAAUGAUCUAACCGUCAAACUUGUUUGUAUAUGCUUCGAGAUCGCAGACACCAAAAAUUGCAAAAAACAAACAUUCAAAGAUCAAGUAACGUGACAAAACUUUUCGACGGUUAUAAACGAAAAAUCACGAUUUAACGGUUAUUUUAACUCCGAUUUUGAUGAUUUUUUACAGCUACACUCCUUGACCCUAUAUGCAUACAAUGAAUGAAUUGAAUCUUCAAUUUAAAAUAUUUACACUAAUCUUAUGUUAUACUUGAUGAAAGUAUGAAUAAACUCUUAAGUGUUACUGAAUCUAUUGUUUUGAUGGGAUACACAUUCUACGAAACUAGUUUCAACGAUCCAACCGUCAAACUUGUUUGUAUGUGCUUCGAGAUCGCAUACUCCAAAAAUUACAAAAAACAAACAUUUAAAGAUUAAGUAAUAGGACAAAACUUUUCGACAGUGAUAAACAAAAAAUCACGAUAUAACGGUUAUUUUAACUCUGAUUUUGAUACUUUUUUAUAGCUACACUCCUUGACCCUAUAUGAAUACAAUGAAUGAAUUCGAUCUUCAAUUUAAAAUAUUUACACUAGUGGAUACCACAAAAUCUUAUGUUAUACUUGAUGAAAGUAUGAAUAAACUCUUAUGUGUUAGUGAAUCUAUUGUUUUGAUGGGAUACGCAUUCUACAAAACUAGUUUCAACGAUGCAACCAUCAAACAUGUUUAUAUAUACUUCAAGAUCGCAUACACCAAAAAUUGCAAAAAACAAACAUUUAGAGAUCAAGUAACAAGACAAAACUUUUCGAUGGUUAUAAACGAAAAAUCACGAUUUAACGGUUAUUUUAACUCCGAUUUUGAUGAUUUUUUACAACUAUACUUCUUGACCCUAUAUGAAUACAAUGAAUGAAUUCGAUCUUCAAUUUAAAAUAUUUACAUUAGUGGAGACCACAAAAUCUUAUGUUAUACUGAAGGUUCUAAAAGUCGCUAGGUGCUAGUCAGGCGGCGGGCUGGGGCUUAGGGCCUAGGCGGGCGCCUAGGCGGACUAGGCGGAUUUAAGUAAAUCUAUCAUAUUUCAGGCAAAUAAGUGUCUGCUUCUACUUGAAAUAUAUAUAAUUUCAUCAUAAACUACAAAAUAGAAUGUAUAUAUAACAUGAAGUAUUGGAACAUAAUGAAAACAUGUGAAAUAAAGAUAUAAUGUUUGUUCUUUCAAGUAUGCAACAAGUCUCUUACAAUUUAUUGGAAAAAAACAAAAUGCAAAAUGAAAGUUAUGUAUUUUCUGUCUAAGUGAGUUGCAACCUAGGCGGGUCUAGGCAGAUGCCUAGGUAGGCUAGGCAGGUGCCUAGGCGGGCUAGGCGGGUGCCUAGGUGGUCUAGGCUAGGGCCUAGCGCCUAGGCGGGGAUUUUUAGAACAGUGGUUAUACUUGAUGAAAGUAUGAAUAAACUCAUAAAUGUUAGUGAAUCUAUUGUUUUGAUGAGAUACGCAUUCUACGAAACUAGUUUCAACGAUCCAACCGUCAAACAUGUUUGUAUAUACUUCGAGAUCGCAUACGCCAAAAUUUGCAAAAAACAAACAUUCAGAGAUCAAGUAAAGAGACAAAACUUUUCGACGGUUAUAAACGAAAAAUCACGAUUUAACGGUUAUUUUAACUCCGAUUUUGAUGAUUUUUUACAGCUACACUCCUUGACCCUAUAUGAAUACAAUGAAUAAAUUCGAUCUUUAAUUUAAAAUAUUUACACUAGUGGAUUCCACAAAAUCUUAUGUUAUACUUAAUGAACAUAUGAACAAACUCUUAAGUGUUAGUGAAUCUAUUGUUUUGAUGAGAUACGCAUUUUGCGAAACUAGUUUCAACGAUCUAACCGUCAAACUUAUUUGUAUAUGCUUCGAGAUCACAGACACCAAAAAUUGCAAAAAACAAACAUUCAAAGAUCAAGUAACGGGACAAAACUUUUCGACGGUUAUAAACGAAAAAUCAUGAUUUAACGGUUAUUUUAACUCCGAUUUUGAUGAUUUUUUACAGCUACACUCCUUGACCCUAUAUGCAUACAAUAAAUGAAUUCGAUCUUCAAUUUAAAAUAUUUACACUAGUGGAUACCACAUAAUCUUAUGUUAUACUUGAUGAAAAUACGAAGAAACUCUUAAGUGUUAGUGAAUCUAUUGUUUUGAUGGGAUACGCAUUCUACGAAACUAGUUUCAACGAUCCAACCGUCAAACAUGUUUGUAUAUACUUUGAGAUCGCGUACGCCAAAAAUUGCAAAAAACAAACAUUCAGAGAUCAAGUAACGAGACAAAACUUCUCGACGGUUAUAAACGAAAAAUCACGAUUUAACGGUUAUUUUAACUCUGAUUUUGAUGAUUUUUUACAGCUACACUCCUUGACCCUAUAUGAAUACAAUGAAUGAAUUCGAUCUUCAAUUUAAAAUAUUUACACUAGUGGAUACCACAAAAUCUUAUAUUAUACUUGAUGAAAGUAUGAAUAAACUCUUAAGUGUUAGUGAAUCUAUUGUUUUGAUGGGAUACGCAUUCUACGAAACUAGUUUCAACGAUCCAACCAUCAAACAUAUUUAUAUAUACUUCAAGAUCGCAUACACCAAAAAUUGCAAAAAACAAACAUUUAGAGAUCAAGUAAUGAGACAAAACUUUUCGACGGUUAUAAACGAAAAAUCAUGAUUUAACGGUUAUUUUAAUUCCGAUUUUGAUGAUUUUUUAUAGCUACACUCCUUGACCCUAUAUGAAUACAAUGAAUGAAUUCGAUCUUCAAUUUAAAAUAUUUACAUUAGUGGAGACCACAAAAUCUGAUGUUAUACUUGAUGAAAGUACGAAUAAACUGUUAAAUGUUAGUGAAUCUAUUGUUUUGAUGAGAUACGCAUUCUACGAAACUAGUUUCAACGAUCCAACUGUCAAACAUGUUUGUAUAUACUUCGUGAUCGCAUACGCAAAAAAUUGCAAAAAACAAACAUUCAGAGAUCAAGUAACGAGACAAAACUUUUCGACGGUUAUAAACGAAAAAUCACGAUUUAACGGUUAAUUUUAACUCCAAUUUUGAUGAUUUGUUACAGCUACACUCGUUGACCCUAUAUGAAUACAAUGAAUGAAUUUGAUCUUCAAUUUAAAAUAUUUACACUAGUGGAUACCACAAAAUCUUAUGUUAUACUUAAUGAAAGUAAGAAUAAACUCUUAAGUGUUAGUGAAUCUAUUGUUUUGAUGGGAUACGCAUUCUACGAAACUAGUUUCAACGAUCUAACCGUCAAACUUUUUUUUAUAUGCUUCGAGAUUGAAUACUCCAAAAAUUGCAAAAAACAAACAUUUAAAGAUUAAGUAACAGGACAAAACUUUUCGACGGUUAUAAACUGAAAAUCACAAUUUAACGGUUUUUUUAACUCCGAUUUUGAUGAUUUUUUACAACUAAACUCCUUGACCCUAUAUGAAUACAAUGAAUGAAUUCGAUCUUCAAUUUAAAAUAUUUACACUAGUAGAUACCACAAAAUCUUAUGUUAUACUUAAUGAAAGUACGAAUAAACACACUAGUGGAUCACUUUCAUUAAGCUUUGAGUUCCAUUGACAAGGUUUAAACUUUUGAGAAAGGCUUCACAACCUUGAAAACAAAAACGCUUUCAUUUUUAAUAUCCUUGCACAUUGAAUAUUUGUAAUAGAUUAGUAGUGUAUGGAUGUAUUUUUUAUGAGGCUCUUAUUUUCGAGUGUAGAUGUAGUACUUAAACGACAAAUGUGUUUUAAUGUUUUGAAGUAAUAUUUAUGUGACAAUGUGUGGUAUGUGCAAAUUUAAGAAAUUUUUUUUUUCUUAAGGGAUCCUAACGGGUUAUAACGGGUCGGGUCACUUUACCCGUUGGGUAAAGUGACCCAACCUGUUAAGGACUCAUUAAGAUAACAGGUGUGACACGACACGACCCGUUAAGAUAACAGAUGUUACACGAAAACGACACGAACACGACUGACACGACCCGUUUGCCAGGCUAGGAUCCCCAAAUUCUCAGGGCUGGCCCCGAGAGAGCUGCCCUGUAUCAACGAUGUCAAUGGUCUACUCUUUAAUUAGAAGUGCCUUUAUGAUGACUUCACUCAUUCCAUCUGCAGCUGGCAACAAAUGUCCACCACCUGGUAACUCAUGGUAGUGAAUCUAUGGAAGCGUUUCGGCAAUAUAGCGUUGCAGCUCAACUUGGACAAGCUUAUCUUCAUCACCCUGCCACAGAUGGACUGAGCCUUGGUUGCUGGCAAAAGGGUUCUGCAGAUCCAUAGGAUCAAAUUCCCAGCUCCCAAAUCCAACUACCAUGUCGCGUAAGAUGGACUCAGCUUCUCCUUGCUGCGUGACAUAUGCCUGCCCAAACAAAUAACAAAACAAAACAAAACAAAACAAAAAUCAUCAACGCUGCCGAGUUUCUUUAAAAUCCUAAACAAUUAGCGAUCGAAUAAGGAAAGUACCUUGUGCUUUUCUCUUCCAGAAACCUUUGCAUUCCUAAUGAUUCCCAAUCUUGGCGGGAAAACACAUUCUCUGGUUUACCGGAUACAACGCUGGAUGAAGGAAAGAAUUUCUGAGUGUUCCACCAGUAGGUUAACCAAGGUAUAUAGUGAGCAACUCGAACCGCCCAUUGAUCUUGUGGAAGUUGCUUCUUAUAGGCAUAGGAUGACAAGUUUGCAGGAAGUCCUGGCCACUAGUAAUUGAUCACGGGAGCGAUUAGCGCUGCUCCUGCUAGCCUGUUGUAAUAAGCAUCCCAUGAUAAACCAAGUCCGAAUUCAAAGGUUCCCGCCACAACACUUACUGAAGAUCGUAAUCCGAUUAGUCAAAAGGAAGGCUGAGAUAAGCCUUAUCUGUUGAAAGUAUUUUGAAUUUAAAUAGGUUAUUUAUCAUUUGUAUUAUCUAUAAAUUUGGUUUGAAGAGUUUGUUCUUCAUCCAAAUACUUCUCCUUGGUUUGAAAAGUUUGUUCUUCAUCCAAAUACUUCUUGUAAUCACUAUAAAACAACAUCAAAUGGAAUACGCUCAGAUCAACGAGCACAAUUCUUUUAUGGUAUCAUCCCUUUCCAAGUUUUACGACAUAUUCCCUUCCCAAUACAAUGUCUUCUUCCGCUGCCCUCACCAAUGUUUCUGCUUUUCUUCCUCUAAAACUUGAUCGCCAUAACUAUCCCUUGUGGCAUGCCCAGUUUGUUCCACUUAUUCGGAGUCGCAGUUUGAUGCCUUAUAUUGAUGGCACUUCUCAGUGCCCUCCGCUUUUCUCCUGGAUGAUGACGGUCAACAUACUGACACCAUCAAUCCUCUCUUUGAACCUUGGAUCCAGACUGACCAGAUGGUUCUCUCGUGGCUCACUAGUUCCCUCUCUCAUCUUGUUAUGCAUGUUGUCGUCAAAUGCAUUAGUGCUGCCGAGGCCUGGAAGGCGUUACAGGACCGAUAUGCACAUUCCUCACACAAUCGUGUUAUUCAACUUCGCGGGGAACUUCUCAAUCUCCGCCGUGGUGAUCUCAGUAUUGCAGAUUAUUUGGAUAAACUCAACACCUUGGCUGAUCAGUUGGCCUUAUCUGGUUCUCCCAUUGCUGACGCGGACUUAAUUACCACGAUCAUGAAUAAUGUCGGCCCGCUGUAUGAGAACACAGUUGCCUCAAUCCAAGCCCGAGAAAUUCCUAUCUCGUAUGUUGCUUUGGAAGCACUGCUUCUCAGUGCUGAAACUCGUCAUCUUACCUUCAAUUUGUCUUGCGACACUUCUGCUCCUGCUUUGACUGCUAUGGCUGCUACUUGUGGCCGUCGGAACCCUGCUCCUGCAGGUUUUGCGCGUGGCGGAGGCCGUGGCGCUGUCCCUCCUCGUGGUGGAAAUCAGACUCGGCCAAAUGCUGUUGCUGCUCCUAAUCCAGGACGUCCCCAUGACGGUAUUCUUGGUGCGGGACCCUCACCGUCUGAUCGCCCACCCCUUCGCUACCAGAUUUGUCGUCGUAAUGGUCACUCUGCCAUUGACUGUUACAACCGUAUGAAUACGUCUUAUGAAGGUCGUGUUCCAAGUGCUCGUCUCACAGCCCUUGCUGCACAGUCUACCCGUGUACCCCAGUCUGUCUCUACUGCUCCCACAACGUGGCUUCUGGACUCUAGAGCCAACACCCAUAUCACCAAUGAUCCUAGUCAACUUACAAAUGCAUAGAAGUACACAGGCACAGAUCAAGUCGGUGGUGUUCAUGGUGGUCAAGGUUUGCACAUUUCCCAAAUAGGCACAUCUUUUAUUCACUCUCCCACUAGCUCCUAUCCUCUUUCUAAUACUUUAUAUUGUCCUGAUGCCUCUCAAAUAUAUUAUCUAUCAAUCAAUUCUUCUGACACUGGCUGUUUCUUUGUCCUUCAUCCUAAUUUCUUCCGUGUUCAGGAUAUCCGCUCGGGGAAGAUCCUUUUAUCAGGCCGGAGUAACACUGGUGUUUAUCCAUAUGCCAGUUUUAAUUUCAAUAAAAGACAUGGACUAUUUUUGUGCAUGGGAGUCAAGGUUGAUGAUCGUAUUUGGCACUCCAGACUCGGUCAUCCAUCGUCAUUUAUUUUAAAACAUUUAGUUUCUACUAGCAAAGUGCCUCUUACUAGGCACCAUUUUAAUUCUGUCUGUCAUUCAUGCCCUUUGGGCAAAAGCAAGAAAUUGCCAUUUUUACCAUCAAAUUCUAUUUCCCAUUUUCCUUUACAACUUAUUCAUUCUGAUGUGUGGACGUCCCCUACUUUGUCAAUUUCUGGUUUUCGAUAUUAUGUGAUUUUCAUUGAUGAUUUUUCGCAAUAUACAUGGCUAUAUCCUUUAAAACUAAAAUCUGAUGUGUUCUCCACAUUCAUUAAAUUUCAAACUGAAAUGGAGAAUAAAUUUCAACGAAAAGUCCAAACUUUUCAAACGGAUGGUGGAGGAGAAUAUAUUAACAACAAUUUUAAAUCUUAUUUAGAAAAACAUGGCAUUCAUCAUCAAUAUACAUGCCCUCACCAUCCUGAACAAAACGGUAUGGCAAAACGUAAACAUCGUCAUUUGGUUGAAACUGGUCUCACUCUUCUUGCUCAUGCGUCCAUGCCACAAACCUAUUGGGCUGAAGCUCUACAUACUGCUAAUUUUUUAAUAAAUCGCCUGCCAACUAAAGUUUUGAAUUUAACUUCUCCAUACACAAAAUUAUUUCACCGAGAACCAUCCUAUGAUUUUUUUAAGGUUUUUGGGUGUGCUUGUUUUCCAUACCUACGUCCAUACAUGUCAACAAAAUUGCAUUUUCGUUCUAAAAAAUGUGUUUUCUUAGGUUAUUCUCAAAAUCAAUUAGGGUAUAGGUGCCUUGACCCAUGCACAGGUCGUGUCUUCAUGUCUAAACAUGUUCUUUUUGAUGAAAAUUGUUUUCCAUUUCAUGCAAAUCUCAGUGUUACUCCCGUACCAUCCUCUCUGCAUGAUAACGUCCCAUUACUCUUGGGACCCCUGAACUCACCUUUCCAUCCCCCCCAAAUUCGCCACCUAAUCCUACUUUAUCCCUUACUUCCAUUACCCAUUCCAACACUCUUUCAGAAACUCACCUUCCCUCACCCGUCUCUAUCACACACCCUUUGACUCCUAUUUCCUCUCCCAUCCACUCACCUUUACCCUCUUCCCACCCUACCCUACUAUCCCCCCCCCCAUUUCCACACCUCCAGUAAACAAUCAAUUACCUUUAACGUCACUUUCGACAACCCCAUCAGCUCUAGCACCCCCCACUAUCCAUCCUAUAGUUACACGUGCAAAAGAUGGCAUUUCUAAACCUAACCCUAAGUAUGCCCAUACUUCCACCAUCACUGCUAUGUCAGAACCUACAUGCUACAGUCAAACUAAUAAAUUUCAGGAAUGGAGGAUAGCUAUGGCUGAUGAAUUCAAUGCCCUACAACGUGCGGGCACAUGGUCUUUGGUACCUUAUACUCCUACCAUGAAUGUACUACCCAAUAAAUGGAUCUUUCGUAUUAAACGCAAGUCUGAUGGGUCUAUUGACAGGUUUAAGGCUCGCCUUGUGGCCAAUGGUUUUCAUCAACAACCAGGUCUUGAUUAUGGUGAAACUUUUAGUCCAGUGGUGACCCACUCAACCAUUCGUCUUAUUAUUGCUAUGGCUGUUCAUUUUUCAUGGCCUAUCCGCCAACUGGAUGUUCAGAAUGCGUUUUUACAUGGUUCCAUAUCUGAUGAAGUUUACAUGAAACAACCCACGGGUUUUGUUGAUCCUCAAUAUCCCACACAUGUCUGUAAAUUGCGCAGAUCGUUGUAUGGACUUAAACAGGCCCCUAGGGCAUGGUUCCAAUGUUUUUCUAAUCAUCUGGAACACCUUGGUUUUGUGGCCUCCCAAGCAGACUCAUCUCUUUUUGUGUAUUGUCAUGGUUUAAUUCGUAUUUACUUAUUAAUCUAUGUCGAUGACAUACUUAUCACAUGCAACAACAUUCAGUGUAUCAACUCUUUGAUCAAGGACAUGGGCUCGGUUUUUUCAAUGAAAGAUCUUGGUCCUCUCACUUAUUUUUUGGGUAUGGAGAUUCAUCGCUCCAGUCAUGGCCUUCAUCUCUCACAGUCUAAAUAUAUUUCUGAUUUGCUUCAACGUACAAACAUGGUGGGCUGUAAACCGGUCUCCACUCCUGCAGUCAGUGGCAAACGCCUUAGCUUAUAUGAUGGCGAACCCUUACAAGACAUCACCGAGUUCAGGAGUGUGGUAGGUGCGCUCCAAUAUCUUACUUUCACCUGCCCUGAUAUUGCCUUCUCUGUCAACUAGGUUUUCCAGUUCAUGCAUCAACCAACCACCACACACUGGAUUGCUGUUAAACGCAUCCUUCGCUAUUUGAAGUCCACUCCCGAUCAUGGACUUGUGUACAAACCUGGACCUCUCACCCUCACUGCCUUUGCCGACUCUGAUUAUGCAGGAGACCCCGAUGAUCGCAAAUCCACUGGCGGGUCUUGUAUAUUUCUUGGUCCAAACCUUGUGUCCUGGAGUUCUAAGAAACAAAAAGGAGUGUCUUGCUCUAGCACAGAAUCAGAAUACAGACAACUUGCCAUAACUGCAACUACUAUUUCAUGGUUUCGUCAACUCUUUAAAGACCUGCAUCUUCAUUUGUCUCCUCCAAAGGUGUGGUGUGAUAAUCAUUCUGCAAUCUCCCUUGCCUCUAACCUUGUUUUUCAUGCACGGACCCGUCAUGUGGAAGUUGACUAUCAUUAUAUUCGUGAGAAGGUUACUCGUGGUGAACUUCAGGUGGGCUAUGUCGCUACUCAAGAUCAGGUUGCUGAUUUUUUGACUAAAGGCCUGUCUACUUAUCGUUUCAACUAUCUUUUAUCCAAGCUUCACGUUCGCCGGCGACCACUCAGCUUGCGGGGGUGUGAUAAACCAAGUCCGAAUUCAAAGGUUCCCGCCACAACACUUAUUGAAGAUCGUAAUCCGAUUAGUCAAAAGGAAGGCUGAGAUAAGCCUUAUCUGUUGAAAGUAUUUUGAAUUUAAAUAGGUUAUUUAUCAUUUGUAUUAUCUGUAAAUUUGGUUUGAAGAGUUUGUUCUUCUUCCAAAUACUUCUCCUUGGUUUGAAGAGUUUGUUCUUCAUCCAAAUACUUCUUGUAAUCACUAUAAAACAACAUCAAAUGGAAUACGCUCAGAUCAACGAGCACAAUUCUUUUAUCCCAAACAUAUCAAACUUUAGGGAAAAAUUUCAGUACCGAACGAUGCAUCAUCUGGUACCGAAGGAGGCUUGUUGUGAAGUCUUACCUAUGAGGGAUGUACUGGAGACACUUCCAAAUGGCCUGUCCUCCCAUUGAGUAUCCAAUUACAUAAAAUUUGGAUCCGAGUUCCAGCUGAUCACCAAGCUCCUCUAUAUCUAACGCCAAUCUCUUCGCUGUUCGCUUAGGAUCUGGAUCACUUUCACCGUACCCUGGUCUGUCGAAAGACACAAUGUACACACCUAAAUCUUCAAUAACUUCCUGAGAAAACAAACAAAAAACAUCCGCCACGAAAUCAACCAAUAUAGAGUUGAACUGAAGAAUGACAGAGAACCAAUCAAGGUAGUACCGGAGAGACAGAUGUUGCAAUGACUGGACCAUGUCGGGAACUACCGAAGGGAUGAACAAAGAUAAUGUUAUACUUGGCCACUUGUUUUGGAACACCAUGUUCCUUGUAGGCCAAAAAUCUUCCAUCCCUUAGCCUUAUUCUAGGCGAUGUGACGGGUGGACUGCCAGGCGAACCACAGAUGUUCGGAGGGGGUGUUCGGGCGGCUGAUACGCCCACACCAGCAAUCCAACCAACAAGAUGAAUGUGAUCCUCUUAAACAUCUUUGAGAAUGAAGAAUGAAACUUUGCUCAACUGCAGUAAAGAAGCAAAUACAAAAAUAACAUCACACUUGUGGACAUUAUAUAAUAAGUUUUAAUUUUGGUAUAUUUCCCUCAAUUAAAUUGGAUCACUCAAUUUUUUAUGAGCUCCAAUAUAAACAGGACAUCUAAAUCAAACAAACACCAAGAAAAAAGGUAUAAACUAUAAACAAUACAAAUACAAACACACUUUACAUUUAUCGAAAACGAUACUCUAAUUCAAGAGACGGAUUCUAAUAUUUAAGAGAACGCGGUGUUCUAACCAACAUGGUUAUACUAGUUGUUUCUAUAGCGAAUACAAUCCAUAAAUAAGUUGGAAAUAAAAAGAUGCACUCCUUUGUUUAACCGAAACCACAAGAAAAGAGAUCAUAUGCACAUAAAAAAUCGUACUUCCUAAUGUGCUUUUUUGGUAAAAACUUACCACCAACGCUCCUCCCUCUGUGAUAAUUAUAUGUUUAUGCAGAAGAAAAUGGCAGAAACGGGCUGAGUGAGCAGCUGCUUUUAGCUUUUGUGUGGUGCUGAAGCUGCCGGUGUCGGUGGGCUGCUUGUUUUCGUAUUGACAAACGAAGAAGAUAGAGAAGUAACGAAGAAAAUUCAUCCAUCACAAUGAUGAGAAGUCAGAAGGGAUAUAAAUUUGUUAGACGUUUUUAAUUCGUUGUGGUGUUUGGUAUCGCGUUCCACCUAACACAACCAGCCACAUAGAAAAAUCCAUCCACUGAGUCAUCAGUCAUCAGACCCAUCACAAAUGUCGUAUGCAAUGCCAUUACAGCAUCUCUAAACAUGUUGUAAAAACAACUAAAAUUUUAUUUUAAUGAGUCAAAUUUAAAAAUAAUAUUGUUGUAGCAAAAAGCUGUCUUCAGUCUUAACGAAUUUGAUCAAGGUCAAAGCCACACACGCGCCCACGAGGUGGAGGUUUAGCCAAUAUAUCUCUGAAGCCUAAUAUGGAAAUAGUGAGUUUUUAGAGCUUAAGUGCGUAGCAAAAGCUUACCAGAAAAUGGUGUUGAUGCAGUAUUUAUAGGAAGGUGGGCAGUCAUAACGUUAGGAUUUUUCCUUGCUCAUGACGGUUUCCCAUUGGUCAAGGUGUGAUAUCCAUAGGAUGGAUAACGAAAUAAUUAUCCCGAAGAUAUUAACUAUGAGAUAAUACCUUGGGAUUAUCAAGUAUCUUUGAUUGAUUGUGAUGAGAAUUCCUUACUUAUUUGAGUUGAUUUUCAAUCAGGAAUGUAUUAAUGAUAGAAUUUGGUGACUAAUCCUAUUAUUAAUGUAUUUAACUUUUCCAUGUUACGAUAGGAAACUUGGUGAUGUUGUAUUCCGCAGCUCAAGCCUAUAGGGAUAUUGAAUUGCGCGUGUGAAGAUUUGUGGGCCCUACCCAUUUAAUGUGGGCUUUCUUGGUUUUUUAGAAAAAAACAAAUCACAUGUCUUUUUCGGGAUUUGUAGAAUUACUUUUUGCUCCACACAUAUCUCUAACAGACUAUAUAAAAAAAUCUCUAUUAUAACAUAAGGAAUAGUCACUUUUCAAAUUUAUAGAGUAACUGUCCAUCAGCUAAAUAUUAAAAAAAAAAAAUUAAAAGUUGACCCUUGAGCAACGCAAAAAGAAAGAAAUAUAAGAUUGUUGUAGAAAUGGUUUUUUUACACAAGUACCAUUUGAACUUGUAAGCAUGUGCGAUAAUAAUACCUAAACUUUCAAUUUUUAUUUGUUACCACCUGGACCCUCUUAAGUAUUGGAAUGUACCACCUACGUUACUUUUCAUCCAUUAUGCUGUUAAAACAUGUCACCUGAAGAGAUUUUUUCAUCAAUUAACUUCAUGGGGCUAUUUAGAAUCAAUAUGCUCCAAAAUAAUAGUGUCUGAGUUAAUAUUGUGCUAAAAUUGGGGGUUUGGACAACUCCAGUUUGGAAAUUCCCUUUAUAAAAGUUAGAAAAAUUCACAUUUGUAUAAAUUAAUAAAUCACACACCUACUUGCUGAUCUAAAAAAAAAAAAAAUAGUGAAAAUACAUUGUAAAUGAAAGACUAGAUUUUGUACAAUUUUACUUCAAUUCUUCAACAGUUCUUGCAAAAUCAAAUCAGAAAUCAACUUCUUCCUUUCUCUUCAUGACCUAACUCCAAGUCAGCUAAAAAUUUGCCUUUUGCCUUUGUAUAAAUUGACAUCAGUGAGCCCGAAAAAGUGAAUUGACAAAAAUAUCCCUCCAUGUGAAGAGUGAUUGACAUAUUUUAAUGGAAAAAUAGAUGAAAAGUAAUGUAGGUGGUAGAUUCUAAAGAUUAAGAGUGUCUAGGUGGUAAAAAAUAAAAAUGAAAGUUCAUGUGGUAUUCGCGCACAUGCUUGCAAGUUCAGGUGGUACUUGUACAAGAACGUCGUCCUUGGCCGGAAUUGGUUACAUAAGAUAAAGGUAGUUCUGUCCAUUUACCACUAGUUACUCUGUUACCCGGCUCCCGGCAGAGUAAAAGUAAUAAAAUGAGAUCAAUCAGCAUAGCAAUCAUAGUUAAGAGAAUGAAGCUUCAACACCUGCAUGUACGAAUUAGCAUAACAAUCAUAGUUAGGGGUCAACAUACGAGUUUAAAAGAAAUCAACCUAGAUCUUGACCCCCAAGAUGACAGUACACUGGAGUAAAAAACUAAAGAAUGCGCUGUGUACAUCAGCCUCGAUCCCAAUAGACCGAAACAGAAAGCUACGAUUGACUCGAAGCUAACCGAUCGAGAGAAAGAACUGUUGACCAACUUCAUGUGAGCUAACAAAGACGUAUUCGCAUGGCCAGUAGAUGACAUGCCAAGAAUUGAUCCCUUUGUGAUUUGCCACCGUUUGGACCCAACUGCUAGACCAGUUAUCUAGUGUAAACGGAACCAUGGAAUAAAGUGAAUUAAGAUCAUAGAGACGGAGAUCGGUAAACUUAAAGACACCCAGUUCAUCCUUGAAGUCCACCACCAAGACUAGCUAGCAAAUGUAGUGCUCGUGCAAAAGAUGAAUGGAAAGUGGAGAACAUGUGUGGAUUUCACGAACUUGAAUAAAGCCUGCCCAAAUGAUCCUUAUCCAUUUACAUAGAUCGACCUCUUAGUAGAUUUAACCGUAGGACAUGAGCUCCUAAGCUUCAUGAACGCUUACUCCGGGUACAACUAGAUAAAGAUAUAUGAACCGGACAUUGAAGCAACAUCCUUUGUCACUGACCGAGGUACGUACUACUAUAAAUUUUUGACCUUCAGACUUAAGAACGCAGGGGCAACGUACCAACGACUCGUUAACCGGAUCUUUAAGGAAAAGAUCGAAAACACAAUGGAAGUCUAUGUAGAGACAUGGUUGUCAAAAGCAAAGAGAAGAAUGACCACAUGACACACCUCCAUGAGUCGUUUGACCUGCUUUAAAAGUACAACAUGAAGCUGAAUCUAGAAAAAUGUACCUACGGAGUAGCAUCAUGCAAAUUCUUGGGUUACAUGGUUACUAAGCAUGCAAUUGAGGCUAACCCAGACCAAAUCAAGGCUAUCAUAGAGAUGAAAUCGCCCAUAACCAUGAAGGAAAUACAAAGCCUAAAGCGAGUGGCAAACCUCAACAAAUUAUUUUCACGAAGUGCAAAUGGUUCUUUACGGCAAUAAAGAAAAGCAAGGGUUUAUCUAGACAGAUGAAUGUGAAGAAGCCUUCACGAAGCUUAAAUAGUACAUCUCCAAACCCCCGCUGCUAUCCAAACUAGUCGAUGGAGAAGACUUGUACUUGUACUUGAUUGUGCAAUAAGCGUAUCUCUAAUCCGAGAAGACUCAGGGGAGCAGAAACCGGUAUACUACAUAUCAAAAGCUUUUCUCGAACCAAAGAUAAGAUAUCAAAAAAUGGAAAAGCUUAUCUUGGCACUAGUAAUGGUAACCAGAAAACUCCAGCCAUAUUUCCAGUCGUUUAGAGUGGUCUACAUGAUGGAGUAUCUGCUGAGAUACAUCUUGCACAACCCUGAUGCCUCGUCUAUAGUCACUAACUAGGCUAUCGAACUAGGGCAACACAAAAUAAUCUACCUGCCCAAGACAUCAUUAGGCUCAAGCACUAGCAGACUAUGUAGCUGAAUUCACUCCAGCAACUCAAAAUACUGCGGACACAGCAAGUCCCCAAAGCCUUCUAGAAAAUCCCUGCAUUUGGAAACUUUACGUAGAUGGAUUAUCCAACAUACAUGGGGUUGGCGCAUGAAUGGUAUUGCAAACACCAAACGAAUCUAUACUCAAACAGGCUUUGAAACUUGGGUCAAGGCAAGCAACAAUGAAACAGAGUACAAGCCCUCUUGAUAGGGAUCAGAGUCGCAGAAGAACUCCAGAUAAAGAAACUGCUAAUUCAUUGUGACUCGAUGCUCAUAGUUAAUCAUAUCAUAGAAGACUACACCACCCAUCAUCUUACCAUGAAACUCUGCCUAAAUAGGGUCAAAACACUAUUCAAGAAAUUUGAAAGGUAUGAAAUUACAAAAAUCCCUAAAACAGAGAACAACCACGCCGACACACUUACUGGGAUAGCCUCGAAUGUAGAUUACUUCCUUUGGUGGACGAUCCGCUUUGAAUAUCUAGAAGUCCCUAAAUCCAUGAAAUGAAACCUCAGGUGGUCAUUGUUAUUAAUGCUCAAGAAAAUUGGAUGGAUGAAACCAUUGACUACAUAUGGGAGGGAAAACUACUGGAGGACCAUAACAUGGCCGGAAAGUUAAUCUAGAAGAGGCCAAGAUAUAUGGUCAUUCACAGAAAGCUCUACCGAUGCUCCUAUUCCGGAUGUCAUACCUUGUGCGCCACACCAUAAGUUGGCCUACAAAUUCUAUAUGAUAUCUACUGCAGAGUCUGCGGCAAUCAUGCCAGAGGAAGGUCGUUGGCCCAGAAAGUGAUAACAGCAGGCUACUAUUAGCCCACCAUACGGGAAUACGCAAUCAACUAUGCCCAGAGUUGUUACAAAUGUCAAAGGUAUGCUCUUAUGAACCAUCAACAUGCAAAAGAACUCGAUACUCUAAUAGAUUCAUGGCCUUUCAUCCAAUGGGGCAUCGAUUUAGUAGGGCCCCUUAAGAAAGUCUCAAGGAACAAGAAGUACCUAAUUGUGGUGACAUAUUACUUCUCGAAAUGGAUAGAAGUGGAACCUUUAACAAGAAUCACUGCCUCGGUUGUCAAGUCCUUCGUUUGGAAAAAUGUCAUCAAAUUUGUAAUUCCCCACAUAAUAUUGAUAAACAAUGGGCUACAGCUCACCAGCUCUAAAGUCACAAACUGGUGCAAAGAGCUUGAGAUCCAUCACCUUACUUCUACUCUAAGAUACGCACUAGGUAAUGAACAGGCAAAAGCCUCGAACAAAACCAUUUUGCAAUGUUUGAAAACAAAAGACUAUAAGAAAAGUAAAGCAAGUGGCCAGAAUAAUUAGUCGAGUCGUAUGGACGUAUCGCACGACAAUCCGAAAAGCCAUCGAGAAAUGCCAUUCUCCAUGUCCUGUGGAACGGAGGCCGUCAUUCCAGUUCAAGUCACAACUAUGCCGAAUUUGCAUAUUGAAGAACGGACCACCCUAGAAAAGGAAGGGAUCUUGAAGACUGAUCUCGACUCUGCGGAGGAGCGUCGAGAAUGCGCUCAAGUUUGACUAGCAUCCUAUCAGUAGUAGAUCCAAUCAUAUUACAACAAAGGUGUCAAGCCUAGAAGUCUGCAAGCUGAGGACUUGGUCUUGAGAGAAGUUUUUUAGAAUACCAAAAUCCGAGGAGAGGGCAAACUCAGGGAAAACUAGGAAUGAUGGUACAAGAUCGCUAAAGUAAGAGGUAACAUAACCUAUCACUUAGAGUACAUGGAACAUAGAUUACCAAGAAAUAGAACAAUGCCAAGCUCCGAAAAUAUUAUCCAUGAACGGGCUAUCUGAACUACACAUAGUUUGAUUCCCUCCCCAAGAUAUGUAGGCAGUCCGCUCUGGACCUGAUUGCAACACCACCGUCUGUGCGAAGAUAAAUCCAUGGAGAACUUAUCUCCUUACACCCCGUCGUAGGCUUAUCGUCAAAAGUGAUCCCUGAUGUAAUUCUUACAUCAUAUCAUCUUUUUCUUCGAAUUACACCAAUGAUUUGAUUCUCCAUCCUAGAGAUAUAUAGGCAAUCAUUUCCAGAUUCAAUGAUACCCCAUUUUCAAUCAUCCUAUUUUGAUUUUGAAUGAAGAAGUCUUCUUUAAACAUUCAUCGCUUUUUUUCUUUUCUCUUUUAUGAUGCAGGGAACAUCUCAUAAGCUUUGAAAACUUCGCACUAAUGCAAGUCUAAAAAGUUCAAAGUAACAUUGUCAGAGGAGUCUCCCUUAGCCCAGUCCAUCUUGAAUGGUUAACAGCUUGAGAGACUCGAACCGUAAUAAGCAUGGUAACAGUUGGUUGGCUAUAGGCACGGGCACAUGGCGUCCUGACCUGGAAGUGCAAUGCACCAUCCGGUCUCCAGAAAGUUUAUACAAACUGAAAUUGGUACCAGGCAAAAUAUCCGGUAUAUAAAAAUUAUAAUCUGUUGGACUGACUAGUCAAGCCCGCUAGCAAACUAAGAUAGAUUUGUUAGUUAAUAAAUUGAAGAUUCAAUUACCAAUUUCAAUUACCAAAAAUUAUCAUAGUCAGCAAGGCAGCAGUUCAUUGCAAGUUAUAAAUGUCAAGAUGGCAAGAUUAUGAACACAUACCAUUUAAAUGUUCAACUAAUAUAUGUCUCAUGUAUGUGUAUGUGAAAUAUGUGACACAAUAAAAAUAACUUGAACACAAUAUAUUUUUGGCUGGAAAAACCCACCUCUGGGUUAAAAAACUGGGGACUCUUCACUGAGUCCAAUCCACUAGUGUAAACAAAGGUUCAUUCAAAGACCACACAAGCUCAAUUCUUAGACGAGAUAGAUUCCUUUGGUCUCCACUGAGCAACUAUACCUUUAUGCAACGCUUUACACGAGACUGAUUCCUUUGGUCUUCACGAAGUGGCAGCUCCUCCUGAGCUCAUCACCUUGUGGCACCGAGAUCAACACGAUCAAUGAUAUGAUAUGAUUUUAUAAUAUGCAUAUGAAAUCUGGAUUCAAAUGACAAUUCAGAUUCUCUAGUCAAACAGUUGAAGGAAUAAUCUAACUUGAAUCCAAAAGCUUGGUCUAAAAAUGAAUUUAAAGCUUAAAACUAUACCCAGACAUAAAUGCAAAACCUUAAAACAAUGCAACCCUAAUAUACAAUGAUUGGGUGUUUAAUGCAUGAGGAAGGUUUAGCAGUUAGGGUUUCAUAAAUGGAGAAGAUGCAAGCUUAAAGCCUUUAAGGCAACUAUCUUUCUUUAAAAACUAAGUUCUAAAACCCUCAAGAACAAUCUAAAACCUUAGAACUAAAUAUACCCAAGGAAAUCAAAUUUUCCAUCAGCCAACUUAUCCCAAGGACAUUUAUCAACUGCAAAAGAGAUCUAGGCAAAUCAAUAGCCAAAAAAUUGACUACCAUAAAAAAAGUGUUAGUCAGCCCAUGUGGGCUGUCUUAAUCUGUGUGCCUAGACAAUUGGAUGUCAGCGUGCAAAGCUGCCUAGACAAUCAAACUAGACAGAAUGCAACACAAAAAGAGAUAUGAAAUGCACAUGCAUGAACAAACCUUUUGAUGUGAAAUGAGCCAUUUCAUGAACAUUUCCUCCAACAACAACAACCCAUAGUUGGAGUAUAUUCUAAAGCUAGAUUGAGUAUGUGGUACACAAAUACAAUAUUUGACAAGGAAAGCCAAACACUUAAAACUAGACUUUACAAUCUCCCCAUUUGGCUUUCCUGACAAAUACCCCAAGCCUAGAACUAAUUUCACUCCCCCACACUCAAGAGAAGAGCCAAGGUAUGAAUCCUGCAUAUGAACAAUUCUUGACAAGAACAAGUGAAAUUUAUCAUGGGUAAGAAAAGGCUUGCAAGGUAUAAAACACAACAAAAAUUUUCUCCACCAUUUUGUCAUGGUAAGAUAAAGACAAGGUGGAAAAACGGAUAGAAUAGUCAAAUUUGCUGCAAAAAUACAGAACACGAACAACAAGAGCACAUCAGAUAAAGAAUUGGCAAUAGAUCAUAUGGAUAAGCCCAAGCAAGGUGUAGCAACAAUGAGACUAGAAAUGAGUAAGCACAAAAAAAUGCAUGCGUAGUGGUUUAACUCCCCUUUAAUGGAAAUUCCCCCAUAAAUGAUGCUCUUCAUGAAAACACACUCCCCCAUAAUUCUAAAUUUUAACUUCAAUUAUUCGAUGAGGGACAGUGACUCAACAAUCGAAGGCAGUGACUCAACAAAAAGAAGAGAUGACCAUUAAAACAUAAAGUUGAGCGUAGACAUAAACAAAUGAACCCAAACAAUCGAAGGUGACUCAUUAAGAUGAUAGAGAUCAAGAUAACAUUUAAAUCUUUGCACCAAUAAACUACAGCUGAAGCACAACCUAUGAGUGGGAUAAAAUAGUUUGAGUAUCGAUGCUUCCAAGAGAUAUUGAUAAGACAAGUGUUUGGCAAAAUAAUAUGCAAUGCAAUUCUCAAGAGACAACUCUUCAAGGGCAUACAAAGACAGUAAUACAGAGAUAUACACUUGCUCAUGAUGCAAUUGUGAUGUGUCAAGGUAAGGGAUAUGUUUGGUGAUAGCUAUCUUGAAAUCAUAGAACCAAGCACAUAAUCUCAAAAGCAUUUCCAAAGUUAACCAAGCUUUUAAUAAUCCAUUGACUUUUAGAAACAACACUUCCUACAUAAUAUAGACAAUGGACAAGACUUGCAAAAAGCAAGGCAUAAGCCUUGGAGGAAAAACUAACUUUGGUAAAGAACUUUGAGUGAGGCACCAAUUUGAGGAAUGCCAAGGUCAUUUGAAUGAAGGUGAAAUUUUGAUGAAUCACCAUUGAUAUUUCAGAGAAUUUGAUACAUGACCUAUGGAGGGGGAUCUUGAAGCACUACACAUAACAUUCCAUGGAAUGCCAAAAGGAAGGGAUUUUUCCCAUUUGAUAGUAUAUACUUUCUUUUGAAGACACCAUUUUUAUAAAACACUCUCCCAUUAGAAUUUUUUUUUUGAUUUGGGGAGAGGACAAAAAGAAGAGAAUUGACACAUGGUCUAGAUUAUAGAGUAAGUAAGGUCUCUACCACUCAAUUAGGACCAAAGCAACAUUAAAUACAAAAACACCACUUGAUUUGGAUGAUUGGAAAAAUGAUCUUUCAGAGGCCAUCUAAGCGAAUUGGAAGAACCUUUUACAUCACAAUGAAAAAAUUAUCCAAGGCUAAUCCACAUAUUACUAUCAAAGUAUGACAAAUAAGAGGUGCAUACAGAUAGCAAAAUGAGAUUAUCUGAAUUAUUUAAAACAAAGUUUGGAAAAUGUUGAUUUUAGAAUUUAAUAUAAUAAAACGAAUUUUAAAAUAAAACAAUUAAAAAAAUUAAACAAUUUAAAGAAAAUCAAUUUGUAAAAGCCUAGGGUUCCGCCGUCCCCUUAACAAUCCUAUGCAAUUUUACCAACUACUUAUGAAUUUCUACAUACAUGGUUUGAAGGUUAGGUUUUCCAUUUUACUUGUGAUGUUCAAGCGAAAACGUAUAUCUAACAUGCAAGCCGUAUGUGAUGUUCAGAUCAAAUAUAAACAUGCAAGGCUCAUUAAGCUUGCAACCCUUAAGAGCGUGAUGUUCGCCUUAAGUGAACUUACAAUUACUAAUCACAAGAAGCUCUCCUCAAUUUCAGGGUGAUGUUCCAACAAAAAUUGCAUCAAAUUGCUUGUCUAGAAACCCUAAUGGUCAAGAAUCACUAAGACAAUUAGAUAGUUUAAUCGCAGUGAUUAAUAAUUCAAAGCAAGCAUGCAUCCAUUCAUAAACAUAUUAAUAAAAUUACAUAUUCAUGCUAAGGUUCAUGGCUUUGCCCUAGCAAAUGGAAAUUAGUUAUGAACAACUAUAAAACAAAAAUUAUUGAGAAUAAGGCUAGAAAACACUUAGAAAAUAAACUUGAAAAACUCUCUAAAGUGUGCGUGCAUUCUCCUGCUCUCCUUCCUUCCUCAAAACCCUAAUUGUGGAGCCAAAAAUAAUCACAAGGCGACACGUAGAUUUUUGACAAAAAAGACAAAACUACCCUUGAGGUAUACCGGGAUUCCUACGUGUAAUCAGCAGACAAUUAUCCUUCAACCAAGUCAAAAGUGCCCAAAAUAGGUAUCAACUUAAAACCUAAUUUAUUCAUAUAUUUCCCAUUUCAUUAUUUAGCUAAUCAAUUAGCUAAAUAAUAUACUUAUUCCUUUUAUAUUUCCUAAAAUUGACUAAUUAAGGGAUUAAUUACCUAAUCAAUCCCUUAAUUAUCAACUAAACCUCCAAAUUAUAACCAAAAACCCACUAGGGCCGGCCAUGCCCUUUAUUUUCUGUUUGUUGCUGCCAUUUUCUCCCCCUUUUAUGACAUUCAAAUAGCUAGUUAAUUAGGUUAUUACUAUUUGCUAAUUAACUAGCCAAUUAUUUCCAUAACUCCCAAAAUAACUAGCCCAUUAUCUCCAUAACCCCCCAAAAUAAAUCACCAUUUCCUCUCCUAUAAAUUAGGUCCCAUUUUCACAAAACACUAGUUCCAAUUCUCUUACAAAAAAUCCCAAAUAUUCUAAACACUAUUUCUCUCUAAAAUUCUAACUUUGGCAUCAGAGGUUCUUCGGCCAAAGCCCCCCCAUUCAUCGUGGGUGCGUGAGGCUCUUGGCCUUAACCUAAGGUGCUAGUUGUUUUGUAGGUGCAAAAUCGUCCAAGAUCGAAGAGGAGAAAAUUUGCAUCCACAAAUUGGUGCUUUCAUUGAGAGUUGAAAUCCAUACUCGUAGAAGACUCUCUCACAAAAAGGUUUUUUCUUUAUUUUCUAGUCCAUUUGAAUAUUUUUCAUACGUUCUUAUUAUUAGAAUUUUUUACUUGCAAAGGUUCUUUGAUAAAACAUAUAAGCAAAAUAUAAUGGCUAGAAAUUUAGAAAAUUCCAUAAGUGAAAAUUCUAAUAUACAAGAAAUGGGAUUGCGGAGAUCCGUGAGGCAAAAUGCGACAAUAAAGGGAGCGGCAUCACCACCACGAGUUUCCACCAUGGGAACCACUGCGGUGGCUACCUCGGUAGCCACCCACGACGAGGUCCAUGGUGCCUUCACCACGGCCACCAUGGGAACCACCGCGGUGGCUACUUCGGUAGCCAUUCGUGGCGAGGUCCAUGGAGCUUUCACCACGGCCCGAGCCGUGCCAUCCAAGGCUCACGGGACCAAGACCACGACCCAAGCCAUGCCAUCCAAGUUUACGUGGACCCAAGCCCAAGCCUCGCAUUUACAUGCACCGUGCAUUGAGCAGCCUGCUCUCGUGACCCAGCCUGCUCCCGACGAGCAGCCCACUCCAGUGGUCCAGCCUGCUCUCGACAAGCAGCCCACUCCCGUGGUCCAGCCUGCUUCCGUCAAGCAGCCCACUCCCAUGGCCCAGCCUGCUCCUGCCAAGCAACUUGCUCUCGUGGCCCAGCCUGCUCAUGCUAAGCAGCUUGCUCUCGUGACCCAGCAUGCUCCCGACGAGCAGCCCACUCCCGUGGUCCAGCCUGCUUCCGUCGAGCAGCCCACUCUCACGGCCCAACCUGCUCCUGCCAAGCAGCUUGCUCUCGUGGUCCAGCCUGCUUCCGUCGAGCAGUCCACUUUCACGGCCCAACCUGCUCCUGCCAAGCAGCCUGCUCUCAUGACCCAGCCUGCUUCCAUCGAGCAGCCCACUCCCGUGGUCCAGCUUGCUUCCGUCGAGCAGCCCACUCCCGUGGCCCAGCCUGCUCCCGACGAACAACCCACUCCCGUGGUCCAGCCUGCUUCUGUCGAGCAGCCCACUCUCACGGCCCAACAUGCUCCUGCCAAGCAGUCUGCUCUCGUGACCCAGCCUGCUCCCGACGAGCAGCCUACUCUCAAGGCCCAGACUACUCCCGUGGCUUUCCAAGCAGCCCAAGUCGGCCUAAGACUAUCUCAACCAUCCGGACCUACCAUCGAACCGGGGGCAUUCUCACCAUAUUUUUUCGCGGGUUUGACAUUUCCCAACUCAAAUCUCGCGCCUGAAGUUUACCACCCUUUCACUGCCCAAGGAGGCGCAUUCCUUCCAAGCUCUUCCAAUCCAAAUGGCGAACAACACUUGUCUCGACAAGUCAUAGAGUUGACGAGCGCCCUUGCACAACAGACAACCUUGGUGAAUCAACUUUUGCAACGCAUCGGGAUCCAACGUGCCUCGGAUGAGGUAUCCCGAAGUAGAACAAGGGUAGAUAGACCUUUUCAGCAGCGUCCCGGUAAGCAGCCACUCGACCAGUCACGAGCCGAACGUUUAGGCAGUGUAUAUUCCCGUCUUAGCGCGCGGAGGAGCAUGCACUCUCGACUAGGCCUACAGAUGAGCAUACAUUCACGGUUGGGGUCAUACUCCGAUAGUCAACAUGAGCAACCUUCCGGGCAAAGUCCAUUCGCGGCUAAGCCCACAUGGAGCAUCCUCCACCUCACAUCAGAGUAGGCAGCACGACGGACGGAGAGAAGCAGUCACUCAAUCCAGCUCAAGUUCAACCAGCAGCCUGCGAAGAACUCGUUCGCCUGCUAGGAACGCACCACAUGCACUGCAUCCGCGACAUAGACGAGCCAAACUCAUGGAAGAGCAGCCUAGACCAGCAAGUCAUGGCUAGGGGCAACCGAGAGAUCCGCUACCCCAACAAAGGCAAAUUCAGGAAGAAGUAGAAAGACUCUUGACCAAGCGAUUGCAUGAUUUCCAACGCAACGAGGUCACCGACAAGGCACUACGGAACAUGACUAACAUAAGCAGGUCACCCUUCACGGACAAGAUCGAGCAGGCAGAGCCUCCACGCGAGUUCAGCAUGCCACAUUUCACAUUUUUCAAAGGGGAUGAAGACCCGGAGAGACACUUAAAGCGCUACCGAAGCACAAUGAUCCUUUAUCGAAAUAAUGAUGAUCUCAUGUGCAAGAUAUUCGCCACUACUCUACAAGGCGAGGUGCAAGAUUGGUUCUACACUCUGCCGCCACAAUCCAUCCGGAAUUUCUACGAACUUUCUUUGGUUUUCACCAAAGAAUAUUCAUCCUAUCGCUCGAUCAAAAAGAAGUCUGACCAUUUGUUCGACGUCAAGAAGAACCCAAAAGAGUCGCUUCGCGACUAUGUGAGGAGGUUCAAAGUAGAGAAGGCAAAAAUAGUCAGAUGCAACGACUCGAUAGCUAGAGCAGCCUUCCAAAAAGGACUUCCGGCAGACCACCCGCUAUUCAGAAAAUUGAUUAUGAAAGAAGAUCUAACUCUGGCAGACUCUUUUGCUUUGGCAGAGAAGCAUGCACUGCGGGAUGAGGCUCGCCAAUGCAUAUUCAAGGACUUGAAGAAGUACCCGACAUCACCUCCCUAGAAGCAGCGGAUGACUUAUUCGCAUGUUUGACGGUAUCUAAAGUAGCAAUAAGCUCUACCAUUAUGCGAGAAGAGCUGGGGGCCCGACUACUUGUAUUCUACAGUUACCUGCAGUCAUCAUCAUGACACACUAUUCUGCCGAAUCUAAACCGGCGGCGAUAAAGGCGUAGACCCUGGCAGAUGCAAAGUUUUCUGACGAACGUAACAACUCGGCCCAAUGAUGCCCCGAAGGCAGUCGAUCACACUUUAGCCGCACAUAUUCCCUCAAUGGAGAUUUCUGGCAUUCGCAUGUCAACGGCGCAUCCAACUACAAAGGCUCGCGAGCAGCCGUGGUUCGUGGCAACCGACUACUUCACCAAAUAAGUGGAAGCAGAGCCCAUGACGACCACAAUUCAGACGGACAUAGAGCGCUUCAUAUGGAGGAACAUCAUUUACUGAUUUGGCAUUCCUUAAUCCAUCGUCACCAACAACGGCCUGCAAUUCGUGGGCAAAGAUUUGGCGAAGUUUUUCCAAAAAUAUGGCAUCAAGCAGCAUAUGUCCAUGCCGAGAUAUCCUCAAGGCAAUAGGCAGGCCGAAACAUCCAAAAAGAUGGAUCUCAUCUGGGAAGGUCUGUAUAAGCUCAGCAGAAUAGGCGGCAAGAGUAAUUAUACCCCUGCUACCAUGAAACGAUAAAAAGAUCGAAAAGUAGUGGAGCGCCUACAAUCUGAAGAAGUACCAUGUGUGACCUCCCACUACAUCAAGCCCGAAGACUCAAGAAGCUUGACGGGCACCACCUCACAAGUCGAGGACUAUCCAGUUGUUAUGCAGUUCCUACCUUAUAGCUAAGUUCUCGUUUGUUUCACUCGUUUUUCAAUGAGGAAUUCAGAAGUAAUCACAACUGAUCACUCCGGCACUUCAAAAGAAGACUGCGCCCUUCUUAGGGACCCAUCGCAGGAAUUGCGCCCCCCGAUGGACCAACCAUGCUCUCCAGUACGAGAGGGUAAACUAAUUGCUCUCCAGUGCGAGAGGGUAAACCAAUUCCCCGACACCCAUAUGGGUCAGCUCUCCAAGACGGGAGGAUAAACUUUACACUCCGAAUAUCUAGACGUGGAUGAGCCUGGCUGCCCUAGUAUAACUAGAUGCACGAUGGCUUGCGCCGGGAUUCCUAGAAGUAGCCGCAAUGGUCUUUUUCAAGGCUUAGCUAACUGAAGAAUUUUGGGUCUCUUGGCCUAAUCCGUGGGGAACCGGGCCCUAGAGACGGAGAGGGCACAUUACGCAGUACAUUCGAUGGACGGCUGCCCUGGAAUCCUAAAGCUGCUACCGAGUGCACUAAGGUAGCCUACGGAUUCCGGAAGACUGCCUACGGCUUGCCCUUCGAGCAGUAAAACCGCGCUAGACUUAGGCAACUGCACAUUCUUGUGAAAGGUUAAACAAGCUAGCGCGCAUAUACGAAGUUUUAUCCACUGCCGACAUGCUAUGUAGUCGAUAAGCUUCACCUCUGCCAAGCGCGGAACAACCUACACCAAGUCCUAAAGUGUUAUGAUACUUGCUACGCAACCUACGGAAUUGAAGAAAGUCAAGGUUAACAACCUAGUGGUUACGCGGACUUGUCUGCUUCUGUAAGUAAGGCAUCCGGCUGCCAACCCUAUGGCUAACAACUUUGCAAAGUUCUACACCAACACCUACGGCUGCAUAGGCUACGCGAGCUUGUCUACUUAUAAAAAAGUAGCAUGCCUGCCACUGGUCUAUCAAGUCUAAAGGUUAGAGCAUGAACAAAAGAAGUGAAGAUAAAGAAAAACGAAGGAAAACAUGUUUAUAAACAACUAGCAAAGGCCGAAUGAGUUCAAGCAAAACAAGAGCUACAAGGAAAAACAAAGAAAAUCCUAAAGGCUACCUAAAAUACUACACUACAUCAGCUUGGACAUCCCAUGACUACUCAGUCGCCACACCUUCAUCCGGCGCUUCACCCCCGGCUGCCCCAGUCUGGGCACUAACUUCUCCAACUACUUCACCAAUGGAAGCCUUAAAAAUAAAAGCAAGCAAGUCUUCUGGAGAAAUAGAGAAGCUCAUCCACUCCCUUCUUAGCAUAAGCAGCAAAACGAAGCUCAGAAAUUGCAAGCUUACGAUAUUGAAUCUGAGGCGAAUCAAUCUCAACAGCAAAGGGAGCAGGCUUUGACGCCACUUUAGCAGCAGAGUCCACCUUACCACUCUUCAUAAUAGCAAGUCUCUACAAAGGUGAACCAGACUUGGCUCCCAAAGAACGUCCUGGUACAGACUUCGGCACUGGGGGCAUGAUAAAACCUUUACACUGAGCAAUCUUAUCCACAAUUGUACUAGCCUUUCUCAACAUGGAAGACGCCACAUGCUCAGAUCUAGCAGCCUUAUUUUUCUUCCCAUUGGAAGAAGUCAUGUCAAUCAUAUAACUUUCGGUAGCAAGCGGACCCUCAUGAGCAGCAGAAGAAGUCUUUAGUUUUUUCUUAACUGGCAUCUCAUGAGCAGGCGGGGAAGAUCUCUUCUUUCCAUUUUCAUUCAUAGUAAGCUCCACGACAGCGAUUAGACGAGCCAAUGCAUCCACCUUGAUCCUCUUUACCUCCUCUUUCUGGAGCAACCCACAUUUCUUUCAGCAAAGAGGACUAAGCAACCAACGACAUUCAUGGUACUCAGCAGGGGAGCUCAACCCAGCAUUCCAGCAGGCAGGAGGCCUGCAUGCCCAACAUUCCAACAGCCCAUGAGACCCGCAAUCUCCUUAUUUCUCUCAAUCGCCAGCUUGGCCCGAUCAGGUCCAAGAGCCCAAAGGACAUGAGCCAUGCGGCUCUCCUAGCACUGCGCCCCAGCGCCACAAUCCUCGACCCCAGCUGCACAAGCUGCCUUUGGCUCAAGCCAAGCCAAUCUACCCAAGCAGUGGUCCCUGCCACGACAUCUCCUCAACCCAUGCCAAGCCAACUUCUGGCCCCUGCCUGCCGACGUGCCGCACCACCCCGACGGCUGCCCUGCAAUAGCACUAUCCAAGAAGAAGGCAAGAAAAAUUAAUUUUUUCUUACAUCGGUGAGGCACGGAGAAGACGAAGAAAUCAACGAAAGACGGUCCUUUGCACGGGUAAGAUGUAGAAGAUUGCUAGAGGAGGGGGAACAAAUAUCCUCUAACUUUCUCUCUCUUGUUGGGUAGAAUAAAUCGCUCUCCAAAGUUGAUUUAAUAACCCACUUAAGGUGGAAUUAAAUAGGCUUUGAGAGAAAUUUAUUUCCCUUUCCUAGAAGGAUAUAAUUUCCAUUUAAAGAGAGAAUCAACAUCAAAAUAGGAAACAGUCUUAAAUUUCCUAAAGUAAGAAAAUCUCUACACCUGUUGUCCUUUCCUACAAGCAGCCCAACAGGUGUGGGGGCAUUUGUGGAGCCAAAAAUAAUCACAAGGCGACACGUAGAUUUUUGACAAAAAAAGACAAAACUACCCUUGAGGUAUACCGGGAUUCCUACGUGCAAUCAGCAGACAAUUAUCCUUCAACCAAGUCAAAAGUGCCCAAAAUAGGUAUCAACUUAAAACCUAAUUUAUUCAUAUAUUUCCCAUUUCAUUAUUUAGCUAAUCAAUUAGCUAAAUAAUAUACUUAUUCCUUUCAUAUUUCCUAAAAUUGACUAAUUAAGGGAUUAAUUACCUAAUCAAUCCCUUAAUUAUCAUCUAAACCUCCAAAUUAUAACCAAAAACCCACUAGGGCCGGCCAUGCCGUUUAUUUUCUGUUUGUUGCUGCCAUUUUCUCCCCCUUUUUAUGACAUUCAAAUAGCUAGUUAAUUAGGUUAUUACUAUUUGCUAAUUAACUAGCCAAUUAUUUCCAUAACUCCCCAAAAUAACUAGACCAUUAUCUCCAUAACCCCCCAAAAUAAAUCACCAUUUCCUCUCCUAUAAAUUAGGUCCCAUUUUCACAAAACACUAGUUCCAAUUCUCUUACAAAAAAUCCCAAAUAUUCUAAACACUAUUUCUCUCUAAAAUUCUAACUUUGGCAUCGGAGGUUCUUUGGCCAAAGCCCCUCCAUUCAUCGUGGGCGCAUGAGGCUCUUGGUCUUAACCUAAGGUGCUAGUUGUUUUGUAGGUGCAAAAUCGUCCAAGAUCGAAGAGGAGAAAAUUUGCAUCCACACUAAUGGCUAAAUAUCUUUAUUUAUACUACUACAAAAUAAAAUCCUAAAAGGUCUUAGAAUAAAACUAGGAAACAUAAUAAAAUAAUAAAACAGAAAAUAAAAGGUUUCCUAUUUAAACUAAAAUUCGGAUUUCUUAGAAAAUCAGACUUUUGACCAACCAAAUCAACUCUGAUAUGGUCCCAAAAGGUCUCUUUUGAAAGCUGAAGACGUUCCCUACAAAUCCUCAGAAGAAAUCUUAUUCAAAAUAUACUAUUUUGACCUCCAAAAUACCCAAAACGUCCAAAAAUGUCAAUCUGGAAAAGAUGUGCGCUAGGCUUUUAUUUCAUCACCACGGUCAAACGGCUUGGUAGAAAAAUCCGAAACUUUGAUACAAUCAUCUUGAAAGGGUCACGAACAUUCUCCAAUUAGAAUCACUCUAAAAUUCAUCUGUUUGAUCACUUUUUUUCUCUAGAGGAAGUCGAAUGUCCUACAUUGAAAAUCUAUAACAAAGUAUCAGUAUUCUACCAAAAUAACCAAUAAACUAUAACUAAGAAUAGGGUAAAAUAUAUGAUAUAAUAUUGACUCAUCACCGAGGAGGUCCUGAAUGAGAUCAGGAGAGUCCUCUAACUCUACAAUUUCAUUGCCAAUAGAAAGAGAAAACUUAGCUAAUUUAUGGGCAACCCCAUUACAUGAUCUUGGCACAUGCACAAACUAGAUAGAGGAAAGGAAAGCCGCCACUUGCCUAGCAUCCUCCGCUAGCAAACCAAACUCGGACAAAUCUUGAGAAUGGUUAUUCAUAGUAGCAAUAACGAGAGAGGAAUCACUCUCUACAAUAACCUGCCCAACAUGUAACCUUCUCACCAACUGGAGGCCCUCCAAUACUGCCUCAAACUCCGCGUGGAGAGUAAACCCAAUUCCCACCUUCCUCCAUACUCCCACCGCUAAGAACUUCCCUAUCCAAUCCCUUAACAUAACUUCUAUACCCCCUACAAACUGCUCUAGUCAUGUGGUCCCAUCAACUUUGACUUUGACCCACCCAUCAGAGGGGGUCAUUCAUUUGAGUUGAGGCAUCGGCUUUGGCACACUCGGCAAGGCAUGUGCUGUAAGAGUAUAAGUAAGGACAACAACAAGUAUCAAGAGCAGAAUUCAAGUGAAAGCAAUUCAAGGGUCUAGAUGAGGACAAGUGUCACAAGAUCAAAAGGAAGUUACAAGGCUGUUAGGAUAUGGUGCUAAGGUUGUUACGUUUGUUAAAACUGAUAUACUUCAUAUCUUAGCUUACAGAGCAAGGUAUGUAAGGAUAUAAAUACUGAUAUCCAAAGGUGUAAAGAUAUGAUGAAAAAUACACAAGUAAUACAAAGAAAUCUUCUCUGAAAUCUCUCUGUCUCUAUCUCUCUAAAUCUCAGUUUCUUCGACUACCUUCAUUGAAGCUACUGCUUCAAUCUUCACAUGGUAUCAGAGCCUUUACUCUCCAUUUAUCAACUCUGUAAGGAUAAUAGAUGCCGAUUCAUAUGUGAUGAUGUUUCUUUUUGGGUUCAGCACAAAUUCACAGGGAAAAUCCUUCUCAAGGGGCUGUGUAAGGCUGGUUAUUAUCCUAUACCUUUUCACAUUUCUCCGAAGCUGCCAUCUGCAUCAUCUUCGUUUCACAAAUGCUUUCUUGCACAACCUGUUAGUUCAAGUCUAUGGCAUCGACGGCUAGGACACCCCUCUAAUGCAAUCACUUCUGCCAUACUACAUCAGCAUCAACUUUCUGCAUCUUUAGACUCUUGUAAAACAGUUUGUACACCAUGUCUAGAAGGGAAAUUUACCAAGUUACCUUUUUCUUUUCCCACAAAUAAAUCUGUACAUCCCCUAGAAAUCAUUCAUAGUGAUGUAUGGGGCCCUGCUCCUAUCUUGUCAUAUGAAGGGUUUAGAUACUAUGUAACCUUCAUAGACGAAUGUACACGAUUUACAUGGAUUUUUCCUUUGAAAUAUAAAUCAGAAGUGUUUGCUACAUUUGUCAAGUUUCAUGCAUUUGUGUGUACUCAAUUUUCUGCCAAAGUUAAAAUUUUACAAAAUGAUGGUGGAUGAGAGUAUAUUAGCUCUCCGUUUCAACAUUUUCUCACCACCAAUGGUAUCCUUCAUCACAAAUCAUGCCCACACACUCCUGAACAGAAUGGAUUAGCUGAACGAAAACAUAGACACAUUGUAGAAACUGCCCUUACUCUCCUUCAAACUGCUAAGUUACCUAAUCUCUUCUGGUUUCAUGCUUGUGCCACUGCAGUCUAUCUAAUCAAUCGCUUGCCCUGUGUCAUUCUUCACAUGAAAUCUCCUUAUCAACUGUUAUAUGGUCAUCUUCCACACAUUGGUCAUUUCAAAAUUUUUGGAUGUGCAUGUUUUCCUCUAUUGAAACCAUAUAACACUUCCAAAUUACAACCCAAAACAGCUACCUGUGUGUUUUUGGGCUAUGCAGGAGAUUAUAAAGGUUUCCUAUGUUUAAAUCUUAUUCAAAACAAAAUGUACAUAUCUAGACAUGUCCUUUUUGAUGAAUCCACAUUUCCAUAUGAAAAGUUUUCUGUUUCUGUCAAACCCUCACCUUUGGUAGUAUCAUCUCCAUCAUUGCAUCCUUCUCCAUCAUUACCAUGCAUUACCUUGACUAAUCAAGUCACACCAUCACUUCAUACUCAUGCAUCCUCAUCUCAUACUACAGCUUCAGUGCAUUCAGCAUAUAGUGCCUCAGAUUCCUUGGCUGCAUCUAGUGCCUCAGAUUCAUUGGAAACACUUACAUCUGUCCCACAUUUGAAUUCUUCUUUUCCUCCAAGUGUUGACAUACCAGGUACCAUGCCUACACAGUCUCCUAUCCCUGUGGAUCCUGAUUUCCAACCCGAUCAUCUUAAUGUUGUUUUCUCAUUACCACUGAAUGUGCAUCCUAUGGUCACACAUUCCAAGAAUGGUAUUGUCAAACCAAAGGCUUUCUCUGCUAGCAUUGGCUCUCAGUCCCCUGUCUCCGAGCCAAAGACAUUCAAGGCUGCUUCUCAAGUUCUCGAAUGGCAAACUGCAAUGCAGGAAGAGAUCGAUGCCCUUCAUUCUCAACAAACAUGGUCCCUAGUUCCUCUUCCAUGUGACAAGAACUUGGUUGGAUGUAAAUGGGUAUAUAGAAUUAAGAAGAAUGCCAAUGGCACUGUGGCAAGAUAUUAAGCCCGGCUUGUCGCCAAAGGGUACAACCAAGAGAAGGGUGUCGACUACGGUGAAACAUUCAGUCCGGUGGUUAAACCUACAACCAUUCGUCUUAUUCUUGCCUUGGCAUCACAGUUCCACUGGCAACUCCGGCAACUUGAUGUCAAAAAUGCCUUCUUACAUGGCGUUUUACAGGAGGAUGUGUACAUGGCACAACCUCCAGGAUUUCUCAGCAACCAGUAUCCAUCUAAUUAUGUCUGUAAGCUUCACAAGUCACUCUACGGGUUAAAACAGGCUCUAAGAGCGUGGAAUGAUAGAUUUACAAGUUUUCUCCCUGCCUUGGGAUUUCAGUCUUCACAUGCCGAUAUAUUGUUAUUUGUGCAAUCCUCUCCACAAGGCAUUGUUGUCUUACUGCUUUAUGUGGAUGAUGUUAUUUUAACUGGCAGUUCUUCUCAGUUAAUAGCUCAGGUCAUCAAAGCUCUUACUGCUGAAUUUGAAAUGAAGGAUUUAGGUGAUCUCCAUUAUUUCUUGGGGCUGCAAAUUAGUCACACUGCAGAGGGUUUAUUUGUUUCUCAAUCCAAAUACAUCAGUGAGUUAGUUGCCAAGGUGGAUUUAUAGGCAUGUAAACCUUGUGCUACUCCUUGUUUACCAUAUCAUCGACUCUUAAAGGAUGAUGGCAAGCCAUAUCACAGUCCUGAUCAAUAUAGAAGUAUAGUGGGAGCUCUUCAAUAUCUCACAUUUACAAGGCCUGACAUAGCCUUCUCCGUGAAUCAAGCCUGCUAGUUCAUGCAUAAUCCUAUGGAGUCCCAUGUCAUUGCAGUCAAAUGGAUCAUCCGCUAUCUCAAGGGUACACCGGAUUAUAGGAUACAUUUUAAACCUGGUCCCCUCUCUCUUCUAUCCUAUAGUGAUGCCGACUGGGCUUGGGAUCCAAAUGACCGACGUUCCACCUCUGGCUUUAUUGUUUUUCUUGGAUCCAAUCCUAUUUCCUGGUCCUCAAAGAAUCAGCAUACGAUCUCUCGAUCAUCCACAGAGGCUGAGUAUAGGGCGCUUGCUAUCACAGCUGCUGAACUCUCUUGGAUUCGACAGUUGCUUUGUGAUUUACAUAUUCCUCUCUCUCACGCCCCGUUGAUUCACUGUGAUAACCUUUCCGCCAUUGCUUUUUCCACCAAUCCUGUCUUUCAUGCGAAGUCUAAACACAUUGAGAUUGAUUAUCAUUUGUUCGUGAAAAGGUGACAAGAGGAGAUCUUCACGUUCACCAUGUUUCUUCUGCUGAUCAGUUUGCUGAUAUUUUCACAAAGGGUUUAUCUGCACCCUUGUUUCAACAUCACUGUGGAAAUCUCAUGCUCAGUUCCCUCAAGCAUGAGAUUGAGGGGGGAUGUAAGAGUAUAAGUAAGGACAACAACAAGUAUCAAGAGCAGAAUUCAAGUGAAAGCAAUUCAAGGGUCUAGAUGAGGACAAGUGUCACAAGAUCAAAAGGAAGUUACAAGGCUGUUAGGAUAUGGUGCUAAGGUUGUUAAGUUUGUUAAAACUGAUAUACUUCAUAUCUUAGCUUACAGAGCAAGGUAUGUAAGGAUAUAAAUACAGAUAUCCAAAGGUGUAAAGAUAUGAUGAAAAAUACACAAGUAAUACAAAGAAAUCUUCUCUGAAAUCUCUCUAUCUCUAUCUCUCUAAAUCUCAGUUUCUUCGACUACCUUCAUUGAAGCUACUGCUUCAAUCUUCACAUGUGCAGCCCUAAACGCCUGGUACUAAUAGACGACCUUCUGCCCUACCUCCAUAGGUAGCCUUGGAUGCCCUUCCCACACCAGAGAGUUACUCGUCUGCCACACACCCCAAAGAAUCAUGCAAACAAGUUCAAAAUUAGAUCUUUGGGUCUCAACCACUGAAGGUAGCCAUUCGCGCAUUAUCACUCCAGUAUAGACAUGAAACUAGACUCUACCAGAGACCCCAACCACACAUCCUUUGCAAACCUACACUCGCGGAACACAUGCCCCUCCGUUUUGAGAUCCCCCAUACACACCACACACUUUAUAUCGAGUUGCACCCCUUUCCUUGCUAGAUUACAUUUAGUCGAAAGAAUGUUCUGACUAACUUUCCACUUAAAAGUUUUCACCUUAGGGGGAAUCUUAGCACUCCAUAUUGACUUCCAGAUAGACGGAAAAGAGUUACUCCCUGCCGACGUAGACGUACCGGACGAGUUAGAUUGCACCAACUCCCUAGCCACCAAAUAGCCACUAUUAAGAGUAUACUCACCCCGAUUAUUAUAGUGCCAAAGUAAGAGGUCCGACUGUGAGCGAAAACUAAUCGGCAUAGUACUAAUCAAACCCACCUCCUCCUCUAAAAACAGUGUGUUAGAAGGACUUUGUAUCAAUCAACUUCUGCACUUGAAUAUCUUUCUAGUAACAACAAAGUGAGGUCUUGGUAACAAUCUACCCUUCCACUCCUUAAUAGCCGCACUAUUCCCAACAACCCAUAUAGAACCUCAGAUCAUCACCCCACGUGCCUUUAAAAUGCUAUUCCAGCAAUAUCCUCCUAGUAACAACAACGUUGGGAAAAUAGCGAGCCUUGAAUAGUUGGGCCACCAAAGACUCAAGUUGCUGGAAAAUACGCCACCCUUGCUUUGCCAAAACAACCAAAUUAAAAGCAAAUAAAUCCCAAAAUCCCAUACCAUCCCCCUCCUCCUUCGGUUUGGGCAAUUUCUCCCAAGACCACCAAUGUAUUUUCCUCACAUUUAGAUCACUUCCCCACCAAAACUGAGCCAUUAAUUGGUGAAGAUAAUCACAUAACAUCCUAAGAAGCAAGAAACAAUUCAUAGCGUAAGCCGGAAGGGCUUGAGCAACCACUAUAAUAAGAAGCUCUCGCCCCACACUACUCAAACAUUUUCCUUUCCACCCGUUUAGCCAUUUCAGAACUCGUUCCUUGAUAAAUGAAAACGUUUGUGUCUUAUUUUUCACCACAAAGGUAGGGAGACCCAAGUAUUAUUCAUGCUGCUUAACCACUUGGACCCCCCAAAAGCUGGCAAUAGAAAUUUGCUCCCUUGAGCCAACAUUUGCACUAAAAGCAACACUACUCUUAAAAAAUUAACCACUUGGCCCGACUCUUAAGAGUGGACAUCAAAUAUAUGUUGAAUCGCCACACUCAUCUAUACUAGCUUUCUCGAAGAGAAAACUAUCAUCAACAAAGAGUAAGUGGUGAAUAUUCAAAGCACCCUCACAAAUUUGAAUACCACUAAGAGCCCUACACUGCUUCUUUUUGGCAAUAAGCGCCGAAAGAUCUUCCACACAAAGAAGGAAAAUAUAGGCGAGAUUAUAUCCCUUUUUUGGAGUCCACGAGAUGGCAAAACAUAUCCCUUAGUCUCCCCAUUGAUUAGGAAAUAAUAGGAUAUCGAGGACACAGAAGCCAUAAUCACUUUGAUCUAUUCCCUAGUAAACCCUAAGUUAACCAUCAUAGCUUAUAGGAAUGUCAUUCGACACGGUCAUAUGCUUUACUGAGGUCCAUCUUUAAAGCCAAAUACCCCUCCCAACCGCGCGUCAUUUGUUAUGUAGGAAAUGCCCAAUCUCCGCUGCCAUCAACGAGUUAUCGGAGAUCAAUCUUCCAGGAACAAACUGUUUGGGUUAAAACUUAAAUCUUGGGCUUAGAAGGGAGUUGGCCCAGCGAAGAGGAGAAAAGCCUGAAGUCCAGCCCAAAUCCAGAAGGCAGAAAAGGGCUUUCCCGACUAGGUGCAUGUCAUUUGCACCACUUGCUCACCUACCCAAGGGCCAAGUAGUAUAGACCUGCCAGCUGAUCAGCCCAAAAGUACUUUACAGUGGUAGUACAAGUAAAUAGCUGAUGAGUCACUACCCUUCAAGCUGCAUUCGGGUAAGGUUGCUGCUACAGGAAGACAAGCCAAGUUGUCUAUAAAAGAAGAAAGAGAAAUUAGGAAUAAAGACACUCAAUCAAACAAACAAAUACAAGCACAAACUCUGCUCAAACCAGAUUUGCCUUCAAAACGAAGCUGUAGUCAGCCCAAGCCUUCAUCAUUCUCGGGAUAAACCUUUGUAAUAGCUUUGCUACCUGGUCAAGAACCUACUGUAGUAUCGAUUUCUUUCUGCAAACCCAUCUCCCUACCCCUUUUCUGAAAGUUCUCAACCCCCUUGACAAACCACAAAGAUAGGAAGUUACAAGACGAUCAGCCUUGCCCGACCUUCUUUGUUUUUGUCUUUUCAUUCAUUAGCCUAACAAUAUGUUGUAUACUACAAGUUGUAUUCAAGUUAUCUCUAGUAAUAUGGCUAUUAAAAGACUUUCUCAGCGCUUAAAUCCGAGUUGAAUAUGUCUUCAUAGUUCAAACUGGAUCUAAGUUCUAAACCCUCGGGCAUGUAAGAUUUGAUCAUCCAAAAGUCCUUGGCCUCAAGGCAUAAAAAAGAACCUUAUAUGGACUUAACCCAUCCAUGACAAGCUUUGAUAAACAAGAAGUCCGAAGUUACUUGGGGUGCAAGUAAUCGAUUUAUCACCUAGUUUUAUUUCUAUUAUAUUAUGAUUACAAUAGAACGUUGAGUAUAGAAUGAAUUCUGAUGGGAAGCCUCAAGGCCUACACGUAAGGCCCUACAAAGGCACCUAUUUGGAUUCAUUAUGUCCUUCGGGCUAGAACGAUGAGUAUAGAAUGAAUUCUGAUGGGAAGCCUCAAGGCCUACACCUAAGGCCCUACAAAGGCACCUAUUUGGAUUCAUUCUGUCCUUCGGGUUUAGAUAAUCAGAAGUAUAAUGGUUAUAAGAUUUAUAUAACCAAGGAAACGAACCAUAUGUAUAUAUUCAAAUACUAAGUUAAUUAUUAACGGGAAGCCUCAAGGCCUACACCUAAGGCCCCACAAAGGCACCUGUCAUAACUAAAAUAGUCUCUUGGGUAUGUAUACAAUUAAAAUUCAACAAUUGUUCUACAUCUGCCAUGCUGAAGAUAGCAGUGGCACGCCUGAGCACUUAAAAGUUAAUUUUAAUUGUGAGCCUCAAGGCCUACACCUAAGGCCCCAUAAAGACACCUUUCAAAGUUAACUCAGUCCUUCUCUUUCAGCCUUGCCCGACAAGCCUUGCCCGACUAGGCUUUGCCCGACAAGCCCGCCAGUAAAGCAGAAACCCGACAUGAAGCAUCAACCGGCGCCGACCUCUCGGGGAGCUGUGUGCUCGUCGGCCAGGGAACAUCCCCGAUGGAAAUUCCUGCCACGAACAUAGUUUGGCACGCCCGGUGGGAUUCCAUUUGUGUUGAUCGUGCAUGUCCAAAAAGAAAAGCCAUAAACUUAGCAGAAAGAAUUCGAAGGACGGUUCUACUCAACUUUUGCUACAAAUGGCAGAUCAAUCAGGGAACCCUCCUUCCCCAUCAGGACAGGUGGUCCUAGAAAGCCCAUCUUCAUCCGGAAAAUCAGAAGGAAGAGGAACUAAUGAGGAAUUACAGGCUACUAUGAUACAAGUGUUAAGGAGUAUGGAAAAAAUCUCUUUGGAAACCAAGGGGGAAGUCAGUAGACUGUGUACCUUAACAGGGAAUUUACAGAGAAGGCUAGAUCUGGAGUUUUCCACUCCAAAAGGUGCUCAAAAGAGUGGGAUGAGCCAGGUUACCAUUAGAAGUGAGCCAGUCAUUCCCCUAUUUCCACUAUUAGAAGAAGAAAAGGAUAGGGGAAAGAAGAAAGCAGUUCCUGAAGGAAGUCAACCCGUGAUAGAGCCAGUUCUAGAGAAGGAAUUUCCUACCUUCCCAUUAUUGUCAUUUAAUAAUAGGAAGCAAAGCGAGCAAGAGAGGAUGAGAUAUGGGAUGCCCAUAACAACAUGAGAAUUUAGCCAAAAAGAAAGUUCUGCAGCUUCGAAUAAACCUCUUCCUUACAGGCCACCCCCAUUGGCUCAUAAGGGAGGAGGAGCCAACUGGAGGAAGCCUGAAUCAAAGAAAGAAGCGUUCACGGCUAAUGAUCGAAGCCCGAGGAACGAGUCCGCCCUUCUCUUCAAUAAUAAUAAUAUAGCUACUCAACAACUAAGGGAUGAGUUGGCUGAAUUGAGAAGGGCAGUGGUUCAAAAUGCUCAACCACGAGCUCGCCCAGUGUUCAGAGUUACUUAUCAAAAGCCUUAUCCUGAACACAUUGACGAACAAAAUCCAUUUCCCCUCAACUUCAAGAUGCCCGUGUUCCCAACGUUCACGAGUGAAGAUAGCAGUGUAUCCUCCAAAGACCACAUUUUCAAAUUCUCUAAUCACUGUGUGGCAUAUGAAGACAACCCAAACUACAAGUUAAGGUUGUUUGGAAAUUCAUUGGCGGGGCUAGCAUCUCAGUGGUAUUCUUUAUUACCCCCUAAUUCUAUUGCCAACUGGGGGCAAAUGGAGAUGGCUUUCCAUGAACAAUUUUAUAGAAUAGAACCAGAAAUGACUAUUAAUGAUCUGGUUGAAGUAAAACAAUACGAGCAUGAGUCCACAGAAGACUUCAUGAUAAGGUUCAAGAAGACAAGGAUGAGGUGCCAAUUCCCGGUUAACCAAGCUCAGCUCAUAUCAAUUGCUCAAAGGGUUCUGAGAUUACCUUUGCGGAAAAGAUUUUAUGAUACACAGUUUAAUGAGCUACAUGAAUUGGUCAUUGCUGCCAUAAAAUAUGAAAGACUAUUGCUAGAAGAACAGCAAGUGAAGCAUACUUCCAAAGCUACUCCCUUCUACAAAAACAAAGCUGCAAUUCAUCGAGUGGAGGUAGGAGAAAUCAGGCUAGAGCAGGAAGAUAGCCAUGACAGAGAGGAAGUUGAGGUAUGUGCCGCUGAGAUGACUACGCCUUUCAAACCAUUAACGGUGAAAGGAUUAGUUCAACCCAUCAAAGAUCAGAAGAUUGUGAUGAACGAUGGAGGCUUUGAUCCGAUGAAACCUCCCAAGUACCAGAGCUAUUCGUUCGAUUUAGCCAAAGCACCUGAGAUUUAUGAAGAGCUGGUGCGGGCAAGGGUAAUUGUGUCCGACAGUGCGAAAAAAAUGCCCAAACUAGAAGAGCUAAGGGGAAAGAAGUAUUGUAAGUUACACUAUACCUUCAACCAUUCUAUAACUAAUUGUGUCCAGUUCAGAGACUGGAUACAAGACCUUAUAGUGAAGGGAAAGUUGUUACUUGACAAGCCACAAGCUAGUAUAAUGGUUGAUACUAAUCCGUUCCCAGAAGCUCCUAUCAACACAAUCCAUCUAGUUUAGAUGGAGAAGCCAGUAUCAUCAGUUGUUAAGGUAGAGAUAGAAGAUGAAUCUCAGGGGUCCCACAACACCCUUGCUCGAAUAAAGUGCCAGGAGAGGGACCAAGAGGUCAUGAUCCUAUUCCAAAAGCAGUGCUGGUAAAUGAAGCAGAAGAAAGGAAAUAAUAAGCAAGGGGCAAAGAGUUGCCCGAAAGAAGUUCAAACAAGGACCAGAAGCAAAGCAAAAGGCAAACAUGUUCAUUCCACUAAAAAAGGGAUUACAAGUAACCCUAAUCUAAUAAAUUUACAUCUCCACUCAGGGUGAUUAUUCGAGAAUGAUAUGUCUGCAUGAUUGCAAAAAUCCUACUAGGUUCGGCCAACACAGUGCGACUAUUUACGAGUUGAGACUCGGUAUGCUCUAGCUCCGAGUUUGAUUUCUUCACUUCUUCAAUUUGAUUUUCGAGGGUGUCAAGAAAAGUUGCUUGCUCAGCCUUGAGAACAACCAGUUGUUCUUCUAGCUUCUAGAUUUCAGAAGUCACUACUUCGAUCCUUGCUUUUGUCAGAGAGCCGUCAUUCAUCAAUUUUUUUACCUGAGCAGAAGUGUUUGAUUUUUUUCUCCUGGAAACAUUUUACGCGAUUAGCUUGUCGUUCAGCUCUCAUAUGUUGAUCCCGGAGAGCCCUCAAGUUCUCAAAGGAAGAAAGAAAUGAGUCAUGCUGAGUUUUUUACAGUUGACCAGCUUUGAAAAGAUCAUUCGUAACCUUUUCCAGGUCACAGAGAGCUUUAAGGCUGAAUGAUGCUGAGAAGUCUUUCCUUGCCCAUUCUUGGAAAAUUCGUUGCUGCUCAGGAAAGUCGGAAGGUGAAGGAUGCUGUGAAGAUUUUAGUCUUGUUUCAAGUUGCCCGAAUUCUUUAAAAAGCUUGGGCAACUUAGCAGCUUUUGAAAAAGGAGAAGCAGGAGGGGGAUUUUGUUCUCCAGUUUCCUCUAAUGAAGUAAUGGUUAUUGGUGGGGCAGUUUUCAGCUCCCCGACCUUCUCAAUUCCAGGAUGGGCAAUCCCGGCACUCCCAAUAGUCAAAUGUGGCUGCGAAGGCUUUGACUUACGAACUAAGCGAGGAGGAGAAGCUUCUUCCACAAUUUGCUGCAAAGGCCAAAGAAGGCCAAAUUAAGACAGAAAAACAGUUUGAAGCAAAGGGAGGUGUCGGGAAGAAGAAAUAUACCUGACUAAGCCUUGGAGCUUCACAAGGAAGGGUGUUAAUUCCUGUUGAGAAGAAGGUUCUCUACCAAUGAUAGGGGAAGAAAAAGCUGCACCUGAGCCUUCACCAAUACUCUAGAAGUAUCCAGAAAUCACGGCAAUUAUUAGUAAGCAGAUGGUAAGAGAAUGACCGGAGGAAGAUAUCUCCUUACCUGAGUUCGACCCGGAGAAGAUGAAGGAGGUUCAUCAAGAGUAACUGUCGGGCAAGCAAAAACCUACAGAGUAGUUGCAUCUGAAGUCACAGGAAUCUUAGGAGCUACAGGUUCGUCACAUGUUGCUACUGACGGGUGUUGAGUGUUAUGUGGUGAAGAAGGCUGAAAAAAGAGGUAAACAGAAGUUAAUAUUGAAACAAUGUAUGGGAAAUCAAUGCAAGGAUGGUUACUCACUAAAUUACUGUCUUCAUCCACGAAGUGCAACAUUACUCCAGUAGAUGGAUCAAAUUGAGAAGAAGGAGUUGCUUUUAGGACAUAAGGAGAAAUCAAAGGAGAACCUUGACUAUGCAAGGGGGUAGAUACCCCAACCUGGAUGAAGUUGAAAGAAGAACGAAGAUCAGGCAUUAGUUCCAUAAAUUAUAAGAGUUACCUAAAGAAGGAAGGGAAUGUACCUCCGAAGGAUUAACCCAGGGGGGAGAAAGGCUGGUUUCUAGGCUAAGUGGUAAAGAGACCUCGGGCGGAUGAAGUUUUUCCUUUCUAGCAGCCUGACUCAAGAAAACAUGCACAGAGUUGUAAAGACAGGAGAGACUAUGCAGACAUAAAAAGUAAACUAUACCUCAAGUUCUUUGAGGGUGAUGUUUCGCAGGUCUUCAGGUUUUUUGUGCAUUUCGGCUCCUAAUGGUUCAUCCUUAGAGGCGAUGGUUGGUUUCUUUGAUGCUUAAGGUCCUAUGUUCAAGAAGAAACAUGAGUAACUAAGUAGAAAAGAAAGGUGGCAAUCUGAUAGAAAAGAAGACAACUUACUUGAAGACUUUUAUUUCUUUCUACCCGCUUCAGGAACCGGAGCAGGUGGGUCUGAAGACUUGAGAGUCUGGACGAUUCUGGUUCUCUUACUCUUUCUGGUGGGAGUAGGAAUUCAUCGUUUAGACUUGGGAGGAGAUGCAUGAUCAGAAUCAGAGGUCUCAAUCACAACUGUUUUCCUUCGCUUAGAUACUUGGAAGGUGGCUUCAGGCGCUUCUCUUUUAGCUCUUAAAUCUUCAGAAACAUCCCCACCUUCCCCAGCUUCUCAUCUUUUAGCCUCCGCCGCAACUCCAUGAAGAACUGCUGCAUCAGCCGAGUCAUCCUCGGACUCCGAAGGUACUGAUUCAACAUCUACUUGGGCUGCAAGGAUGAGCAAGGAAAAAGUUAAAAGGACUUCAGGGAAAAGGAUAGAGAAUCAAGAUAAGAAGAAGAAAUACUUAUCAGAAGAAUCCGAUUCUUCUCCUGGAUCAUCUCAUUCCAAUUCUCAAGUUCGCCCGAACUGGGGUAUGAUUUUAGAGAAAGUUGACUGAAGAGGCGAUUAUGAGCCUCUUUCAAAUCUCCUCCAUAUUUCCUUGCCCAUUUGUCUUCCCACCAAGAAGAGAAGAGUGAGGUGCAUUCAAAAUUAAGGAUCAUGGACUUUCGGGCAGCUUGAUUCAUAACUUCAAGAUUACGUCGGGCAGCUCGAAAGACCACCUCGGAGGGAGAUGAUAAACGAAAGGAAGUGCCAUAAUGAACGGAGUCAAAGAAAGGGAUGGGAAUGGCUUGCCUAAAGCCUAAUUGCCUGCUACAAAAGUUAGGGUGAUACACCUCUAACCCUCGAUCAUAUCGAUUGCCCCGAACUCCCCAGGCCAUGUCUCUCGACUGAAUGCAACUAAUGAAUUUUUCCCUGCAAAAGGGAGUGACAUCCUCCCCAGGAGCAUCUUGAAAAGCCUGAUCAGAGAACCAAAGAUAUCUCCUCAAGACUGAUGCACCCCAUUCUAGGUCUGAUCGAGUCCUACAAACCUAGAAAAAAUAGAAACAGGCAAAGAUGGAGUGAUCAGUAGGAGCAGCUUCAACUAAGAUUCGGGCAGGAGCCACACCUUCUGGGAGUUCUAAAUUAGUAGCCCGAAACUCUGGAAAGUACCAUUGGAGCCAGGUUUGUAUCAUUUAUAUGGGUCCAUUCAGGUUAGUUUCAAAUGGUUCGCCUUAGGUCAUUUCGAAGAGAAGAUGGUAAAGAUGGGAAAGAAGAAAUUGACCUAUUGCUACAUUAUCAAAGUUAUGAAGAGCUUCCACCAGGGGGAUCCAUUCAACCUUCACUCCUUUAGAUUUAUUGGGGAAAACAUGUUUGUUGAGCCAGUAUAGGAGGAAAUACAUGUGCUCUUGAUCCCUAUCAGCAUGAGGAGAACCUGCUCCAAAAUUUUCUUUUACAAAAGGGAUGAAUCCCUUGAACGAGGUCCCGUAACUCUUGAAGGUUGCAAAGUUAUAUUCCAGGGAGAGGAAGGAAGCGGAUGAACCUGAGCUUUCAGCAACUGAUGGGAGAGCCCAGUCUUGAGUAACAUCUACUAUCUUGCCCGAUGGCCUUAACCUGAAGACCUGGGCCAUAUCAAGAAUAGUUGGAAACAUGGGACCCAUGUGGAAAUCAAAAGUGUUUGUGCUCGAAUUCCAGAAAAGAAGAUAAGAGGCCAACAGUUCGGGUUUAGGAAUAAUGGUGGUUUUCGAGAGCAUUAUCAACUCGUAAAUACCAUUAUUCAUCCAUUUCUUCUUAAAAAUUGGCUCUAGUUCGUCAAUCCAUUGAGUCCACGCUGGAUCAUUCAUUAAUGGAAAGCCUCGAUGAUAUGAUGACCACUUGGAUGAAGAAAUGCCCGACUUAGCUGAAAAGGGGUUUGGGGAAAACCAGUUAUCCUUAGGCAUAUUGUCCUCUAUCACUGUGGGGACCUGAGAGAUCCAUGCGGGACCCAACGAUUGUACCCCAUGUACUUCAAAGAAAAGUUCAGAAUACAAACCUGCCCGAGGGCGAUGCAAGUCGUUGAGUAAACGACGCAAAGUGGCGAUACCUUCACCAGACUCAUAGGAUGGUUGGAUUAAACUGGACCCUGAAGCCACUUGAUGAAAUAUGGAAAAGGGACGGCAACAAAGGCGAUGAAGGUAGAAGAUGUCGAGCAAGGGUCAGCGGAGAAAUUGAAAGAUUUAGAAAAGAAAAACGUCUCAGAGUUAGGAAAUUUUCGAUUGUAGAAGAAGAAUGUAAGGGAUUCGUGAGUGGCUAGAAUAACUGUGGGAAGGCGGUGAUUGCUGUUGAAAAGCAUGUAAAUCCCUAGAGAGAAGACGUAGAUAUUAAUAGAGAGUUAUUCAAUCAAUAUUGGCGCCUGGAAUUCCAGUCUGAAUAUUGAUUGAAAGGGGCACUGUUUGGGUUAAAACUUAAAUCUUGGGCUUAGAAGGGAGUUGGCCCAACGAAGAGGAGAAAAGCCCGAAGUCCAGCCCAAAUCCAGAAGGCAGAAAAGGGCUUUCCCGACUAGGUGCAUGUCAUUUGCACCACUUGCUCACCUAACCAAGGGCCAAGUGGUAUAGACCUGCCAGAUGAUCAGCCCAAAAGUACUUUACAGUGGCAGUACAAGUAAAUAGCUGAUGAGUCACUACCCUUCAAGCUGUAUUCAGGCAAGGUUGCUGCUACAGGAAGACAAGCCGAGUUGUCUAUAAAAGAAGAAAGAGAAAUCAGGAAUAAAGACACUCAAUCAAACAAACAAAUACAAGCACAAACUCUGCUCAAACCAGAUUUGCCUUCAAAACGAAGCUGUAGUCAGCCCAAGCCUUCAUCCUUCUCGGGAUAAACCUUUGUAAUAGCUUUGCUACCUGGUCAAGAACCUACUGUAGUAUCGAUUUCUUUCUACAAACCCAUCUCCCUACCCUUUUUUUGAAAGUUCUCAACCUCCUUGACAAACCACAAAGAUAGGAAGUUACAAGACGAUCAGCCUUGGCCGACAAGGUUAAACCUCCCGACCUUCUUUGUUUUUGUCUUUUCAUUCAUUAGCCUAACAAUAUGUUGUAUACUACAAGUUGUAUUCAAGUUAUCUCUAGUAAUAUGGCUAUUAAAAGACUCUCUCAGCGCUUAAAUUCGAGUUGAAUAUGUCUUUAUAGUUCAAACCGGAUCUAAGUUCUAAGCCCUCGGGCAUGUAAGAUUUGAUCAUCCAAAAGUCCUUGGCCUCAAGGCAUAAAAAAGAACCUUAUGUGGACUUAACCCAUCCAUGACAAGCUUUGAUAAACAAGAAGUCCGAAGUUACUUGGGGCGCAAGUAAUCGAUCUAUCACCUAGUUUUAUUUCUAUUAUAUUAUGAUUACUAUAGAACGUUGAGUAUAGAAUGAAUUCUGAUGGGAAGCCUCAAGGCCUACACCUAAGGCCCUACAAAGGCACCUAUUUGGAUUCAUUCUGUCCUUCGGGCUAGAACGAUGAGUAUAGAAUGAAUUCUGAUGGGAAGCUUCAAGGCCUACACCUAAGGCCCUACAAAGGCACCUAUUUGGAUUCAUUCUGUCCUUCGGGUUCAGAUAAUCAGAAGUAUAAUGGUUAUAAGAUUUAUAUAACCAAGGAAACGAACCAUAUGUAUAUAUUCAAAUACUAAGUUAGUUAUUAACGGGAAGCAUCAAGGCCUACACCUAAGGCCCCACAAAUGCACCUGUCAUAACUAAAGUAGUCUCUUGGGUAUGUAUACAAUUAAAAUUCAACAAUCGUUCUACAUCUGCCAUGCUGAAGAUGGUAGUGGCACGCCUGAGCACUUAAAAGUUAAUCUUGAUUGUGAGCCUCAAGGCCUACACCUAAGGCCCCACAAAGGCACCUUUCAAAGUUAACUAUGUCCUUCUCUUUCAGCCUUGCCCGACUAGGCUUUGAUCGACAAGCCCGCCAGUAAAGCAGAAGCCCGACAUGAAGCAUCAACCGGCACCGACCUCUCGGGGAGCUGUGUGCUCGUCGGCCAGGGAACAUCCCCGACGGAAAUUCCUGCCACGAACACAAACGCACUCUGGUGUGGCGAGAUAAUAGUAGAGAACAUCCCUUUGAGGCACUUAGCUAACACUUUAGCCGCUAUCUUAUACAUUACACUGCAUAAGCUAAUUGGCUUUAAUUGGGUCAUAUCUUGAGGUUCGUUCACUUUUAGUACAAGCAUAACAUGCGUAAAGCAAGCUUCACGUAAUAAAUGACCUGAACUCAGGAAAGAUUGAACUGCCUCUACCACAUCUGUCCCCACAAUAUGCCAAAAUUUAUGAUAGAAGAGUGGAGACUUCCCGUCGGGUCCCGGAGACUUGGAAUGAUGCAUUUGAAGCAAAGCCGACCUAAUCCCCUCUUCCGUAUAUGUCAAACUUAAACUAUUAUUUUCAGAGUUGUAAUAAGUAUUUUUAGAAAUAAUAAUAAUAAUAAUAAUAAUUGUUUGGACCAGAAAUUACAUCUUCGGCCUGUACAAUCAAGGCCGUUGAAUGGGCGUAGCUCAUAACCGUUGGAUGAAAAGAAGUGAAGAUAAUUUUGUAAUUAUUGAAGGAUAAUAUUGUGAUUUUUAUCAUAAUUAUCUUUUAAUAGUGAUUUAUCUUGUCUUUUUCUUAUGAAAGAUGGAAAAUAUAUCUCAGGCUGGAAACAAGCGGCACGAUUCGAAUUGGUUUGAAUGUGUGGUUUGGAUCAAUUUUGGUUGACGGAUCUGCAUGCAUACGAUGAGGUUGAGGGAAAAAAUGGUGAUAUGCUUGGGAAAUAAUUCUACACGUGGUGGCGAUAAGAUGGCAAAACAAUUGUUGGGACACAUGGUCUUCAUGCAUGCAUGGGAAACUUGCGGAUUGGGUGAAUUCCAAUAGGUAAUUGGAUAGACAUCUGCAACGUGUAGGGCAAAUAAGCAUUUGAGAAAAGCAAGGUGAUUGUUUUGAGAAUUGAAUUGCCGUGUGUGGCUUUCCAACUAAUGUAGUGAUGGGAUAAAAGAUAAAGUCAAAGGUUGGAAUAAACUAGAUUAGCAUACAGAAGUCCCAUUUGCCGUCCAGAUCCGUAUGGUGUCGUCAUUUCGUGUCUCAGAAUAUUCCAUUACUAGGUCUCCAGAUGCAAUUGAAACGUUCUGCUUAUCAUCCAGGCCACGGUAAAUACGUACAUCAGUCCUAUAAAUACAGAGGAAGUGCAACAUUCAAAAGGACCCCCAAUUUAACACACAACUGCCCUAUGCAAACUCUCUCAACAACUUGAGAUUUUUUAUUUUCCAUUUUCGCUGACACAUCUUCCGUUGGCAUCAACAGCACUGUGAAAGCAACCGGUGAUAUCUUAAGUCGGCAUAGAUAGCUCUAUCACCGUAGAAUUAGCCGAUCUCGCAGUAUCUUCCGUUGGCAUCAACAACACUACGACGAGGACGGUUGGUUACCUAUCCAAGUCUCGGUCGAGAAGGAUUUCCGAAUCCUUAUUGGUCGAGGUCAUCUCAUUAGCCUUCUCGGCGAAGUGAGGUGUUACAAGUUAUUACAUUCGGCACAUUGAAAGCCGAAUUUGAUAUUGAACUUUGUAAGAAUAGUAGCCUUGUCUUCAGGUUCGAGAACCCAAGAGGCCGAGACGUGUUCCUUCCUCGGCCGCAAUCGCAAGACGCAGAAGUCAGCCGCGCACCCAACGCAACAUCAACAAAUUUACUCCUCGGCCGAGCUCGGCCAACGAGUUGGCACGCCCCGCACACAACCGAAGGACGUAGUUAGCUCAUAGAUUACUUGGCCUGCGCUCCAUGUAGGCUUGGUAGUUUUUAGGAUCAACAAUAAUAAUAAUAAUGAUGAUGAUGAUGAUGAUAAAAAUGUUUAGGAAUGUGAUCAUGUAAAUCCUAUCAUAUCUAAGAUAUCCUUAUGGGAUUCUACCAUAUCUCUUAUACUAGAUAUUAUCCUAUUAGAGUUGUCAUCCUAUUAGGGUAAGGAAUUUACCUUCCCUACUACUAUAAAUAAAGGCACAAUAGGGUGAGAUAACAUACAUCUCACAAUUACACAUCUCUCUUCUCUCUCUGUUACUGCCACGCCCCAUUUCUCUGUCCUUUAUAAUGAUUCAGUAAAUUAGGCCUACAACACAUUAUCAGCACGCUCUUGACAUUGCGCUAAAAAGAGUUUAUUCUUCAGUCAUGAGAGUAUUACGUUUUAAUCAUCCUUUUUAUGAUUAAUUUAUUAUUUUAUUGAAUUCAUCGACAUGCUAUUCAUUAAAUUUAAUUUUUCUUUGUUGAACGUGAUGCAAUGCAUUGGAGAUGCAAUUCCGGCUUUUAGAGAAGGAUCUUCUACAAAUUCAAAGGCCCUAUUGUUUUCUGCCAAUCAGGUUCUUUUAAAAUAAAUUAAGAUAAUUGAAAUGUCCAUGAAGCAUGAAAAUAUUCCUCCUAAAGCAUGAAUCCCCUACAUUUAUAUUUUCCUUUUGAUAUAUAUAUAUAUAUAUAUAUAUAUAUAUAUAUAUAUAUAUUGUAUAUGUUCAUAUAUUUUUCAAUAUGUAUACGUUUAUGCAUUACGCAAUUAUAAAUCGGUAUGUGGAAUUUGUGAGCCAAAGAAUCGAAAGAAAAUAGAAGUAAUUUUGGGUUUUUCCAAACCCUAGAAUUCGAAAAAGAAAAUAGAAAAAAAAAUCUGGGAAUUGUGUCGAAGCCUUGGUUGGCUUGCAGCCAAGCCGCGUUGAGCCACACCUAGAACGACAUUGUUUCAAUGUUUAGUGAAAACAGCAGCCCUCUUGGCAAACCAGGCCGAACGCCUGGGUUCUUCACGAUUGGGCCUGCAGUCUCAAUCUAUGCCCUCCUCAUCAGAAGCCAACCUUGCUAGUCUUCUGCCUCCAGCCAACACUCAAGCCUCCAGCAGCUGACUGGGCUUGUUCCCCUAAUUUUUCCCUCGACCUGUGUUACAGCAGCAUGCCUACUGCUACAGAUUUAUUUUUUUCCCGGCCCCGCUCUCUUUUAUCUCUAUAGCCUGCAGUUGCAUCACUGGACCUUUGUGACUUGGCCCAAUCGCUGCUUUCUCACUGCAACAGCUGUUGUUGGGCUUACAGAUCCAGCAGCCCGCACCAGUCUGACUUACAGCAAGCAACCUGAUGUUGUUGGGUUGUUCUUGUUCUCAGCCUAAAGCCAUUUUUGGCUUUUUUUUUCAACCCGCACCCAUUUAUUUUUUUGGUGCCUAAUUUCAUGGCUUUAACCUAUUUUAAAGUCUUUGCUUUUGCAUGUCAUGCAACCAUCUAGCCCAAUAUAUGGCCUAAAACUUUGCAUUAUUUUGCUUUUACAAUCGACCCCGAAUGGUCUCGAUUUAUUGAAUUAAUUAUUAGUGACCAGCAGUCCAUUAAUUUGACAAGAUAUACAAAAUUAUUUGCCUGAAGCCCACUUUUGGACAUUAACAUUUCAAUAUUUUAUUUCUUUUCUUUGAAUUGAUGACUCCCUUUCAUAGUCCCAAAACACUCACAAUUGAGUUCCUAAAGCAAUUUUGUAUAUUAUAUUCUAUUUUCUUACAGGUACCUCCGUUUAUGAACUGGAAGUUCAUAACUAAAUUUGAACCUAUAGUUUCGACUUUAGUGCCUAUAAAACCCGAAAUUUUCAUAAAACAAUACAACAAUGAAAACCCGACGUUUUUCAUGUACACCAUGUCUUAGAACUUGAAAUGUUCGAACUUUGAUGCUUAUGGAUAUCAUAUUUCAAUAGCACUAAUCAUAAUCUUGUUCUUUCCAUUCAAUGGAUUGUCAAACCGUCACAAGUUCGAUUUCCUUGAUUUGGACGUUUCUAACAGAAACCACUUUAUGUGGGUACAAGACUUGAAUCUUCACUUGACUAUCAAGAAGUUGAGAAACCAUUGAAGCCAACAAUGCCAUGGAACAGCCGAAUAAGCCUUUGCCAUAAUCUUCACUUGAAGAUUUAUGCCUGAAGCAUUACAAACGGAAAUACCUUCCAAACGAGGAUUCCAUGCUUUUUGGCUCGCUCUUAUGGACCGUUUAAUCAUGAUAAAUUUUUCCUGAAGCACACCAUGAUUACGUCGAUGAAUGAGUACGAUUAUGAAGUUUAUAAAUCUGAUCAAAUUUUGACUGGAGAACACUUAUCAUCCUUCCAUGUUUCUAACUCGUUCCUGAAGUAAUAGUGUAGAAAGCAGAAGUUUACCAAAUUCUCGGAUCUUAUUACUACCAUAAAUGUGAGAGACCAGUAUAGACUCAACUUCGGCUGUAGUCUACCGAAUGGUGAUACCCAGUUUCGGUUGGGGCCCACUGAAAUGUAUGCUCUGCUUCGGCAAAAGCUUACCAAACAAACCUCUCCAGCUUCAGUUGGAACCUUUCAAACCCAAGUUUGGGCUUGUCUAUCUCAUAAUCCAAUUUCAAGUUUUUUUUAGUUAUGGAUGAUCUUAUCGAUAUUGUCUUCGAAUAUGAGUUAAUUGACCGAAUUCAAUUAAACACGUGGGAGAGUUGUCUGGAUGAAUGCAAUACUAUGCACACUAACUUUAUACCUAAAUCACAUCUCUAGCAACGACUUCAGAUCUAUCCAACAUGAUUAAGAGCAUUGGCACACUCCUUGUUGUAUGAAUGGUACUAAAUUACCAUUUAAGAGACAUUAUAUUCUCCCUGUUCCGAAAGAACAUCGUUAAGUCUUUACGGAUAUUCGAGAGAACAAUGAUCAACAAUGAAACCACUGAAGAAAAUAGAGUGGAAUAUCUUUGCGCCACCUCAAAAAUACAAAGCCUGAAUCUAUAUUUUGGGGCCAAGGGGUUGCCUCCUAGCUGGGAUGCGCCACAUGUGGCCGGCCUAGAGCCGGGUGAUUGAGCACUUUGCUUUCUUUGGCACGACCAUUUAGGACACUUAGGUCAAACAAUGAUGCUGUGACGCAUGUUCUUACCCGAAGUAAGGAUAUUAUGCUUACAAGCACACUUUGCCAAGCUCACUUGUUUAGGAAAUUUGAUCUUUUAUAUCAUCCCUCAUAAAGAUACGAAAUCACCUUCUUUUCACAGUGGAUUCAAGGAAAUAUAUAUAGACCAAUCCAACCAAAAUGCGGACCAUAUAAAUACUUAUGGUUUUGGUUGAUGUAUUGACAAAAUGGUCACAUGUUUGUCCACACACAUUGUUGCUUAACCUCUUGGCUAAUUCUAAGGGUUCACCACCCUAAUUAUCCCAUAAAGUCUAAAAGACUGGAUAAUGCCAGAGAGUUCAUAUCAAAGAUGCUUAGAUAAGUACUGCAUUUCUUUUGGGUUUAUAAUUGGACAUUGAAUUCCCAUGUUCACCCUAAAAUAGCCUCGCAGAGCAAUUAUAGAAGCGCAAUUUAAAUGAUCAGCUGAACCUUGGUGAACACACCAAUCUUUCUACUUUUGCCUAGGGCUAUGCAACCUUUACGCAGCUAUAAUGGUCCGCUUUAAGGCCCAUUAACACCCAACCAUUUCUAGUGUUACAGUUAGUUACUGGGUACAAACCUAACGUUUCAUACUUACGCAUUUAGGUGUGCAUUCCAUGUGCCAAGUUGUUCUGCCGCAACAUACCAAUAUGGGUCCUCAAAGAAAGAUAUGAAUACUUGCCGAUCAUGAUUCUCAUUCGCACUAGCUCUUUAGAGCCCUUGCAAGCGAUCAUUUUACUGUUCAUCUUGUGGAUUGUUACUUCAAUAAGACAGUCUUCCCACUAUUAAGGGAGAUAAAAGCAUCAAUGUUCUUGUACAAAGGCGUGAAUUUGCAUGGAUGUUGUCCACAAUGUCUCAUCUCGAUCACCAUGCCCAUAAGUGUGAUAUAGGCAAGUUCGAUGUAAUCUAGCUUUCAGAAUGUUGCUCCAGACGUAUUCCUCUAAUCUCACUAAAGUGAUGAGACCAUAUACAUGCUGCAAAUAGACCUGCAAGGAUAGAUGUACUUAACGAAUGUCGAGUCAACAUCCUUGAAAGAUGUGCUGCCCCUGAAGGAUGUGCCACCCCUAACCCCUAAAGGACGGUUUGGCUGCACCUGUUGGACGGUCUAGUACAUUAGCAGAUAGCCAAAUAAUCUGUCUUGACCUGAAGCAUGCCAGAUCACUCGGUUCAUAGGAUUCACUUACCUAGAAGAGUAAGGUCAUGUCACGAAAUGAAUCCAUGCUCGAUCGCUCUCUCAAUCAUUUUCACCUUAUGAGAUUAAUCCGGAUUACUCCUGAGACUUGAAAUUCUUGGUCCAGUAUACUAGUUUGGAUAAGAUAAUGGAAUUGGAAUGAUCUAUUAGUAAAGAUACAUCACCGCCCCUACACGCGACCGCUGAAGGUACUACGGAUUUACGCUAAUCCUAAUACAUCCCGAGCGGAUUCGACCCCCUGGUCUUUGGAAUGAUGUUUACCUUGUUUGUUAUGUUGUCACUGAUUACGUAUCAAACCCGCAUAAGUCACAUCCCUACACGAUUAUGUUUUUACUGUUAGGGAUAUCAUAAUAUCUUGGAGGUUCACGAUAUGACCUUAGUUGCAAAAUCUUUGAAUCAUUCCAAGACUCACCUAACUUCACUAUGCCACACGUGAGACAUGGUUGAGAGCUCUUAUUGAGCAUAUUCAAAGUACAUGCUGUUUUCAUUCAUCGUUGAUUCCUGAUGACGAUCCAUGAAGACUAUGCCACAUGUAUCCACCUGACCAAGACAAGAUACAUCAACAAAGUCAACUCCAAGACAUAUUGCGCCUACAUCAUAUCAGUAAAGCAUUAGGAGAUUGAAGUCAUGCAAGCUGAUCCUAGACAACCUUGCCAACCUCUACACGACGUCACUACCGAAGUCAACCUUCCAGAACCUUGUCCGAGGAAUUGGUGUGCCUAAUUAUUCAUACACAAUGUUUGUAGUUCUCAUUUCACAGUUUUGUCAUACUCAGGGGGAGUAUCCAUAAGUAUACUCACUUGAUCUUAAUGUACUCUUUUUCCUUACAAUUAGGAGCAAUUUUCCCACUGGGUUUUUUUACCUAACUAGGUUUUGAGGAGGCACCCAUCCUGAAGCUGGUCAUACCCUUGUGAGCUAUUCUACUUGAUCUAGAAGAUGUUUAGUUUUGACUUAAUGCAACUUCUCACUUUUCUCCUUACUCUAUAGGUUUUUCUCCCACAUUGGGUUUUACCAUAGCGAGGUUUUGUAAGCUUUCCUUUUUAUGCAUUCUUUCGUUGAUUUGAGACUCUCAUUCAUUCAUUGUGCCGACGACUUCAUCAGCUGUUUUUACUUUAUUGCUGAAGACCUGAUGCACCAUUUACUUGAGUAUUUACAUGCUCAAGGGGAAGUGUUGUAGUCCUAUUAGAUUAGGAAUGUUAUCGUGUAAAUCCUAUCAUAUCUAGGAUAUCCUUAUGGGAUUCUACCAUAUCUCUAAGACUAGAUAUUAUCCUAUUAGAGUUAUAAUCCUUUGGGGUAUAUUGGGGUAAGGAAUUCACCUUCCCUACUACUAUAAAUAAAGGCACAAUGGGGUGAAAUAACACACACCUCACAAUUACACAUCUCUCUCCUCUCUCUGUUGCCGCUGCACACUCUCUCUUUGUCCUUUAUAAUGAUUUAUAAAUGAAGCACCACGAGAAAAUGGAAGACAUCGCCAACCACCAUUGGUUAACACCACCUCAUCUAAAUGGGAAUGAACAAAGCUUCCCAUUUGGGGUUUAAGAUCACUUGUCCAUCUAUAUGGCACUGAACCCCACAGGUAAAGACAAGUAGGAUGGUGAAACGAUGCAUUAUGUGGGUAAAUCCCAUAUGGAUCAGGAUUGCUUUCAGCAUAAUGUCUAGAAAAGUAUGGAAGCAGGUUGCUGCCUUGGGAAAGGAAUGAGGAGCUCCACUGUGCAUGUGGGAUCCAAAAGGAUCGCCAUAUCUAGGAUAGUUCUUUGAAUUAUGCCCGGAAGAGUGUGGAGUGUAUGUAUAAAAUGUGGAGUUUAUGUUGAGAGCGUAGGGUGUGAGGAUAUUAUGGGAAAGUAUGCGGGUUAUAUUCAACAAUAUGUGGUGUAUAUGAAGAUAAAUUUUAAUUAAAAAAGAAAGUGUGUGGUGUAUUAAGUAUGUGAGGUGUAUUCAACAAUAUGUGGAAUGUCAAUAGAACAACCCUUUAUUAAUCAAUAAAAAUAGAUUUAGUGUUGCUGUCUAAUUAGGUACCAAUCACAUUUACUGUUAAUCUACAUCAAGCCACAUAAGAAUUGACAUUUCUGUUGGAAAAUAAUAAUGUUGUUUUUUUCUUUACUGUUAUUGGUGAUGUGACAUUUUUUACUACAUCAUUUCUUUUGUUUACUACCAAUAUCUAGCAAUGGCACACUCGCUCACAUGAUUGCUUUCAAGUCUUGUAUUGGCACCGAAGGUAAAAAAACACUCAGGACAAACAAUUUAUUGAAGUGACCUAGACCAACCAGACAGUAAGAAUAUUCUGACGAUGUAGGUCAUAGUUAAUUAUGAAGGGCAUUUAUAAUUCCUCCUAUUAGUUCCAUCUAAUAAUUACUUUAGUCUAAAGAAAGGUUGGAAAUGGCACCGUUGAAAUGAACAGUGUUUCAUUCUGAUAUUUCUGUUGGUUUUGGGUCUGCAGCCUGGCCCUUAGCCAGGCUUAAAUGCGUUGGUUUUGGCUGGGAAGCUCGGCCCUCAGUAAGGCCCAGAUUAUUUAAUUACAUUUUUCCCAUCUAAGAUUACAAUCCUAAGGUGGGGAUGGUCUAUUACGAAGGGCAAUUGUGUCCUCUCCAUUUUGGGUGAGAUGAGGGUCACCGGGUAUGUAUCAUUUGUUGUAGUUCAAUUAGGGUUUUGAGAAGGGUCUGCGAGAAAGAGAGAUAGAGAGAAGGAGAGAGACACAGAGACAAAGACAGAGAUAGAGAUGGCGAUGGAAGGAGAGCAAGGGGAGGGGUAGGGGUAUCGACACUGUUUCUUAGUAUGUUAGGUCCAGUUUUGGGGGAUUUGUGAUUUUAUAAAGAGAGAUGGAUAGGGAGAUUGAAAUUGACAGAGGGAGGAGAAAGGUUGAUGCGUAGGGUCAGUGAGGUGAGUGACAGAGGAAAUUUGAUCUUCUAUAUCAUCCAUCACAAAGAUACGAAAUCAACUUCUUUUCACAGUGGAUUCAAGGAAAUAUUUAUGGACUAAUCCAACCAAAAUGUGGACCAUAUAAAUAAUUAUGGUUUUGGUUGAUGUAUUGACAAAAUGGUCACAUGUUUGUCCACACACAUUGCUGCUUAACCUCUUGGCUAAUUUUAAGGGUUGACCACCCUAAUUAUCUCAUAAGGUCUAAAAGACUGGAUAUUGCUGGAGAGUUCAUAUCAAAGAUGCUUAGAUAAGUACUACAUUUCUUUUGGGUUUAUAAUUGGACAUCGAAUUCCCAUGUUAACCCUAAAACAGCCUCGUAGAGCAAUCAUAGAAGUGCAAUUUAAAUGAUCAGCUGAACCUUGGUGAACACACCAAUCUGUCGAAUUUUGCCUAGGCUAUGCAACCUUUACGCAUCUAUAAUGGUCCGCCUUAAGGCUCAUUGACACCCAACCAUUUCUAGUGUUACAGUUAGUUACUGGGUACAAACCUAACGUUUCAUACUUACGCAUUUAGGUGUGCAUUCCAUGUGCCAAGUUGUUUUGCCGCAACAUACCAAUAUGGGUCCUCAAAGAAAGAUAUGAAUAUUUGUCAAUCAUGAUUCUCAUUCGCACUAGCUUUUUAGAGCCCUUGCAAGCGGUCUCUUUACUGCUCAUCUUAUGGAUUAUCAUUUCAAUAAGAUAGUCUUCCCGCCAUUAGGGGAGAUAAGAGCAUCAUUGUUCUUGUAGAAUGAUGUGAAUUCGCAUGGAUGUUGUCCACUAUGUCUCAUCUCAAUCGCCAUACCCAUAGGUGUGAUAUAGGCAAGUGUGAUGUAUUCUAGCUUUCAAAAUGUUGCUCUAGACGUAUUCCUCUAAUCUCACUAAAGUGACGAGACCAUAUACAUGUUGCAAAUAGACCUGCAAGGACAAACGUACUUAACAGACAUCGAGUCAACAUCCCUGAAAGAUGUGCUGCCCCUGAAGGAUGUGUCACCCCUAAAGGACGGUUUGGCUGCACAUGUUGGAUGGUCUAGUACAUUAGCUGAUAGCCAAUUAAUCUGUCUUGACCUGAAGCAUGACAGAUCACUCGGUUCAUAGGAUUCACUUACCUAGAAGAGUAGGGUGAUGUCACGAAAUGAAUCCAUGCUCGAUCGCUGUCUCAAUCAUUUUCACUUUAUGAGAUUAAUCCGGAUUACUCCCGAGACUUAAAGUUCUUGGUCCAGUAUACUAGUUUGGAUGAGAUAAUGGAAUUGGAAUGAGAUUAUCAUCAAUGAUGUUUUCACUUAUAUGGUAGCUACCUACGUAAAUGAAAAGCGACGAUAUUGAAACGUAUUUUGUUGAUUAAUGACAAUGCAGAACUGAUUGGAUAUCCAAAAUUAGAAUCCAGAUUAAAUUCCUUACCAAAGUGUUCUUGGACUUAUCAUUCCUACAUUGCCCAAGGUAACCCUGUUGUGUUACAAGUGGGAAAUGAAGCGAAUGAGAUGAAUGAAAUAAUGUGAUAUGAUGCACGCAUCACGGCAAAGUUUCUCUCAAACGCCCUAGGAUUGAUAACAGUAUUAUUGAAUGUGGUUAAUGUUUCUCCAUACGGAUAUUGAUACGGAGAUUGACAUGUAAGUUCACGAAGAAUUGCAUGGACUAGUUCAAAUAGUUCCAAACCACGGAACACCCUCUUAACUCUUUUGAGGCGUUCACUUACAGAUUGAAGCAAUUUGACGGAUGUCGUAUACCUGUCAAAGUGAUUAUUUGAUUAGGUAGGGAUAUGAAUUAUGCCUUUGCGUGUUAAACUAUGAAGUCAUAUUAAGAAUGCUAGAGUUACAGUUUAUAUUGUAGACUUGAAUCUCAUUAAGUAUCCGGAAGAGCUUGAGAAAACUGCCUCACACCUAAAGACAGAAUUUGAGAUGAAGGAUCUUGGGAAAACUCGUUUAUACCUUGACCUGAAGCUUAAGUGUUGUUAUGACGGUACUUUGGUAUACCAGUCGAAUUACAUCCCAAAUGUGUUUCCUUUUAGUAUACCUAUGAUCUUCCAUACGCUAUAUGCAAAUGAGACCCUUGAAGAGGUUAUGGAAUCUAAAGUUCCAUAUCUGAGUUCAACUUUGCGCUUUGUUAUACUUAGCUCAUUGCGUUAGCCAAGACAUAUCCUUUGCUGUUGAUUUAUUAGUAAAGAUGCAUCACCGUGCCUACAUGCGACCGCUGAAGGUACUACGGAUUUGGGCUAAUCCCAAUACAUCUCGAGCGGAUCCGACCCCUUGGUCCUUGGAAUGAUGUUUGCCUUGUUUGUUAUGUUGUAGCUGAUUACGUAUCAAACUAAUACAAAUCACAUCCCCAAAUGGUUAUGUUUUUACUGUUAGGGAUAUCAUAAUAUCUUGGAGGUUCACGAUAUGACCUUAGUUGCAAAAUCUUUGAAUCAUCCCAAAACUCACCUGACUUCAAUAUGCCACACGUGAGACAUUGUUGAAAGCUCUUGUUGAGCAUAUUCGAAGUACCUAUUGUUUUCAUCCAUCGUUGAGUCCCGAUGACGAUCCAUGAAGACUAUGCCACAUACAUCCACCCGACCAAGACAUUAUACAUCAAGAAAGUCAACUCCAAGACAUAUUGCGCCUACAUCACAUCAUCAAAGCAUUAGAAGAUUGAAGUCAUGCAAGCUGAUCCUAAACAACCUUGCCAACCUCUACAAGACGUCACUACCGAAGUCAACCUUCCAGAACCUUGUCCGAGGAAUUGGUGUGUCUAAAUUCAUACGCAAUGCUUGUAGUUCUCAUUUCAAAGUUUUGUCCAACUCAGGGGAAGUAUCCAUAAGUAUACUCACUUGAUCUUAAUGUACUUUUUUUCCUUACAAUUAAGAGCAAUUUUCCCGUUGGGUUUUUCUACCUAACUAGGUUUUGAGGAGGCACCCAUCCUGGAGCUGGUCAUACCCUUGUGAGCUCUUCUACUUGCAUCAAGAAGAUGUUAAGUUUUGACUUAAUGCAACUUCUCACUUUUCUCCUUACUCUAUAGGUUUUUCUCCCACCUUGGGUUUUACCAUAACGAGGUUUUGUAGGCUUUCCUUUUUAUGCAUUCUUCCGUUGAUUUGAGACUCUCAUUCACUCAUUGUGCCGACGACUUCAUCAGCUGUUUUUACUUUAUUGUUGAAGACCUGAUGCGCCAUUUACUUGAGUAUUUACAUGCUCAAGAAGGAGUGUUGUAGUUCUAUUAGAUUGGAAAUGUUAUCGUGUAAAUCCUAUCAUAUAUGGGAUAUCCUUAUGGGAUUCUACCAUAUCUCUAAGACUAGAUAUUAUCAUAUUAGAGUUAUAAUUCUUUGGGGUAUGUUGGGGUAAGGAAUUCACCUUCCCUACUACUAUAAAUAAAGACACAAUGGGGUGAGAUAACAUACACCUCACAAUUACACAUCUCUCAUUUCUCUCUGUUGCCGUUGCACACUCUCUCUUUGUCCUUUAUAAUGAUUUAUAAAUGAAGCACCACGAGAAAAUGGAAGACAUCGCCAACCACCACUGGUUAACACCACCUCAUCUAGAUGGGAAUGAACAAAGCUUCCCAUUUGGGGUUUAAGGUCACUUGUCCAUCUGUAUGGCACUGAACCCCGCAAGUAAAGACAAGUAGGAUGGUGAAACGAUGCAUUAUGUGGGUAAAUCCCAUAUGGAUCAGGAUUUCUUUCAGCAUAAUGUCUAGAAAAGUAUGGAAGCAGGUUGCUGCCUUGGGAAAUGAAUGAGGAGCUCCACUGUGCAAGUGGGAUCCAAAAGGAUCGCCAUAUCUAGGAUAAUUCCUUGAAUUAUGCAAGGAAGAGUGUGGAGUGUCUGUAUAAAAUGUGGAGUUUAUGUUGAGAGCGUAGGGUGUAAGGAUAUUAUGGGAAAGUAUGCAGGUUAUAUUCAAUAAUAUGUGGUGUAUAUGAAUAUAAAUUUUAAUUGGAAAAGAAAAUGUGUGGUGUAUUAAGUAUGUGAGGUGUAUUCAACAAUAUGUAGAAUGUCAAUAGAACAACCCUUUAUUAAUCAAUAAAAAUAGAUUUAGAGUUGUUGUCAAAUUAGGUACCAAUCACCUUUGCUGUCAAUCUACAUUAGGCCACAUAAGAAUUGACAUUUCUGUUGGAAAAUAAUAAUGUUGUCUUUUUUUUACUGUGAUUACUGAUGUGAAAUUUUUGACUCCUUUGAAAAUGAUCAUUUCUUCUGUCUACUACCAACAUCCAGCAAUGGCACACUCGCUCACAUGAUUGCUCUCAAAGCCUUGUAGUGGCACCGAGGGUAAAAAAACACUCAGGACAAACAGUUUAUUGAAGUGACCUAGACCAACCAAACAGUAAGAAUAUUCUGACAAAGUAGGUCGUAGUUAAUUAUGAAGGGCAUUUAUAAUUCCGCCUAUUAGUUCCAUCUAACAAUUACUUUAGUAUAAAGAAAGGUUGGAAAUGGUACUGUAGAAAUGAAUAGUGUUUCAAUCUGAUCUUUCUGUUGGUUUUGGGUUAGCAGCCCGGCCCUAAUUGUGUCCUCUCCAUUUUGGGCGAGAUGGGGGUCACCAGGUAGGUAUCAUUUGAUGUAGUUUGAUUAGGGUUUCGAGGAGGGUAAGGGUAUCGGCACUGUUUCUUAGCAUGUUAGGUUCGGUUUUGGGGGAUUUAUGAUUUUAUAGAGCGAGAUGGAUAAGGAGAUUGAGAUUGACAGAGGGAGGAGAAAGGUUGGUGCGCAGGGUCAGUGAGGUGAGUGACAGAGGGGUGUAUGGCAGAGAGAAUAUGAGGGAUGGAAGAGUCGUGGGUGAGAGAAGAGGAGAUAGGGAAGAGUCGUGCGUUGCAAACGGGAUGAGAGGAAAGACGGGAUGAGAGAGGGAGGGGUGGGAUGAGCGAAUCAAGGGUAGGGGUUCUAGCUGGAAGCCAUUUCCACGACAAUUAAUGGGGAAGGCAUGGUUGUGUGCAGUUGGUGGGAUUGGUCGGUCAGGAAGGGGUUAUUGAGGGAGGUAUGGGAGAGUUUGAUUUCACUGUUCCCACCCUUACUUGAACAGGUAAUACACUGUUUCCUCCCUUGAUUUCUCUGUUUCGUGAUGAGAUAAAGAUAGAUAGGGAGAGAUGGAUAUGGAGAUAGAGAUAGAUAGAGAGAGGAGAAAGCAUGGCUGUGUGCAUUUGUUGGGAUUAAUUAAUGGGUUAGUGUGUAGGGUCAGUGAGGAGAGAGUCAGAGAGGGGUGUAUGGUAGGGUAUGGCUUUUCGUUUUUUCCCUUUGAUUUAAUAGGUUAUGCACUGUUUGACAAUAAUUGUUUGUUGUUUUGUUUUGCUUUUGCUUUGUUAGAACCAUCAUUCGAUUUUUGGGUUUCACUGUCCUCAUUUUUGUGCUUCUUCAAAAUUUUCUUAGUUCCUUAUGUAUUCGUUGGUUCUGUCUAAUUUUUGGUUGUGGGAUGAUGCUUGCAGGUGAACUAGGUGCACGGUAUUUUGGGACAAGUUAGGAAGAUCCACAUGAAAACAACAUGGAAGAUAGAGAACUGGUAUGCUGCUUUGUCUUUCUGUUGGAUUUUUAUGUUUAUGUUCUACUGCUAAGAGGAUUUUAAAAUGUUCUAAAUCUGUUUUGUAAAUGUGCUUAAAGAUUGCACAUGUUCUUGAAUAUCAACCAUGUUGUUUGGAUUGAAUAUGUGAUUGAAUAUUGGAGAAGAUACCAUCUUGCUUGAUUUCAAUUAAAGACUACUAAUUUGAUCGGCUUAUAUAAAGUUUGUUUAUGUUUGAGAUGUAUUUUGUUCGAAUCUCUAAACUGAACAGUGCAUUCAUAACCUCUAGGUCCGUAUCAUGCAUGGUGAGUUAUCUGUGAACAUCACCCUAAGUACCUUCUUGAAAUGCUCGAUUUCAGGAAUGAGAGUUGAGAUGGCUUCCAUGAAGAGGGAUGCAGAGCAUUACUCGCGCUAGGUGAUAUCUGCUUUUUCUCUUUUCGUAUAUCUUCAUAUGAAGAGUUUUACUAAGUUAUAUUGAGCACUAUGUUAUUUAUAGGUUAUAUUUUCCACUUUGCAGGAACACAUGGAGCUAGGGAAGUGCUAUCGUGAACUCACUGAUCUACUGGUAAUGUCACUCAAGACACUUAUUUACAUGGUCAAAGAUCGCAUUUUUAUGACACUUCUUAUUCCAUCUGUUUUCAUGUUUCCGUUUCUUUUUUCUGGUUAUCAUACUUAAACUGCUUUAUUUGUGCAAGCUGCUACUACGCGCUUGAAUGCAUUUAUUACUGGCAGGAUGCGAAGAAAGCUAGAUAUAUGUGCGGGAUCGCUUGUUUAGUGUUAGGGUUUUAACAACUAAUUGUUAGCAGCUAGAAGCUUUGGUUAGAUGAAUGCUAAUCUGAUUUUCCUUACAAUACUUGAGUGCCAGUUUCAUAGUGUUUGUUCCCGGCUGGAUACCUGCUAUAUAGUUUCAUUUCUGUUUCUUCAUAACUUUAAAUGCAUAUUGAGUACAAUGAAUGUCCAUUGUUAUCUAACUGUUGGGCUUUACUAUCUUUGUAGCAGCCUGCCUAACAUUUUUUAGGCACUACACUCCAAUUUAAUGAAAAAUUCAAAGAUUGGACGGUAUUGAUUGAAGAAAUGAAAAAAAUACUAUGAUAAUAGAAAUGUGAAUGUCGUUGUGUUAGAAGAAGCGUCUAGCAUGAUGGGUAAUAUUUUAAGUUUGUAUUUCUAAAAUUUUUUCGUUCUAGAGUAUGAUUUACCUCAAUUGUUUUGUACUUUAAUCUUUACUAAUUUUAAUUGUGGAGUAUGAUUUACCUCAACUAACAACUUUUCAUUGUUUAACUUUUUCCUCCCUUAGAUAGUUGAAUAUGUUUGAUUUGUUAAUAUGCUUCUUACACAUGUUGUUGCCUUGGGUUGCCGGAUGCAUGUGCAGAUUACUCGAAUAGACGAAGCUAAGGAUGACUUAGUAUUGAGUGAGAAAGAAGGUUGGGUCAGUUGGAUUUUUCUACAUUUGAUUUAUUCAUGUUUUUUGUUGCUUGCAAUGUUCUCUCAUUGUUUGUUGUGAGAUUCUAUGAUCUUAUUUUUAAUAAGAACUAACAUUGGUUUGCCAUAUAAUGUUUCAGGAACUUAUACAACAACUAAACACCUUGCUUAGCUCUCACGAGACAUACUUAACAGGUUAACAAACACUAACCUAUAAACUGAUUUGCUGAGCUGGACCAUUAACCUCUGUUUAUAUCCCUGCCACUCAUCUUUUGGCAAUUAUCAAUAGCAAAAUCUAGAGUUGCAAAAACCCCAAUUUUAAUGAAUGUUAUUUUUAGUUGAUAAUUAAAAUUAAUUGAUGAUUAAUCUAUUCCAUUGUGCAUUAUUUUAUCGCCAAAUACUUUGAAUAUUCAUUAGCAAAAGAUAUAGGGUUCACCAUUUAAUGAAUAGAAUUUUGAUGGUGGAUUGCAUUUCCUGAGUUAUAAAUGUGGUGAAUCCAUUAUUCACUAGUUGAAUAAUCAUAAUGUUUUGGCCACUUAUCUUGAAUUUUGUUCAAAUUGAAGAAGUCACAUGUUUCUUUCUGUUGUUAAGGUAAUCUCUGUUGAAAGCUUCUAUUUCUUUUUUCUUUUUCUUUUUUUUUUUUCAUUUGGGUAGAUUUUUUUUUUUUAUGGAUUUAUGUAUUUUUUUCAGAGAAUUCGAAAUGAAAUAGGAAUAGCGGAGUGAGCAUAAACAAAUUGAUGAAAUUUUUAUUUGAGUUUUUGUGUUGGUCCUUUUUUGAUUUGUUGAGGUUUGGAAUUAUUUGAGUUUUUUUGCUGUUACUACUGUGACGGAUGCUAGGCAAUCACGAAAUGGGGGGCUACCUUUUUGGAAAGAGAAGUCUUGUUGUCCAACCUCUCAUGAAUUACAAACAAGGUGCUUUUUUGCUGGAAAAACCACCGAACCAGUAAAACUUUCCUCGGUUCUUCAAUUCGAUUCGAAUAAUUUUUUUACCCAGAAAAGCCAGCGUUUCUUGGUGAUUUUUACAGCUUUCUCAAUGUUUUUGUGAUUUUGGAUUUGCAAAUUUGUUUUCUGUUCAAAUUUCUUUUUGUGAUUUUAGGGGUUUUGUUUAUCGAUUCUCUCACUCAUCUCUCAGCUCUCUCUCUCACUUUUGAGGUACAUACCGUUGGAUUCUAUUUGCUGUUGCUGAUCUGCAGGUAAAGCUUCAAUUACCAUAUAAAGUUUACAUUUUUCAUUAUUUCUUGAGUUUUGAGUUUUAAUGAUAAAGACAAAAUAAAUGGUAAAGUGAAUAGUACCAAGUUUGACUUUUUAAUGUAAAAAUAUGGUUUUUCGUUAAAGUGAACAGUACUGUGGGCUUUUCGUUAGAACUCCCAAACAAAGGAAAUAUUGCUUUUCCUCCCAAACAAUGGAAAUAUUGCUAGAUUCUUAUCAUUAUGUGCAAAUUACUGGCGAUUUGGAUCGGUGCCUGAGAUUUAGAGAAUGAUUUAGAGAAUGGCUCGCAUUUUAAAUUUCUUUUCCUUCAUUAUUACUAUUUUCAAAAUUUUUAUUGUUGGGUAUUGAUAAUUUGUAGUCUGUGAGGGCUUCAAUCUGUUGGAAUUUUGAAUGGUUAUUGCUUCAUCAGAAUUUGGGUGGUCCAAAUUUUGAAUUAGAAGAAACCUAUUUGAUUAAUAUUUUUGGUGGAUUGGUUCUCUGUGUUUUCUUUGUUAUUUCUCCCCCAGUUGGAAAGUGGAAGCCCCAACUUUGAGCUCAGAGCUUGAAUUUCUCAAUCGUUCGUUUCUCUGCACUCUCAUCAGUCACUCUUGAUCCUCUCUCUGAAGAACUGGGUAAUUUUCCAGCUCUAUCAAGUAAUACUCCAUUUUAUUGCUUAAUUGAGGUUUUUUGUUUCUCUUUUUCACUCUUUCAUUAGUUCAUUGGCUUUGAUGUUGGGCUUAAGUAAUGGGAAAUCAUUAAUUGGCAUUGUUCAAGAUAUAAUUAUGUGUUUUUGGAUUUGUGAAACGAUUUGGCUAAUGAAGAUAGUGGUUAAGAUAUAUUUUUCGUUAUGAAAGAGAACAUUGUUCUUCGUUUGCCUACGGUUUUUACUACAAAGUUAAACUACUAUGAUUUUGUUCAAUUGACUGCAACUCAUGCCGCAGUUUGCUUCACAAACCUCUACUGUUAGCUUCCAUGUAGUAUGUUGCAAGUUUGAGGAUAUCUCUACAUCUUAAUUUCUACUCUCUUUGGUUGCUUUCAAGUUCGUAAUUUUACUUGCUACACUGCCACUUGAUUUGAUUAUAAAAAUGUAAAACAAAAUAUGUCCAUGAUUUACAAAUUUGUAUUCGAUUUUUGAUGUUUUUCCAGUGCAAGGCAUAUGUUGCACAAGUGAGGUAUGUAGGCUGCAGGGCAUAUAUUUUGUUGUCUUAACUGCAGGGGCAAAAUAUGUGUAAAAUGCAGCUUGCUUCUGUUUCUUCAGUUUCGUAUGGAAACAAACCUUAUGCUUAUGUUUGCCUUUGAACAGUUGUGAUUACAAAAUUAGCUACUUGAACAAGUCCUCAACACUUUAUAUUUUUAAUUACCUAUUCAAAUGGCUACCUACACUGCAGGACACAUAUUAUAUGUGUGAACUAAAUGUUUCUUCUGUUUCUUAAGGAAACAUAAUUUUUCGGAAACCAUCUCUUUCUAAUCAAAGACUUUCAGUUUCUUCCCACUCAUUGUACAAUGUGUUUAUAUGCCAACUCACUUGAAUGUAUAUAAAAGCAAAACUGCUUAUCUUAUCGAUCUCAUUCACUCAAGUAUCCAUUUGUUUGUUCAUAAUUAUGUUGAAUUUAUUCAACUUAAAUGUGUUUUAUUCAUCCGAUUACGCUUGAAAUAGCUGGUUCCCGCGGCAACAUGCAGGGCUAAUUUCUAGUUUUUAAUCUAUUUCUUAAUAACUUGACCUCAAUUCCUCGGGACUUAGAUAUCCCUCUUACCCAAACGUUUCAAUUUCUCAAUUGCUCAAGGGCAACCUUUGCAUAUACCAGAUGGAAGUUCUCAACGACUCAUUUUGUCGCAUUUUCAUAUUCCGACGAAGAAGUGUAUUGAUUAUGGCUGCUUCUCGGUUUAGGAUCCUUCAGUAAUAUAGUAAUUAGAAAUAAACUCAUGAUAUUGGUGGACCCGGAGGAAGGAUAAACUUGACGUUAUACUAUAAAUUUGAUACAAAAAUCCAAAUUUAAGGAUUAAAAUAUCUGGAGCGCCGAGUACUCCGGAGCACCCAUUGGCAUUCCAUGUGUAAGAGUUGACCUUGAUUUGCUUAAUCAAAGACAAGAGGGCUAAAAAAUAUUCUACCAUCAAAAGAAGACAAACAACUAACUAAGAAUGAAGAUCAAAAGUUGAAUAAGUUAACAGAAGUUGGAAGGACAGAAUGACUUUAAAAAGAAAGGCCAUGUUACAUAGAAAUCAGAAAGCAAAUCUGAAAGCUCAUCACCCAUGGCAGAAGCGGCAAAGAGGUAAGUACCUACUACUUCCCUCAUGUUUUUGAAGCUUCACACAUCAGACCAUUUGGCCACACCAACAGUAAUGAAAUUUCUUGUACAUAAGUGUUGUAUACAACCCUCUCACGUUUGUGAAAUGUGAUCGGAUCAUAUUAUAUAUAUUUUUACUUCGAAUUCACUCGUCUUUUCUUAGUUUGUUCCUUAUAUUUUUGAGCUAUUUACGUAUUUUUGUGUUUAUAGGAUUUGUUAUGCAAAGAAAAUAAAAAUAGAACAAGUGAAAUUUUUUGUAAUAAAUUCGUCAAAACUGUCUGUGUAAAUCAGCUUUUAAAUAAAAUUAAAAAAAAGAAAAAUAAUCAUGAUUUAUGUUUUGUUAAAAGAAUGAGGGAGAGUCGGUCAAAGAGGAAGUGGAGUGCACACUGAUAAAGGGAAGAAUAAUAAAGGAAAGUAGAAGGAGUGCGGGACUGAGUGGAAAUAAUAAAAGAGGCAGUGCGCAGGGGACAGAGAGGAGUGGGGAGGACUCGGAUUGGCAGAAACAAAAAAAAACAAACAGAAAAUAAUAGAAAAGAAGGCAAGAAGUCAGAGGGAGAAGCAGGAAUAAAAGAAGCAAACUGACAGAAGAGCAGGAGGAGGAGAUAGACACGGGGGGAGGCACGAGACAGGAUAGAAGCUGCAUUUGGCAGCUUGAGAGACAGGUGGCGGGAGAGAGAAGCAGAAGGCUGCACAGAAAAACAGGAGAGAAGCAGAGACGGGAGCAACACGAGAAGCAGGAAACGUGAGGUCAGAGAGUCCAAAAAGCUGCCCUUGGAGCGUGAGAAAAGAAGAAGCAGGAAACGUGGGAAAGGAGGACUGCAAGAGGAAAGAAGGCGAGAGGAGAGAGGCAGCCAGCCAGAGGUCAGAGAGGGCAGAGACCAGCAGAAACGGGAGCAACACAGAGCAAAGUUUCACUCCAUUUUUUCUUGGUUUUAUCUUCUCAAACCCAUGUUUUACUUUUGGUUUAAUUUGAUAAUAAUGUGUAACUAAAUUUAUUUUGGCUAGAGGUUAAUUCAAAGCCAUGAAUAUAUUUGUAAUAUGAAUUGAUUACCUUCAGUUGUGAUUUCUGAGUUGUGAUUUAAUUUACUUAACUGCUUGAUUGAUAACUUAUUUUUGUAUGUCGAUUAAGAAUGCAUACUUAAUUUACAUGCAUGAAUUUGAUGCUAGAAUAUAAGUGAAUUUCACCUAAUCGUUAUGAACUUAUAUUCACAAGUAGUGAAGGUUGUUAUCCACAAUCGUGUUAAGUGAGUUCUAGGCUGGAUUAACAUGCGUAUUCCAUAGUUAUGAAUGCCUAGUCAAUGUUUAUGAUUUCCGUUGAACUUAAUGAUCUUUGUUGAAUGUCUCUAUCAUGCGUAUUCCAUAGUUAGGGACUUUGAUGAGGAAUAAUUUGGUUGUAAUGCGUAUUCCAUUCAAUCCAAUGAAUCUAGGGAAAUCUAAAGAGUUAAUUUAAGCGGACCUAAUUAACUUGGAACAUUGUCAUUCACAAUUUAUUGAAAGAACAACUGAAAAUCAAUUUAGGUUGCAUAUGUGUCAUGUGUGGAGAAGAACCCUCUAGCUAGUCCGUCACCUAUCCUUUCACCUUAAUUCAUGCUUUUGUCAAUUCUAUAAUUUAUUUAAGUUUAAUUUACUUCUCGUCAAAACCAAACCCCCCAUUAUUAAAUUAUAUUAUUUAGUUAGUUUUCAUUGUUGUUAGUCUUUUAAUUCAAUUUCCGUCCAUUUCAGUUCCUAGUGUCUAAUUUGAUUGUUUUCAUUAUUUUGAGUCAUUCUAAGUGUGUUUCGAGUUAUUAGAGUUUUUAGCCUAGUUUUGUGUCCUUGAGUCUUAUUUAAUAUUUUUUAGAUUAGCAAUCCCUCCUAAUCCCCGGUCUAGAACGAUACCCUACUUACAUACUUUACUACAAUUGUCAAAAAGAGGGUUUAAUUUGUGUGUCAAGUAAUUUUCACAUCAAAAUGUUGGAUACAACGGUUUAUUUAUGAGAAUUUCUCCAGGGUGUUAAAGUUUAAGCAUGAGAGUGUAUGACUCGAAGGAAGAAAGAAAUAUCGCAGAAAUGGAGAUAGUGAUGGAUGCUUCUCUCUCUCUCUCUGCAAAAUCACAGAGGAAUGUUUUCUCUUAUUCUCACACUAGCACACAAUCGUGCACUGCAUAACGGUUAGUUAUGCUAAUGGAAUCUCACCAUUACAUCAAAAGAUCUUAGCUGCACAUCUAGCUGGAUUCAAGGUGAUUAAUCCACAUGUCACUUAGACAAAAUUACAAUAUGAGCCCUACACUUGGUAAUUUUAACCAGAGUGAAUACACAACUAAAUACAAGGCUUAUUUCUACUAACUUAAAAUCAGCUCAUGGCUUAUACACUAACACUCCCCUUUAAGCUUUGAGCUGAUAUGACUCCAAGCUUAUCUAUGAGAUAGUUGAACCUCUCCUUUGGUAGAGCUUUAGUAAAAGUGUCUACCACUUGUUCUUUGGUAGGUCAGUAGACCAAAUCAACAAUUCCUUGCUGCAAAGCAUCCUUGAUGAAGUGAUACCUUCUAUCAAUAUGCUUUGUCUUUUGAUGAAAUACUGGAUUCUUGGUUAUAGAGAUUGCAACUGUAUUGUCACACUGAAAAGGAGUUGCUUUAGUUUGCAACUCUCCAAAAUCCUCCAGAACAAACCUAAGCCAUAUAGCCUGAGCUGUGGCUUCUAAUGCACUGAUGUACUCUGCCUCUGCAGUUGAAAGUGCAACACAAUUUUGCUUAACAAAUGCCCAUGAGAAGACUCCACUCCCAAAGGAAAAUGCAUAGCCUAAUGUACUUUUGCUAUCAUCAAUUGAACCUCCCCAAUCACUCCCACAAUAUCCAAUUAGUAUUGCAUUCUUCCCCUUUUCAUAAUUCAGUCCAUAAUCUAGUGUUCCUUUGACAUACCUAAGCACUCUCUUGGCAGUCCCAUAUUACUUAUUUGUAGGGCAAUGCAUAUAUCUAGCAAGUAAGCUAGCUGCAUACAUCACAUAUGGCCUUGUAGCAUUAAGAUAUAACAGACUGCCCACAAUCUUCCUAUAUUGCUCUUCACUUGCUGGGCCACUUCAAUCUUCUUUGCUCAGUUUGUCAGUAGCAACAAGAGGAGUACAGACAGAUUUGCAUUCACUUAAGCCAAACUUAUUAAUAAUUGAUGGAUGCGUGUUGGAUACUGUGACACAUGUAUCUUAAUUGAUUUUUAGUGCAAUGAGUCUUUGAUUUUGUCAGGUAUGCGGUUGUCACAGGCUCGAAUCAGGGGAUUGGAUUCGGAACAGUUAAGAAGUUGGCAGCAAAUGGGAUCAUGGUGGUGUUAACUGCUUUAGAUGAGAAAAUGGGUCUUGAAGCUAUUGAAAAUUUGAAAGAGUGUGGCCUCUCUGACCUUGUGGUUUUUCAUCAGCUUGAUGUAACGGAUCCUGCUAGCGUUGCUUCCCUAGCAGAUUUUGUCAAAACCCAAUUCGGGAAACUAGAUAUCUUGGUAUGAUUCGAAACCAUUUUUAUAAACAAACUUCCUGUUCUGAAUGAAUACUUUCAUUUUUGCCAUUUUUUCGUCUGUGAAUUUUAAAAUUUUUUAAUGAACGGACCUCAUUCGCCAACUCUAUAUGAUACUAAUAUUUCAAGCAUAUUCUGUGUACCCUGUUGAAAAUUUUCACUUAUCCACUGUGUUGUAAAUUUUAACUGAGUCGCUUCGUAAUUCAGCUUAAAAUAAGAUAGAAAAUCCCUAAGUACGAUGAAGGGUCUUAAUAUUUUGUUGGGAUUGAACAAAGAUGAAAUGUUUAGGAACUUCCACAGGUAAACAAUGCAGGGGUUAGAGGAACCAUUGUAGACCCUGAAGCUUUCAGAGCUGCUGUAGCUUCUGGUGUUGGUAGGGUAAGUCUUUUUAUUCACUAUUUAAAAUCCAACUUAUCUUGAGUUUUCAAAAUUUGGCUUUCAGUUUUUGGUUUUACAUUUUAUUUUUUGAAAACUGAAAACUGAAAUGGUUAUAAGAUGGGUCCUUACAUUGUCAAAUUUAUAGGUUGAGUAGUGCUAUCCACACACCCAUUUUUACUUCUCACACACUCCUCUCAAAUUUUUGUCGUCGGAUCGAAUGAAUUGAAAAAAAUCAAUGACCAAAAAUUAACAAGGGUGUGUGAGAGUUAAAAAUGGGUGCUUGAAGAGAACUUUCCAUAUAGGUAUGGCUAAGUGCCAUAAAUCUUUCAUUCAAAAAUCCACUAUGGCAAAAUGAAAUCUUUCUUUUCCUUGACGCAGGAUGGUUUAGGAGUCAAUUGGAGUGAAAUAAUGACUCAAACGUAUGAGUUAGCUGAAGUAUGCGUGAGAACAAACUACUAUGGUUCCAAGAAAAUGACCAAAGCACUGCUUCCCCUCCUCCAGCUAUCCGAUUCACCAACAGUUGUCAGUCUUUCUUCUGGCAUGGGAUUGUUAAAGGUGCGAAGAUUUUUCAUACUUUUGGCAUCUCAUCGUAUUUCUGGUUCAAGAUCCAAUGUCUUCCAUAAUUAGGAAAACUGAAAUUCUGUUGGCAUGGAUGUUUUGUUUCAGCAUAUCCCAAAUGGAUGGGCUAAAAGGUUGUUAAGUGAUGCCGAAAAACUCACAGAAGACAGAAUAGACGAGGUUUUGAGCGAGUUUCUAAAAGACUUCAAAGAAGAUAUGCUAGAAACCAGAGGAUGGCCUGCUUCCCUCUCUGCCUAUAUACUCUCAAAAGCAGCCAUAAACGCUUUCACGCGGAUCAUGGCCAAGCAGUACCCGAAUAUCUGCAUCAACUCUGUAUGCCCUGGAUUUGUCAAAACAGAUUUGAACUUCAAUACCGGAAUAUUAACAAUAGACGAAGGUGCUGAAAGUGUUGUGAGGCUAGCAAUGGUAACAAAUGGCAGCCCUUCUGGCCAUUACUUCUAUAGACAAGAAGUCACACACUUUUGAGGAUAACAGAAUCUUUCAAUUUCAUGGAAUAAAUAUCCUUUUUUCUGUACGCAAUGAUGAGAUAAUAAUCUUUGAAUUUUCGUAGACGAACAAUGUAUCCUUAAAAAAUUACUAUGCUCUUGUUGCUGCAACCUGGUGAUCAGCCACACCUUGCAAAACGAGAACGCAUGGUUUCCACUUCCAGAGGUUUUCCUUGCAGAGCACUAUUUAACUCUAAACAAAUUGUUCCAACUACAAAAGUAAAAAAGGAAAAAACAAAUUAAAGUUCGUUAGUCCUUAAUAAGCAAGGCGUGAAAAAGAAUUAAGCAUGCAUAAGCCAGUACCUCACUCAUAGCUCGUCUACCAUUCGUUUAGUUUUCUCCUCUUAUCCCACAAUAGGCCUUUAUAUCGGACUCUCCCUCCUUGAUCACAUUUCCCAUUGCACAAUAUCGUUCUUACCCACGAUUGUUCACAUAGAUUGUUAGAGCAAUUUCUUCUCAUCAUCCACUAGUCCAUGCGGUACUUGUAUAACCCCUUUGUUGAAUGUAAAGAAACCAAGUGAAUACCUCUCCUUGUCUCUGUUAUGCUUCACUCAAUGAUGGCAAGCUUUUAUUCUGUCAUUGCUUAUACCUAAAUAAAAAGACUGGUUUUGGUAAUGUUUAAACUUUAUAUUGGCACAUCAAGUUAGACUUCAGCGAGCCAAGUUGGCUAGAAUAAUAGGCGUGCAUCCCUACCUCUCUACAAGUUAGAUCGAAUUAUCUUCUUUGUUAUUUAUAUUAAAUUACAAUGUCACUCAAAUAUAUUUGUACAUCAAAUUAUAUGAGAAUACAUGUGUAUAAUAAGUUCACUAUCUAUCUUUAUUAUUAUUUUUUAUGAUCGAUGAAAGCUUCAUUGGUCAUAAAUAAGAAUUUCAUCAACGGAAGCAACAUCUGUAGAAACACUAUCUACCUUUACUAAAUGUGUCAUCAUAUUUCUAGUUCUCUGUUGUGAGUUUGAGUGAGUCUAAAUCAGAAAAUCCUUAAAAUUAAACUCACACACCAAAAGAUAGGUUUAUUAUCAUCAUCAUCUCUCUCUCCUUUCUAUCCAGAUCUUCCGAACCAAAUAUAAUGAAUAAAGAAAAAAUUAACUUUAGGCGUGAUUUUCGGUUAUAAAAUUUCAAUUUGAACUAAGAAGAAAUAUUAUUUUUCUUGUUCCUUUUGUUUGGAUACAAGCAGAGCCGGCCCUGAGAGGGUGCAAGUGGUGCCACCGCACACGGCUCCCGAUUUUUCAAUUUUGUAUGCAUAUACGUAUAUAUAGUAGUAUGUGUAAAAUAUUGCAAACUUGAGUCUUAGCGCAAGUGAUAUUAUUACUUCUUUACAUCAUCCUAGGGGAUGGGUUCAAAACUCAUCUCCAUCUUUUUUUCAAUUUAUUUUUAUUAAAUGCAUAAGCUUCCACAAAAUAAUAUACAAAUUCGACACAAUAACAUGAAAAUUUGAACCCUGGCCCUCUAAAUAGUUAAGGAAAAACAAUACGCCACAUUUCCACCUGUUGAUUUGGUAAAUUUGUUUGUGCCAUUAAAAUUUAUAGAAGCUCAAUUGAAAACUAAAGUUAAUUUUUUGAACAAAAAAAUAAAAAAAUUAGAUUCUUAAUAUUUUUUUAGGACCUCCAAUUCACUUUCGCACAAGGCCCUGAAAUCUCAGGGCCGGCCCUGGAUACAAGGUUAAGCGACUAGAAAAAUAAAAAAAACAUGGAUGGAUGCUGACAAAGAACAGAUGGCUGUUUAAUAUGUGAAUGUGGUUGUAUGGACUCGUCGCUCAUCGGUCGUGAACUAGAAUUUUUAGCGCUAUGAGUUUGUGAUUGGAAAUUGCGUGUUCAGUUCAAAAAUACUGAACAGAUAUUAAUUCAGAUCAUGGGUUACGAAUUCGGAUUUUAGAUUACAACCCUAAACCUUAAUAUCGGCCAAAGUUUGUAUGUAACUACAUAUUUGUGGAAUUUAGAUGGGAAAUUAGUUUAUGCCCACUUAAUUGUCAAAAAAUAAAGUACUCGUAGUUUUAGGACUCGCCUGCAAUCUAUCGGCUGCCAAGAACACGAAUUUUGAAGGUGUUUGGGUUAAUAUUUGAACUUUGGGCCUAAAGAAAGAAAGGAAGAAAGGUAGGCCCAAAAGGACUAAAAUGGGGAGAUUCGCUCGAGGCCCAGCACCCAGCCCAGACCAACUCUCUCAAAGACAAAGUGGCGGCUUCCCAUUAAUGCAUAGGCUAUGUGCCUAUAAUCUAAAUAUGACAAGUGAUAAGAUCGGUCACCUAUCAGCCAAAAGCACUAUACAGUGGCAAUACAAGUAAAAAGCUGGUGAGUCACUACCCUCCGAUUACUUUCAGGCAAGAACAGAACUGCAAAUAGCCGGGUUAAUUCGUCUAUAAAAGGAGGAAGAAGACCCAAAGAGUGGGAUGAUCCUUAUUUGUGGAAAUAUUGCACUGAUCAAUUGAUUAGAAGGUGUGUCCCCGAAUCUGAGUUUAAAUCUAUUCUAACUUUUUGUCAUUCUUAUGCAUGUGGUGGCCAUUUUGGAGCAAAAAUGACAGCCCUGAAGGUGUUAGAGAGUGGUUUUUAUUGGCCUAAUUUGUUUAAGGAUGUGUACGAGUUUUGUGCAACAUGUGAUCGUUGUCAACGAACAGUGGAAAUCCAAAGUGCAAAGACCGGAUACAUGUUCAAAGUGAAUGGGCAUAGACUCAAGCCAUAUUACGAGUCUUUUGCGGAGCAUGAUGUGGAGGUUGUACCUCUUCAAGAACCAGUUCCCUUUGGAUGAUUACUCUUGGUACCGUCUGGCUGCGGACGUAAAAGCAAGCGAUUAUUGGGAGGCAACCCAAUAUUUCUAUUCAUUGCUUUUUUUUUCUGUCAUUUUCAAUUUUCUUGCGUGCAAAACUGAAUUAUUUCUUUUCUUUGUAUUUGGGUUAUGUCCACCCUUGGAGUUGAUUGCAGAAUUAAAGUUUGGGGGUCAUCAUUUGAUUUUACUGCAAAUUGGGGAAGUUUUUAGUCCAAAUGCCGGAUCACUUCAAGUAUCACCUUCCAUUCGAAGUUCACUUCGAUGCCAUGGAACCUAGGGGAGUGUGACUAGAGGCAUCGUCCGGCUGCAAGACGUUAAAGAAAGCGCUUCUUGGGAGGCAACCCAAGCUUUCUAUCUUUCAUCUUUAUUUUGAAUAAUUUUAAAUUUUAUUGUUCUGUUUUUCUCUUGUUUUCUGGUUUUUUGUGUUUAAGUCCUACUUUUGUUCCUUUAUGCAGGUAAUGAUUUUGCAAUCUCUACCACAACUUCUUGCAAGGUAGUUUUACAUUCAUAAAAAUGAAAGGAACAUUAAGCAUAUAAAUACAAGAGGGAGCCUUCACAAAGGCUGCUUAAGUGAAGUUUCAGCAGUCGGCGGAGUCCCAGAAGGAGGAGGCAUCAGAGGUUGAUCAGUUGGAGCUUCACUACGCGGUACAGCCCCAGAAGACGAAGGCAAAUGCUGUUGGAACAAACCCACAAACUGUUGAUGAUCAAGUAAAAUCUGACCAUCAGAUUCCUGCAUCUGGUCAAUCUUCCUCUUCAUGUUUGUGGCAUAGUUGUGUGCGAGCUUGUGCAACUGUUUAUUCUCAUGCUUGAGCCCUCUAAUCUCCUGCUUAAGACUCAUCACUUCUGCCGCCAACGAUUCAACUUGACGGGAUCGGGCAAAUAGGCGUUGGGCCAUGUUGGACACGGAACAUGCACACUGCACACUGAGAGCCAGAGAUUCCUUAACAGCCAACUCAUCAGACCGUUUGGCGAGUAGUCUGUUAUCUUUGGGAGUGACAAGGUUCCUGGCCACCACCGCAGCUGUCAUAUCAUUCUUCAUCACCGAAUCCCCAACGGUAAGGGGACCAGUAGGGGAUAUGAAGGAUGGGCGCCAUAUGUUGUCGAGCUGCCUCUUCACCAAGGUUCAAGUCAAAACGACGAUCAGAAGGGCCAGACAUUUUUCAGAUGUGGUAAAGAAAGAAGAGGUCGAACAAGUCAAGAUAGUAGAAAUGCAAAGAGGGAGUUUUUGAAGGCAGAAAUUCAAGUGUGCUUUGAACGUCCUGCAUACCUCUAUAAAAAUCAGCACGCGAUGGGAUUUCGGAGAUCGAAGAGGCAAUUCCAGAUAUCGAAGAGGCCAACUAAAAAAAUCAAAGAGGCGCUAGCUUUCUCAAAAGCUGAGCUUGCUCAGAAACCACGGCAAAUCUUCUUUUCCAGAUUUGUCCGCACUCGUCACAUGCACCCUCUGCACUCGACGGAGCUCAGAUUUCGAAGAGGCAAGCUCAGAAAUCGGAAAGGAAUCUGCUUUAUCCAGACGUGUCAACAUCUGUCACAUGCAAAGUCUGCUUUACAGAAAUCACGGGCAAUCUGUCGACGAUUUCUGGUAAAGUAUAAAGCACGUGAAGUUUACUGUUCAAAUCAUCCAACGGUUGCCGACAAGAGUGAAAGAACAGUACCGGUUAUUAUUUCCUAUAAAUGUCGACCUUCACCCUCCAUGGCAAGGCAGACAUACAUAACUUUCCAUCAUCUCCGAGAAUGCCUUUCCACCACACCCUUUCGAGUCACUCAGUGUUCCUUAUUCCUUGGGGUACCUCUGCAAACAACCCAUCCAAAGCAAAAGUAUUUCAUAUCAUGAAGGUUGAAAGCAAGAGUAUCUCAUAUCAUGCUUUCUCCCUGUCCUUCUCCUUGUCUUUGUUUUGUGACAAGGAGAAAGAGAGCAAUCAGCCAGCACUUGGUAUUAAUCUUCCGAUCUGGAGCCAACUGCCUGGAACCCCUUCCUGAUUGCUUACCUAGCCUUGCUCUCGAGUACUCAUCUUCAUUAUCUUGUGCUUUCUCUUCGUCUACCACAUCUGCCUGGGGGACAGAUAAGGGAAGUGAAAAUGAUACCUCGAAGCAUGUGGAGACAAUUCAGCUAGGGACAAGGAGAAAGAAAGCAAGAGAUGGGCACUUGGAAAGAUUGAAGAAAGAAACAGACCAAUACCUCUACCUCGUGCCUGCCCGCCGUGCAGAAGAAACAAGCAGAGAAGAAUGCAGACUGCACAAUUCAGAGUUCCUUGGUUUCAAAUCAGACUCCGAGAUUCGCCUACACAAAUUGGUGUGUUCUUUCCUUUUCUUUAUAUGUCUUUAUUUCAUUUUAUAUUUCUUUCCUUCCAUUUUUAUGUCUUAUUGUUCAAAAUUUCCUUUCAUUAUCAUUGGGGACAAUGCUAUAAUUAAGUUUGGGGGUGGAAAUAUAUUUCGUUAGUUUAUUUCUCUAUUAAAAAAUAAACUAAAAAAAAAAUUUAUUGUUGUUUGUAGCUACUUCUCAAUUCUAUGAUGAGAUUUGUUUUUAAUUUCCUUCUUACUUUCAAGAAAGUCUAAGUUCUUUUCGUUGUCUUUGUGUUAACUGUGAUUUCCAGAAAUCAACUUAAAAAAUAAAUGUGCCUAGUCUUGUCAAUGUGAAACUUGAGCAUGAUUUAGCGUUUCAUAUGUGAAUCAUGUGAGAUUAUGUAAACCUUGUGAGUUUUUAAGCCUAUACAUGAUUGAACCAUUAUGCAUCAAUCUCAUUCCUUCUUGUGCGUAUGAUCUCACUGUACAUGUAUCUCUAGAACUUGCUUUAUACUACUCGAUUCAUUAAUCAAUUCAUGUAAUAACUUGGAAGUGAUAUAGGCCAUCUUUGGAUCGUUUGAGCCUUUCAUGCCUACCUUAUAUGCUAUGUUUAUCUGUAGUAGCCCAUUGAGCCUUUAACUAAGCCAUUUCUUUGUUAGCCACAUCUCUUUACCUUGCUCCAAUAUUGGAGUUGAACCCAUACACAAAAAUCGAUUCCUUAUUGUUUUGAGAAAGUAUUACAUGGGUUGUGCUUUUGGGGGUUUCAUUUAUGUAGAAAGAUGGAUGGAGCAUGUGUAUUACAAUGAAAUGUGAAUUUGAUGGGUGAUGUAGCUUUUGCAGAAAAUUCUUUCAAUUAAAAAAAAAAAACAAAAUAUAAGAAAAUUGGAGAGUGUUGAUUUGUUGAAAUUGUGUCUGCAUAGUAUAAAUUUCCUUUUGAAGUUGAAUUUGGGGAGUAACAGGUGCUCGAAGUUUAUUAUUUUGCUUUCAAUUUGAGGUGGUGUGAUAUUGAGGUGUUGGAAAACUACUAAAGUGUACUUUCUCAAAAUUUUUGAUUUCCAUAUCCUUUCUUUCAUUAGCCUAUCACCUUUAGCCCCAUUACAACCGUAAUAAAGCCCUAUUGAUCCAAGGUAUUACUAAAAUAUUGAUAAGCGAGUUAGGUGGACAAGCAAGCAUAUGACGGCAUGUACAAUGAGAUCACUUGAGUGAAACACAUUAACCAAAACUUAUGAGUGAAUGAGCGUAUGUCUUGUGAGAAACUCACAUGUUUGCAUAUGAUGAUUUAAAGGAGCUUGGAAUUGCAUUGACAUGGCUAGCUCACACAUGGCAUUUCAACGUUUUGUUUGAAGGAAAUUUGGUUAACUAUUGGAUGAUGUUUUGAGCUCUUGAUUAGUUCUUGGUUGUUUGUAUCAUGAUUAACACUUAUCUCUGAAAUCGAAAUUGAGAAGUUGUCUACUAAGUUGUUGAAUCUAGUCUUAGUUGAGUGAUUUUGUUUUGUGUUUUGUUUUGCUAGAGGACUAGCAAAAAUGCAAGUUUGGGGGUAUUUGAUCACUCAUAUAUUUCAUGCAUUUAUACCAUCCAUUUCUAAAUUCUUUGUGAUGUUUUUGUGUUAAAAUUGUGGCAUUUUACCUUACCUUGUGUUAAUGUGCAGUUAAAUUUGUUUUAGGAUAAAUUUCAAGCAAAAGUGGGGGAGACACUGAGCAACAGAAAUUAAUGGGACGGUAAAGAGAAAGACACGGACAGCAGGAAUAAGAAAAGGAAUAAAAUGAGCACUAAAGAAUGGGAGACACGACAUAAAGAAAACAGAGAGGAAGUGGAACAAAAGAAAAGAAUAAGGGAAUAAAAUAAGAGGAUGGCAUGAUUUGUUCAAGGCACACGGGUUGAGUGGAAAACAAAAGAAAGAAUAAAAGAAAAAAACAGUGGAGGGAGGACUGAAAAGAAGAAUAAUAAAAGAAUAAACAAAGGAAAGCAGAAGAGUGGGGAGUAGAAUAAACAAAGAAAGAAACGGAAAUAAGAAGGGGCGAUAGGAGAAACUGAGAGGAGAAGAGGCAUGACAGAGGGCAGGACAGGAGCAGAAAACAGAGAAUAAUAAGAGAGAGGAGACUGACGGGAAAAGCAAGAAAACUAGAGGGAGAAGCAGAGAGCACGACGGCAGAGACACACAGAAAACUGUGUGGGGAAAAAGAAAUAAAAAGAAACAGAGGGCAGACAAGCAGAAACACAGCAGAGAGCAGAAGCUUCACUCUAUAUUUCUUGGUUUUAUCUUCUCAAACCCAUGUUUUACAUUUGGUUUAAUUUGAGAAUAAUGUGUAACUAAAUUUUAAGUAGUUAGGGGCUGUUUUGAAGCCCCGAAUAUGAUUGUAAGUUUGUUGUGAUAUUUUGUUUGAAUGACUUUUAUGAAAGGAUGAAAAUUGUUUCACUACUUAUGUCAUUGAUAAAUUCUUUAUGUGUUUCUAUGGAUGCAUACAUAGUGAGCAUAUCUAGGAUUUUAAUGCUAUGAAUAUAUGUUUACCUGCCCUUGUUGAAUGAGGACCUACAUAUGUUCUAGAGUAGCACUUGUUAAUUGUGGUUAACAUGUGAACCGAUUUCUAGGAUAAGUAAGACAACGCUAGUACUUACGAUGCCUUGUGAUGACUCAAACUCUUUUUAUUCUUAAUGAUUUCUAUUUGUUAAAUCUAUGAACACGCCAUUCUAGAUUGCAUGUUAGGAACUAAGUUAAGUUGAAAACGUCAUUCUCUUAACAUACUACAUAAGAAAGAGUAAUAGGUUGUGUUCUAACAUUGAGCCAACUUGAGCAUCUUCAUCCGGAAAUAAAAGGAAUUUGAAUGAAACAUUACAUGUUUGCAUGAUUAUUUGGUGGUGGAUAACAAUGUCCCCUAACUCGUUUUCUUAACUUGUGAAUUAAAAUCUAUUGGUAUUAUUUAAAACUUGUUGAGGUCCUGUUUUGUCCGAUUUAAUUUAAAUAGCUAAUCAACUCCAAAAAUCCCAAAAAUUUGUGUGAACAUAUCUUGGUGUGUCUAGUUUAUGUGUAUAAAAUUUCGUUGCAUUUGGAUAAGUGUAAGUUAGUCUAAUAAUUAUUGUUCGGUGGCUGGUCAGUGGAGACAGCCACCCUGUUUUUGUGACAUUUUAAGUAUUUGGAUAAAACAAUCUUCUGCGGGAAAGACCCUUAUUUUCAUAUGCUACAAUCGACAAAUUUUAGUGUUAAUAAGGAAAAUUAAUAGGAUAUUUGUGUGCUACUUUGUGGUGUGCUUUUAAUCCUACCAGUUUGCAGGCUUAACAACGAUUGAAGGGGGCACUAUUUGGGUUAAUAUUUGAACUUUGGGCCCAAAGAAAUAAAGGUAGGCCCAAAAGGACUAAAAUGGGGAGAUUCACCUGAAGCCCAGCACCCAGCCCAGACCAACUCUCUCAAACAUAAAAUGGCAGCUUCCCAAUAAUGCAUAGGGUGUGUGCCUAUAAUCUAAAUAUGACAAGUGAUAAGACCAAUCACCUAUCAGCCAAAAACACUUUACAGUGGCAAUACAAGUAAAAAGCUGGUGAGUCACUACCCUCCGAUUACUUUCGGGAAAGAACAGAACUCCAAACAAUCAGGCUGAUUCAUCUAUAAAAUGAGGAAGAGGGCCCAGAGAAGAGGACACUCAAUCAAACAAACAAACCAACAUACAACUUGUUUCUCAGUCAAGCAAAUACCCAGAAAGCUGCGCUUUGUCUAGUUUCUGCAUCCCUUUUUAGCCUUAGAUUUCCCUUAGAAAAACAGCUUUUGUCUAUGUAAAAGCUCUGCUACCCUUCUCUAAAUGUUGUAGUAUCGAUUCUCUCAUGUAAACUUGUUUACAUCCAUUCCCCUUUAGCUCAUAAACCUUUGUAACUGGAAAAAGAAGAAGCUGCACAAGAUUCAACCUUGCCAAACAAGGUUAAAUCUUGCCUGACUCUCUUUGUAUUGUCUUUCAAUUAAUAGAUCUGGUGUUAUAAUGUAUCCCUCAGUAUAUAUUCAAGCUAUUUCCAGUCUUUUAAUGAUUCAGAGUUCCAUCAGCUCUCAAAUCUGGUUCAUUUAGUGGUUUUAUUGUCAUAAGAGGAUCAAAAAUGCACUAAAACUGAUGAUUUAAUUAGAUCUGGACAUCCACCCUUUAAGCAUACAAGAUAUAUAUAAUUUCUUGAUCUCAAGGCAUUGAAAAGAACUUAAUGUAGACUUAACCCAUCUACGAAAAUCCUUUGAUAAACAAGAAGUCAGAAUAACUUAGGGCGCAAGUAAUCGGCUUAAAUACACUUGUUCUACAUCUGCCAUACAGAGAUGGCAAUGGUAUGCCUCCGCAGUCAGUUAGUUUUGAUUGUGAGCCUUAAGGCCACCUAAGGCCCCCAUAAAGGCACCUUUCAGAACUGACUGUUUCCUGCUCUUGCAACCUCUUAAUAGGUAGGAGCUCGACAACCAACCAAAGUGCCAACUCCUCGGGGAGCUGUGUGCUCAAGCCAGGAACACCCACCAUUCAAGAUUUCCUGCCCGAACAUAAUGUGCGGCCUCGAUACUAACCCAAUGAUGUGAAGUUUUUAUCUGUAUGGCUCAGAAGCCAAAGAGGGGCAUCAAUCUCAUCUGGUAGAUCAUAUCAUAUUUGAUGAAUCUGAGAACGUGACUGUUGAAGCUAGCAAGAGACUCAUAAUGCUUUCCUACCCAAAGCUUUCGAAUACCAUUUGUUCCAUUGUUAUGUGGAAAUCUGCUAAUAAUUGGUUAAAUAAAUCUAUGAUUUAACUGCACCAUUACAGGAAAAAAUAAUGUAUAUAGAACAAGUAAAUAAUAAUUCAACGUUUAAGUGUUAUCUUGCCAUACUUGUGUAGUCAGACAAAUAGUAUGUAGAUCGGCUCUUAAUAAAUUUGAAUCAAACAGUUAAUUAGGAGCCGUUUGGUAACCAUUUUGUUUUCACAUUUUUUGAAAACUAAAAUCUUGUUUGUUAACUACUUUCAGUUUUAGUUUUCAAACUAUUUUCUUGAGUUUUCAAAACUAAAAGUAGUUACCAAGCAAAAUUUCAGUUUUCAGAUUUCAGUUUUAAAAAAAAAAGAAAAGAUUUUAUCAAUAACAGCCAGAAUUUAACACAUAACUUCAUAAAUGUCAUUUUUUAUAAUAUCUUUUAAAAAUAACAGAAAAUCCACUUAAAUAGACUUAAAUACCCUUCUUUGGUAUUAAAACAACCAAAAGCUUAAAUGCCCUGCUUUGAAAAGCAAGAGAUAGCUUGGUAUGGGAAGUUUUAGUGCAGAUGUUAUGGCUUUAAUUCACAUCACUUUCAUUUGGAUUCAUGAUUUCCAGGAAGCCAAUGAAGAACCAGUAGAGUGAGCAAAACUAAACAAUCACGGUGGUUGCCUUCUAAUGAAGGGUUUGUGAAACUAAAUGUGGAUGGAGCCAUAAGGAUAACGGAUGGGAAAGGAGGUGCAAUAAUGAUCAUCAUUGGUUCCAAUAAUGACGAUCAUACAACACACCUGAAGCACUUUUCCACUUCAGCCAUCCAGCUUAUAUACCAUGAUAUAAAUCUCCUUUGGAUUCUCCAUUCUUUUGCAAGAUAGAUCAAAGAUAGCGAAAGCGUUCAUCUUCGGUACUUCAUGAUCCAAUCAUCAUUCCUACCUCGUUUGGACGCCUAUUCCACUGAACUUAAAACUCCAUAUACUAUGCAUUUGACCUACUUAGACAAAGACCUUUAGACUCCUAGCCAAAAGUUAAGCUCCAAUGUACUUCCUCAUGCAUUUCAUCUAUCAGCAUUAUAUCAUUUGUGAAAAGCAUACACCAAGGGAUAUCAUUUUGAAUUUGUCUCGUUAACUCGUCCAUUACCAAUAUAAAAAGGUAAGGACUUAAAGCUGAGCCUUGGUGUAACCUUAUGGUUAUAGGAAAAUUUUCAGUUUGUCCUUUAUGAGUUCUUACUGCAAUUCUUGCUCCAUCAUAUAUAUCCUUUAUUGCUUGGAUAUAUGCUACUCGUACUCAUUUCUUGCCAAACUUCUUCACUAAGUUCUUGGCAUACUUUGUUUGAAAGAUGAAGAUGCCAUCCUUUUCUUGUUUUACUUGAAGUACAAGGAAGUAGUUUAAUUCACCAACCAAGCUCAUCUCAAAUUCAUUCGUCAUCAUAUUGAUAAAUUGUUUCACAAGAGAAUCAAAAGUAGACCCAACAACUAUGUCAUCCACAUACACUUGAGCAAUCACAACAUGAGAUUGAACCUUUUUAACAAACAAGGUUUUAUCAACAAAGGCACGAGUACAACCAUAAGCAAGAAGAUAAGAAGACAACCUGUCAUACCAAGCACUUGGGGCUUGUUUAAGAUCGUAGAGAGCUUUCGUCAGUUUGAACACCCCAUCUGGCUUGUGAGGAUCCUUAAAACCCUUAGGUUGUUCCAUGUAGACUUCUUCAUUAAGAUAUCCAUUACGGAAUGCGGUUUUGACAUCAAUUUGAAAAAGCUUGAACUUUAAAUGUCAUGCAAUUGCACAAAGAAGUCUAAUUAAUUCAAGAGAGUAACAGGAGCGAAGGUUUCAUCAAAAUCAACACCUUCAAGUUGAGAGUAUCCUUGAGCAACAAGCCUGGCCUUAUUUCUGAUCACAUUUCCUGACUCACCAGACAUGUUCUUGUAAAUCCAUUUUGUGCCAAUAACAUUAGUGUUCGAUGGACGAUCAACAAAGGACCAGACUUCAUUCCUCUCAAACUGAUUUAGCUCUUCCUACAUGACUAAGACCCAUUCUUCAUCAGUUAGAGCAUCUUUGAUAUUCUUGGGCUCAAUUUGGGAAACAUAGCAAACAUUUGCAACUUCAUUAGUUAUUUGUCUUCGAGUUCUAACAUUUUUGUCAAUCGAACCCACAAUUUCCUCAUCACGAUGAUCUCUAGCCCACUUCAGUUUAUCCUUGAAUAGGACAUGAGAAUCUUUGAUUGGUGCUUGAUUCACUUUCGUUGUCAUUUUCUGACACCAUACUUGACUCACCAGAAGCAUCACCAUUUCGUUGUCAUUUUUUCUUUCCACUACACCAUUUUGUUGAGGGAUGAUUGGAGCAGAAAACUCAUGCUUGAUGCCGUUGGUUGAACAGAAAUCAUCAAAGCGAGCAUUCUCAAAUCCGGUUCCAUGAUCAGUUCUAAUUCUGACUAGAGCAAGAUGGCUAGACAGAGAUUCAUUCAACAUUACUUUGUACAUAGUGAGGAACUAUUGAAAGGUAUCAGAUUUUUCCCUUAAAAAGCAUACCCAAGUAAAUCUAGAGUAGUCAUCCAUAAUUACCAAGAUGUAAUUCUUACCACCAAGAGAUAAAGUCUAAAUUGGUCCAACAAGAUCCAUAUGAACUAAUUGAAGAGGCUUAGUUGUUCCAAUGUCAGUCACUUUCUUGUGUGCCACCCUAGAUUGUUUUCCCAAUUGACAUUGUAAACACGAAAAUUUUGUAACGAAUGAAACGAGAACACGUGUACAAAGUAGAUUUGUAUUGAUGAAUUUAUAGGGUUACAAUCUCUGUAUAUAAUUUUCCCUCUGAUUCAGUCUUUAAAUUUGAUGUAGAUGGUUGAUUGUUAAUCCAAGAGUCGCGAUGACUUGAUCUCAGACGAAUGAUUGAAUGAUUUGCAUCAAGUUUUGAGCUUGAAACAAUGUGUGGAUAGUUUUCACCUCAAGGUUUGUGUAUGACCUACGAUAAAGGUGAUGUUGAUGCGGGAUUUUGUUGAUUCAAGGGUCUUGACAACUUGAUCUUGAAUUGAACAUCGUUACAAGUUUUGAGCUUGCAACAAAGUUUUGAAGGAAUCGGCAGUGCUUGUUCAUUCUUCAAGGGAAUGCUUCGUCUUUGGUUAAAAGAAAGCUUCAGCUUUGGUUGUGCGUUCUUUGAAGAGGGCUUUGGUAGCAUAUUAGUCUUCAAAGAUUUGGUGCAGAGAUUCCUCUGGGUGUAGAAUUGCCGACCCCUAUUUGUGUUUGCGACCUUGUAUUUAUAGACUUCCAAAGCCAUGUCUUUGGAUGGAUUUGACUUUGAUUUGUGUCUUGAUUCAUCCAUGGGAGAAUUUAGGCAUUUUUGUGUCUUAAGUUCAGCCACUUUCCCUUGCUUGCCCGAAUUAUAGGGCUUUCUUGCCUAUUUUGUGAGCAAUCUUCAAUUCUUGCUUGUUUUAUGAAGAUACUUUAACUUUCUUUUCAGUUUUGGGAGCAAUUUGGGCCCCUUGCCGAUUUUAAGGAGAUUUAUUCCCAUUUGCUGCAUUUUAGAAUGCUUUUGAGCUUCCUUUGCUUGAUUUGUGCUACAUGUCAUUUAUGACUUGUCCAUUUAUGAUGGGUCCUAUGCCACGUGGAGAUGUGUGAUGCAUCAUUUGUAUGCAAUGAAAUUUACAUAUCUACAAACAUGAUCCACAAACAUAGGAGUCAGAAACAAAAAUAGAUGGAAGGCCCUUCACAACCUCAUGUUUGGACAACUUCUUAAGGUACUUGAAGUUUACAUGCCCAAGUCUCUUAUGCCACAAUAUACUAGUUUCAUCAAUAGUUUUGUGGCACUUGGAGUAUUCAGCAACUUUAGAGACAUCAAGAAUGUAGCAAUUGUCUCCAGAUCUCGGGAGUACAUGCAAGUUCUUUCCAUGUUCAUCCACAGUCCAACACCCUUUUUUUGAGAAACACACUUCAUCAACCACAUCAUCACACAAUUGGCUAAUGCUAAUGAGAUUUGACUUCAACCCAUCAACAUAGCUAACAUUUUCAAGCUUAGGUAAUCCAGGGAUUUUGAUAUCACAUUUCCUUGUGAUCUGAGACUUGUCUCCACCACCAAACACAACACCACCGCAAAUAAAAGGAGUAAGAGAUGAGAAAGCCUCAUUGUCUCCAGUCAUGUGACGAGUGCACCCACUAUCAAGAUUCCAUACAUUUGGCUUGGUAAUAGAUAGAGCAUUUAGAACAACAAGACACAUGUUCAAGGCCUUCUGAACCCACUUUGGACUUUGCUUAAUAUUUCAAGAUGAACAAGACUGAACAAGCUAAGCAAUUCUAUUGACCUCGAUGACCAAGCGAUCUACCUGACCCUUCAGCAAAUUAGUCUUUCCAGAGUACAAUUUUCUACAUUUUGGACGAAUGUGCCCAACUUCACCGCAGUGAUGACACGUAGGAACAGAUCUUGUCUUUGGACAUGGUUUGACUUUCUAAGAUAUAGCCCUAGAUUCUCUCACAAAUUUUGUUUUGGUGAGGAUAGAAAUUGAGCCACUUUCUACAUAACCAAGACCACUUUUGUCAUCGUAUAGUUUUCUGAUACUCAGCAUCUUGUCAAUUUUUCAACCCUAAUAGUGAGACGAAUAACCUUAUCAUUUGCCUCAUUCAGUUCAAGUAGUUGUUUCCUGUUGGCUUCAUGAUACAUCACAUUAUUUGCCUUCAAUGCAUGAAUUUGAUUCAUCAAGUUCUCUUGAGAUUCUAGUAAGUUUUGAACCUGAGCUUCAAGAGUAGUAAUAACAUCAUCCUUUUCAACUUUUUCAUUGCAAUUAAAAGCCUUCUCAUUCAACUCCUCAACAUAGGCCUCAAGAUAACCAAUUUUUUCAUCCAAUUCAAUUCUAACUAGACAAAGAGACAUGUUUUCUUUCUGUAAUACAACAACCUUCUUAGCUAGCUCAAUCCUCUCCACUUUUGUAGUACAAGUCUCAUCAAAGAGAGAAUCAUACUUUAUGCACAAUUCAUCAUACGACAUCUCCUCAUUGCCAUUCAGAACAGAAUCAUCAUCACUCAGAGACACUUCCUCAAUUGGAGCAACAAAAGCAACAAUCUUUUCUUCAUUGUCUGAUAACUCAUCAGAAUGCACAGAACCUUGAUCAUUUUAUCACUCCAAGUAACCAUCAUCGCCUUUUUAUUCUUUUGACCAAGGAGUUUGAUGUUAGCAUAAUCAACAGCACGGUGCCCACUUCCCCCACAUGUAAAGUAGGGACCAGGUACCUUUAACACACCUUUGUCUCAUUUUCUAGUGAACCUUUUGUGCUUCACUCCAGUAGAUUGUUUUUCCCGAUUGUUUGAUGACUUACCAAACUAUUUAGAAUCAUUUCCUUUGUUUUUUAGAAUUCUUCUGAGUUGUCUGACAAAUCGGGCAAGAUCAUCUUCUGAGACAUGUCUACACUCAUCACCAACAACCUCACAUUUCUCAACACUUUGAAAGGCCACUUCUUUUAUCUUCUUGGAGUCACUUUCAUCCAUUUCAAGCUCCAAGUCAUAGGUAAUGAGCUUCCCAACUAAUUUUCCAAGCUUGAUCUCAUUUAGGUCCUGAAACUCUUGAAUGACAGCCUUCUUUGCUUGAAAUCUCUUGGGCAAGCAUCUCAAAAUCUUUUGAACAACGGUUGUUUAAUCAAUAAGCUUCAUUAACCCCAAGACAUUUAUUUGUUAACAUUUCAAUUUUCUCAAAGAAGACCAAGAAAGUCUCAGACUCGAGCAUUCUCCAAUCUUCAAAUUUCGAAAGGGUCAUUUGAAGCUUUAAGUUUCUCACUUGUUUAUCACCCUAAUGAAGAAUUUAGAGUUUGUCCCAACCUUGCUUGGCAGUUGUGAAAUAUCAAACAUGAGCAAACUGAUUAGACAAAAUGGCAGAAACAAUUGCAUUCUUUGCUUUCCUAUUAGCCAUGGCCGAAGCAAUUUCUUCUUGAGUCCAUUCACCUUUUGGCUUCAUCACAAACUUUCUAUUGACUAGCCUCGAUGGAGCCUUCCACUUAAGAGAAAGAUAAUCAAUAGCUAUAAGAUCUUAAGCCUCAAUGAAUAUCUGAAACUUCUUGUUCCAAGCAGCAUAAUUUGUACCAUCAAAGAACGGAUGUGUAUUGCAUGAGCCACUGACACGACACGAUCCAUGGUGGGAUUCUACCUAAUACCAGAAAAUCUCAUAUAUCACUCUAUGUAUAUCUAGAGCAAGGCUCUAAUACCAAUUGAAAUUGGGACCAAGCAGAAUAUCCUGUAUAUAAAAAUUAUAAUAUGCUAGACUGACUAGUCAAGCCCGCUAGUCAACUCAAAUAGAUUUGUUAAUCAACAAAUCAAAGAUUCAAUUACCAAUUUCAGUUACCAAAAACUAUCAUAGUCAGCAAGGCAUCAGUUUGUUGCAAGUUAUUAAUGUGUCAAGAGGGCAAGAUUGUGAACACAUACCAUUUAACUGUUCAACAAAUAUAUGUAUCAAGUAUGUGUAUGUGAGAUACGUGACACAAUAAAAAUAACUUGAACACAAGAUAUUUUUAGCUGGAAAAACCCACCUCUGGGUUAAAAAACUGGGGACUCUCCACUGAGUCCAAUCCACUAGUAUAAAUAAAGGUUCAUAAAAAGACCACACAAGCUCAAUUUCUAGAUCCCUAUUUAUGGAGCAGCUUUACCUUUAUGCAACAUUGUCUUACACGAGAUGGACUCCUUUGGUCUUCACGAAGUGGCAGCUCCUCUUGAGCUCAUCACCUUGUGGCACUAAGAUCAAGACAAUCAAUGAUAUGAUAUGAUUUUAUAAUAUGCACAUGAAAUCUGGAUUUAAAUGACCAUUCAGGUUCUCCAGUCAAACAGUUGAAGGAAGAAUCUAACUUGAAUCAAAAAGCUUGGUCUAAAAACGAAUUUAAAGCUUAAAACCAAACCAAGACAUAAAUGCAAAACCUUAAAACAAUGCAACCCUAAUAUACAAUGAUUGGGUGUUUAAUGCAUGAGGAAGGUUUGGUAGUUAGGGUUUCAUAAUUGAAGAAGAUGCAAGCUUAAAGCCUUGAAGACAACUAUCUCUCUCUAAAAACUAAGUUCAAAAACCCCUAAGAACAAUCUAAAACCCUAGAAGUAAAUAUACCCAAGAAAAUCAUAUUUUCCAUCAGCUAACUUAUCCCAAGGACAUUUGUCGGCUACAAAAGAGAUCUAGGCAAAUCAAUGGCAAGAAACUGACCACCAUUAGAAAGGUGUCAUUUAGCCCAUGUGGACUAUCUUAAUUAGUGUGCCUAAACAGCUGGAAGUCAGCGCGCAAAACUGACUAGACAAUCAAACUAGACAGAAUGCAACACAAAAAGUGAUAGGAAAUGCACAUGCAUGAACAAACCUUUUGAUGUGAAAUAAGCCACUUCAUGAACAUUUCCUCCAGUAGCAAUAGCCCAUAAUUGGAGUUUAUUCUAAAGCUAGAUUAAGCAUGUGGUACACAAAUACAAUAUUUAACAAGGAAAGCUAAACACUUUAAAUUAGACUUUACACAAACAGUAAGGUUGUGGAUUAUAACAUUCAAACCUAGGCUCUACGCCAUUAUGCGGAAUAGUCAAAAGGGCGAUCCGGAAAUCAUUCGAAUGUGGCUCUAAACUCCGGCCCCGAGUACGACUACUUCUAUCCUGAACUAGCAUAUUAAGCCAAGUAUUCGUAUGUUAGCAGGUUCAAAAAGGGCAUCCAGACUAGGUAAUCCCAAAGAGGAAUUUUAUUCCAAAAUAGCUCUAAUACGCGGAAAAACUUUGGCCAAGUCAACCAAGGUGGUCUGAUAGGAAACACUCAGGUCUGACACAUAAGGUUUGACAAAAGGAUUCAAAAAGUGUUUCCGACCCACAUGCCGACGACCAAGUUUCCAAAGAACUUUUGUUUAAAAUUCACUAGAAACGGACAUGUGAUCUAGUUUAGAAAGAAAAAUCCAUUUUUUGACUAUGUUGCAAGUAGGCCUGGCAAACAGGCCAUGUUUAUCGUGUUCGUGUCGUUUUCGUGUAACACCUGUUAUCUUAACAAGUUAUGUCGUGUCACACCUAUUAUCUUAACAGGUUUUUAACAGGUCAGGUCAUUUCGGAUCAUUUUACCCUACAAGUAAAAUGACCCAACCCGUUAUGACCCGUUUAGAAAAAUAUUUUUUUUUAUAAAUUUGAACAUACCACAUUGUCACAUAAAAAUUACUUCAAAACAUAAAAACACAUUUGUUGUUAACUACUGCAUACUCCAAAAUAAGAGCCUAAUAAAAAAAAAACAUCAAUACACUACUACAAAAUAUCAAAUGUCCAAGGAUAUGAAAAAUGAAGGAGUUUUUCUUUUCAAGGUUGUGAAGCCUUUCUUAGAAGUUAAGACCUUGCCAAAGAAACUCAGAGCUUACAUGUUGUUCUUUUUACAAAAUCCUUCAAUUUUCAUCGAUCAUCAUGGGAAAAAUAGUAUUGGAACUUUGGCCUGAUUUAUUGUCUUCAAUAGUUAUAUGAUGAGAGAGAGUUUGAUUUAGGGCUGAGAAAAACAUUAGGUGGCCGAGAUUAAAUUUCAGCUGGUCCAACAGUCAUCAAUUUUCUACAUUUAAUUUAUAUAUAUAUAUAUAUAUAUAUAUAUAUAUUUAACUUUCAGUUCGGUUGGGGAUUAAAUUAUACUAUUUUAGUGGUAUAAAAUUAUUAAAUUAAUAUUUUUCUUAUUGUGUAAUGGGUACGUACGUGUAUACCUAUAUCAGCCCAUUAUUUUAACUGGUGCUUAUUGGGUUACCUGAUAACGACCCGAUUCAUUAUUAUAUCGACCCGAAAACCUGUUAAUUUCAUGACGUUUCGUGUCGGGUUAACAGGUCAUGUCAAAAAUUGCUAGCCAAAGACUAGGGCAGGUAAAAAUAGUUGAUUAUCAUUUAAUUUUCUUUUCACAGGUAGCUUCAAACUUAAACUUCUUCAAUCCGAUAAAUGUAUUGAUAAGCAUGGAGCAAAGGGUCCUUCAAUUGUUUAAUGUUCAAUUCCUGGUACCGAAGCAAGGUGGUCCUCCAACUAUUAUGACGAGGAUCCUUUACUGAUGCUAAGUUUGGGAGGUAAUGUUUUUCUGAAUCAACAUUAUCAAGGAGGCUUUUUUAGCCAUGUCCUAGGCCCAUAAACUUAUUCGCAUUCUGCUAUGUUGCUUAUUUAUUACUUAAAGUUCGUUUACUUUACAAAAAUUUAUCGGAUUAAGAAUCUCUUCACAUUUACAAAGACAAAAAAAAUAGUCACACAAGCACAUACUCAUUAUCCAAUUCCCAAUAUGAGGGACCAAAUGGGUAUAGUGUUUGGGGGAGACAAGCUCUCCCCCUAGCAAAAGGAAAAUCUUGAAGACAAGGCGACAUGUUGGACCAAAAUCAUUAGUGUUGAAAAGAUACCACUAUCAGAUCAGUGGCAUACUAUGCCCAUCUUGCUGCAUUCUGAGCACGACACUACAUUGAGGGUGAGCAUUUUGAUGGAAAUUUUCCACCGUCGUCGUCCAUAAGCAAAGGAAGAGGAAGAAAGCGGUGAUGGAAAACCCUAAUGUAACCUCAACACCUCGAGGAGAUUGGACUCAAAUGCAAAUCCUGCAUCGUGAGUGCCAGAAAAGGAUGAAUGUUAUGAAAUAAAUCGCAAGAAGUGAAGGACAUUAAGAUAGAACUAUGGCUAAAUAAGGAAAUAUUUAGCUUUGUUUGACAGAAAUCGACAAACACAAGGAAGAAUUUUGGUUGGAGGAUUCUCGACAUCAAAGGAUCAAAGAAGAAACUGACAACGGAAGCUUUGGUUAGAACAUAAGAGUUCAAUAAUGCAGAAACGAAAGUGGUUGUGAAAAUCUCAAAAGAGAAGCAGUUAUUUAAAAGCAAAUCAUUAGAAGAUUUCACCAUUGAAAACAAAGAGUCGUGUACCUUGGGAUCAAUAUGUGCAAAGAUCAAAGCCAAUUAAUGAAACGUGUGGAGAAUCAUGCACACAAAAUAGAGGCGUUCAUCAUCAUUGCAGUUGAGUUUUCACGAUUCUAGAGGUCGUGUGAUGGAAACCGAAGCAACCAACUACCCCGCUUUGUCAGAGUGCUAAACUAGCUCACAAAGAAUCUAAAGACUAAACGGUACGUUUUCUAGCUUACUCCAAAAGGCAUCAUCUUUGGUUAACAAUUCAUCCUCAAAAGGAACAAUUUGGCUCUUAGAUAAAUGGUUAAGGGCAAUUAUGGGACCAUGAUUUUCUUGAGUCGAAGUAAGGCUGAUCCAAAUACAGUUACCUUAGAAGUUCGGUCAUGGACUCACCAGCUCCGAGGCGGAGCUGUAUUAGACAUAACAGUGGUGUUACCGUCAGCGACUCCACUGGAUGACCAUGCUUGUCCCGCAGAACACGUGAUCUAAUCCAAAUAUGGACAUAAUUAGAUCCUUUAAGUCUUGGAGUUCCUAUAAUCUAGGAAUUGGCGUGUGCUGUAAGUAAUCAUAACUACUAAGAGGAUGAAAUAUCUACUUUUAGAUAUCCUCUAAGAGAUUCUCCCGGCUUAGAACGAGGAUUCUAUCCUAAAAAUGUCUAUCUCCCCACGGUAUAAUACACCCAUCUAGGUUCAUCUAUUGUAAUGCCAAUCUAAAUACUUCAAUACAUUAGCCCACUGCUUGAGUCUAAAAUCACUGACUAACUUGACCAUCGAAGAGCCUUUGGACAGCACACCCCCUCCUCCUGCACCGGUCUCAAGCUUGCUCACAGUUGUUUACUGUUUUGCAGGUUACUCGAGUUUGUGCUCAACCACCACUCACAAUGGUGCACGAAUUUGGUUCCAACAGAAUGGUUUCGUCAUACAAAUGCCUUUUCCUUUUGAUCAGGCCAAGAUCUCUCCAUUUCUUGCAAUUCAUCAUUUUCAUCAAAUUCACUCUCUUUCUCUCUCUCCAAAAUUCAUCCAUUGUAAACUGAUCAGCUCCCUCUUUAGCAUUCACCUACAACAUCUCUUCCCAAAUCUCUCUAUCUCUCAUAGUCCCUCAAAGAUAUUACAUUUAAUCUUAAUAACUUUGAAGUUGUGAAAUUUGUAAUUAAAUCAUGUGUUCUUAGUUUAUAUUGUGAAUUUGUUAUAUAUAUAUUGUGAAUGUGUUCUUGAUUAGUAUGUUUUAAUAUUUGUAAGAAUUUUGUUUAAAAACAAUUGGGGAGAUUGUUGAGGGAUAGGUUUGGAAUGUUGAGAGAUAGGUUGUAUGGCCGAGUUGGGGAGGGGGACAGGUUUGGGGAAUAAAAAAGGUUUGGGGACAGGAACCGUAAAGAGGGGUACAUGUUUGGGGAAGGGGACGAGUAGGGAUGGGGAUGGUUGGGGAGGGAGAUGAGUGGGGAUGGGAACGGUUGGGGAGUGAGACAAGGUGGGAUAAGACAUCGGGUGAUAUGAUAAAGAUAAUUUUUUUGUUAUAUUACAAUUUUUUAGAAAUAUCACCAUUUUUGUGUAUAUUAUAAAUUCUUAUAAAAUAUUAGACAUAUUUAGAAAAGUUGGGAAUUUCUAGAAUUUUUUUACAUAGAUACCUAGGCGCCACAUUGUCGUCACCAUUUUUCUUGUCUAACGAGUCAUGGUUGAAUAUGACACAGGACAUGGGCGUCCAGCAUCCCCACGGGUUCAUUCAAUGUUGAAUUAAUCGAUACGUGUAAUCAUCUGCCUUAACUGCCCUUUGACUACCCAUAAAUGGAGGAACAUCUCCUCCGAAGUGAAGCAAGCCCUAAUGGCAGAGCUCUCAGGUGUUUUUUUUAUUUAUAAUAUUUUAAUAAUUUAAUUAUGAUAAUUACUAAAUUAUUGUACUUUUAUAACUAACACUUGUUUUUUGUCUAUUUCAGAUCAAUUUUGAUAUUAAUGUAGAACACUCACGUACGUUAGACUGCGUUAAUCGGCUGUGAACUAAGAGAUUCAAAGAGUGGAUGUUCGAGCUGCGCACCCAGUACAGGACUUUGCAAGUCAUGAAGAAGCUCUGACCCAUCCAUCCCAUGAAUUUGCAAAUACAAUGGACUAGUGGGAGUGGCUCUGUGGUUAUUUUCAGAAUUUAUAAAUUCUGGAAAUAACAUCUUCCAUGGGACGAGUGAAGUUGUUUAUUAUCCGGAAUAAUUUUUGCUUUCCAAUAAUGUUGUAAGAACUUUGAUAUUAAUUAAAUAAAUUUGUUUAAUAUUAUGAUAUUAAUAUAAUAAUAGUUAAUUAUUUUUUUAAUUUAAUGUACAUGUUGCACGACGACCCUAUCCUUCGGCCAACGAUAUCAACUAAUUUUUCCUCUUCAGUUAAAGCAUGUCGGCGGGCAAAGUUGACAAAAAAUUAUUUUUAUACAAAUUUAGUUUUUGCACAACGACAAGUUUUCGUCGCCAUGUUCAUCAGGCAAGACCUCGUUGCCCGACGAAAGUGUUUUACGACUGCUUUUGCUCGACGACUUUUACCUGACGGAAUUUCAUCGCCUUAUCUUUUUUCGCGACGAACAUUGUCCUUAAGAGACGUAACAGAAUUCAUCUCCCAAGUCGGUUUUUUCGUAGUGUAUAUCUACUGAUUUUUUAUAAUGCAACUCCCUUUUAAUUGAUAGUUAUUCAAUCCUAGUAACCCAAAAGCUACACACAUAUCUUUUUGCUUACAGUUGAUUUUAACAAAAUCCCAGCAGUCUGCAUAAAUUUUCUAGAAUAUUCGAUAAUUAUCUCUGGGAAGAAUGCUAUAUUUUUCACUUUACUUACCGAAACGUAAUGAAAGUUCAUAGUAAUCUUCACUCAACUAAUGAAAGAGUAAGCAGCCUAAUUAAGAUAUAGGGCAUAAGAUAUAAAAAUAAAUGAGUUGGGGUUGAAUUGUUAAUAACAAAAUAUUCAAAGUUUGUUAAAAUAAAGAAAGUUGUUGGAGAUGGAAAGUUAAACUAAAUAGCUAAAUUAAUUUUUUGGCACUUUUGACUUGCUAGUUAAUAAAAAUUUAGAGCUUUUUAUAUAGAUGUUUAUAGUGUUAGAGGCUUAGAGCAUCUUCAAGAGACUUUUUAAUAUAACUAGUGGCGGAUCCAAAAUUCUACCAUCGGGUGGUUCUAAUCAAGGCACGCUAGGAUAGGCGCUACUCUGGUGGCGAGUUGGGGCCUAGGCGAACUAGGCAGAUUUAAAUAAAUUUAAUAUAUAACAUAUAAUAAGCGCCUAUUUACACUUUAAAAAACUACACUUAUGUUUAGGAUUUGAGUUUAUUAUUUUAAAUAGGUUUAUUAUUUGACAUAUAGCUAUUUGGGCCCAAAAAUAUCAGUUUGGGCCGAGUAUAGAAUUAUUCUCAGCCCAGCGUUUAGUUCUGGACCGGUUAGGUCGUGGGCUUCCUAACCUGGGUCAGUUAAGCCAUGCUGUAAGACGAGUCGAAUCCUGGUGCAAUUAGGAGUCUCGGCAAGAUUAAUAACCCCGAAGUGAAUCCGGCUUAAUAAAGGACUAGGUUCACAAUUAUGGUGAAAAUAGGACUAAUCGAGUUGGUAUUUGAUCAGGAGAAAAAGUCCUAUUCCGGGUAGGGUUUUAACUCGACCUUGAAGGUAUCCGGUGCUAUAAAUAGAGGAGGUUGUACAUCAUUCAGGCCCCUCCAAUUCAACACACAACUGCCCUGCGCAAACUCUCUCAACAACUUUGAGAUUUUUAUUUUCCCUUUUCACUUACACAUCUUCCGUUGGCAUCAACAACACUGUGAAAGCAACCGGUGAUAUCUUAAGUCGGCAUAGAUAGCUCUGUUGCCGUAGAAUCAGUCGGUCUCACAACAUCUUCCGUUGGCAUCAACAGCACUGCGGCGAGGACGGUUGGUUAUCUAUCCAAGUCUCGGUCGAGAAGGAUUUCUGAAUCCUUAUUGAUUGAGGUCAUCUCAUUAGCCUUCUCGGCGAAGUGAGGUGUUACAGUUUACUGAGCUCGGCGCAUUGCACGCCGAGUAAUUUUAUGAUUGGAUACUCUCAAGUGGGAUUUAGAGUUCGGCAUUCAGACGGCCGAACCACGUUCACUAUUAAGACUUAUAUUCACUUUGAGUAUUUAUGCCCUUACACUUUGGUGUCGAUUCGGCGUGAGUUUACUCUUACGAACAACAUCACUGUGACCAAAUCCGACGACAGCGAUUCGUGAACUUCGUAAGAAUAGUAGGCUUGUCUUCAGGUUCGAGAACCCAAGAGGCCGAGACGUGUUCCUUCCUCAGUUGCAAUCGUAAGACGCAGAAGUCAGCCGCGCACCCAACGUAACAUCAAUAAAUUUACUCCUCGGUCGAUGAGUUGGCAAGCCCCGCAUUCAUCGAAUGACGUAGUUAGCUUAUAGAUUACUCGGCCUGCGCGCCACGUAGGUUUGGUAGUUUUUAGGGUCAACAUUUUGGCACGCCCAGUGGGACCCAGUGCUAAACUACGAAGUUCAUGCUAAUUGAAACGCGAUCGGUAAAAAAGAAAACUAUGGGAAAAUCAACAGCCAAUUUGCCAAUUCAGAACAUAGGACAAAGUGUGCCACAUGCGUAGAUUCCCAUCAGCGUCGUAACACCUGAGUCCACGAGCGCGACUCGUCGAGAAAGGGAAGUUAAUCUCGGCGGUCAGUUUCACAGUCUUGAAAUCCCUGACAAGAACACAUGCGUUCUUAAUGAAGGGAUAAUAGAGGAUUGUGACGAGGAUGGUGGCGAAGGAUCUGAUCCACCAACAAGGUCGUUUCUUCGAAAAUGACUUGACGAGCAAUCUCGGACGAUUGAACAGACGUUUAGUCGAGGAAUCGAUAAACUUCAUGACGUGAUACGCAAUACCAGUGAGGCACAAACCAGAUUACUCGAAAUACUGGUUACUAAGGUCAGCGACGGUAGGUCUUUCAAUCUUGCCCAGCACUUGCCACCAAGAAAUAAUCUAUUACCAAGUGCACCGGCCGAGUCAAUCCCUGCUAGGCUCAAACCAAUUAACUUGGAAAAAUGAGGAGGAUCGAAUAGUAGGUCAGACGGAUCCAACCAGAGAGUGGAAGCAACACCUGUCGAUAUGAUCGAGGUCCAACGGAUGAUCGAUUCGGCCAUGAAGAAAGGGCCGAAGUUCCCUAAAUUUAUACAUUCAUAUCCAGCUUAUGUGGAACAGUUCGAAUACCCUAGAGGUUUCAAAAUCCUGGAUUUCAGCCUUUUCACCGGAGAAUCAUCCUUAUCCUCAUUAGAACAUAUGGCUCGUUUCACCGCGCAAUGCGGAGAUGUCAAUAGCGACUUUCACAAGUUGCGACUUUUCAACUUUUUGCUGAUAGGUUCAGCGUUUGCUUGGUAUAUCAACCUCCCACCGAAUUCUGUCCAGAGCUGGGAGGAGUUGGUCGAGAAAUUUCAUGAGCAGUUUUAUCGGCCAGGGAUGAAAAUGUCAAUGUCCUCGUUAGCAAGGAUGGCUCAAGCAUCCGACGAGUCACCAAUGGAUUAUCUUACCAGAUUUAAAUCAGCCAGGAAUUGGUGUCGAGUACCUCUCCCCGAAGUCAAAUUCGUCAGACUUGCUCUGAACGGUCUUAACGUAGAAUACAAAAAGAAAUUCUUGGGGGCAAACUUUCGGGAUAUGUAUGAACUAGCCCAGCAUGUCGAGCAAUAUGAUUAUUUGCUCCGCGAAGAAAAGAUUUCGAAAGCUCUAUCUCGAGGGACAAUCUACAAAAAUCCCACUGUCAACUACGCAUCGACCGAAGGUGAAUGCGUUAGCAUGGACGCAGUUGAAAUAGUAAUAGAUAAGCCAUACGUUUGCAAGGCGCUGACUCAAAUUGACUCUAAGGAAGUCAAAACCCGCUCGGCCACUGAAGAAACAAUGAAAUCGUCAAAAGUUUAUACUUUUGAUAUUACAAAGGCCGAUGCAAUUUUUGAUCAAUUGUUAUCAGUGAGGAUCAUCAGACUUUGGCCUGGGCAUAACAUUCCCAAGGCCGAAGAGCUUAAAGGAAAGAUAUAUUGCAAAUACCAUAAUUCAAGCAAACAUAUGACAAAUAAUUGCAUCGUGUUUCGAGACAACAUCGAAAGUUGGAUUGAUAAUGGCAAACUCAGAUUUCCGGAGAAGAAUAUGAGUGUUGAUACUGACCUAUUUCCCACGGCAACAGUAAAUAUGGUAAAUGCACGCCUACCUAAGGACAAAGGAAAAGGGAAGGCCGAAGCUGUUACAACGCAACGCGUUCUGAAUCAGAAUUCUCGGCCAUGUUUCACUGCUGAUUUUCAUUCAAACAAACCACCUACAGCUCUAACAGGACCCGCUAUUGUCAAGCCCAUGACAGAAUACAGCACUGACGAAGAAGGUGGGUCGGCGCUUUUAUGCAGAAAGUGUAAAGCAAAUGUCAACACCGAGCCAAAGGAAAAGUUAUCUCCGGCUAUAAUGGAACAACCUACAGCCGCCACACAGUAAAAAGAGCUCAACGCAGGCCAACAUCAAGGGGUUUUUUAUAGGCUCGGCCUUAAAGUACGGGUGGAAGAAACACCUUCGGUCAGACGGCACCUGAUUUUGAUGCCCCGUUUUAUGACGAAGAUUAUUACAUCUGCAAUUCUAGCAGCUCAGAAUCAUCGCAGAGCCAAAAAACUUUCAAACCUCCCGAACCUCGAGAUCAGCGUUGGUAUACAUAUCACUCCUCGAAAGGUGUAUACAUUGCACUGUCCAAAUCCCAAAAACAUUGGCACCAAAGAAUAGACUGCAUGGAGCGCCGACAGGCAGCCCAAGAAAUUUCGAUCCCUAAAUGGCGGCCGAAGGAAACAGUUGCCAAUGAUGAUGAACGACCAUCUCCAACUAUUAUGACAGAGCUGGUUCAAGGGAAACGGCUAGUCAAUCGAGAUGUUGAAACCACAUUUGAGGAGGCUGAUAAACGGAUCAAACUUCUUCUCCGGCCUGGAGAAAUGAAGGCACGCUUUGAGCAUUUCAGGCAAAAAGCUGAAAGCAAACUGUCCCUGCCAACCAUACAAGAACCUUUGAUCAAAAUUCAAUCGAUAUAUGCAAGAAUUUCAUAAAAAAACAUUCGGCCAAUGAUCUAUAUGGUUUGCCGAAAGCAUGUCAAGAUACAAUCGAUAUCGUUCUAACUUGCCCGAAUGCCGAGCAAAUUAUUUAGAAAACCUCAGACCCGGGAUUGAAAGCUAGGUUCCAACAUAUACGAAAAGCUCGAGUCCUUGGCUUUGAAGUCGAUCCAUAUACUAAUAUCGAUGUAGCCGACCUUCCUUUCUCCAUGGAGGACCUUCAAUAUUUACGAUACCACUUCGAAGUUUUUUCGGCCGUUUCUCUCUUCGGCCUCACGACCGAUGAAAUAACACGAGUUGCACGGUUGGAUGCCUAUCUUGACACCAGGGAUGCCCAUAUAAUGUACUAAGAGCAAGCUCGUAUCCUGGCAUCAAUCCCAGACACAAUUUCGAUUUCAGACGCACCUGAGGCACCUACACAGAAUAAACAGGUUUUUUAAGAGACACCGCGUGAACAAACCAUUGAAGAAUGAGCGGAUGAGUCUCUUGGUACAACUCUGACGGAAGCAGAUGCCGCUGUCGGCGACCACGAAAGAGAAGAGGCUGAAGAGGAUGAUCGUAACCCGAUGGGCCCGUCGAUCCUGGAUAACAUGGAAAUCAGUAUGGUCCAUGUUUUGCCCGCUGAUUUUCAGUCGAGCACAUCUCACCCGAAUUUCCUUAAUGGCGACGUAAUUGCCGAGGAAGAUGGUCACAUUAAUUUUGUAAAUGUUGCUGAUGACGAGUCAAUAACAAAAGAUGACAACCUCAAGGCAGCUUUAGCCGAAUUGUUUCCUCGCUCAUGAUCGGCCAAACUUCAUCAUUUGAAACCAUUGUACGUAACGGCCCAUAUCGAAGGGUAUCCAGUCUCCAAAGUUUUUGUCGACUAUGGAGCCACUAUCAAUAUCAUGUCUGUAAACGUCAUGAAGGCGUUACGCCACUCCAAUGAUGAACUUAUUCCCUCUGGGAUCACGAUGAACAGUUUUGUCAGAGACAAAUCCCAAACCAAAGGGGUGCUUCCUUUAACGGUAAACAUUGUCGGCCGUAAUCACAUGACCGCCUUUUUUAUUGUCGACUCCAAGACCGAGUAUAAUGCACAGCUUGGUCGAGACUGGAUUCAUCAAACCAGCUGUAUUCAUUCAUCAUUGUAUCAAAUGCUCGUUUUCUAGGACGGUAAAUCGGUCAUUGUUCACCCGGUCGAUAAUCAACCCUUCGAAGCUAACAUGAUCCAAGCACGAUAUUAUGAUAACCACGUCAUCUACAUCACCCUACAAGGUUUCAAUGAUGAAGGAUGGCCGACUCAGAUUUCUGUUCAAAAAGCUAUUGAGGUUGGCACCGAAACUGUCCACCAGGAUUCGGCGAGACUCGGUUUAGCUAACUUCAUCCCCGACCCUGAUGUUUGACACCGAUCGGGAAAAACAUCGGGCCGCGGUUUCAUCUACUAUGGAACGACUGCUGGCUCAUUGGUAUGCUAUAUCUAAGCAACCAAAUUCAGGCGUUAACCUCGUCGAGUUCCUCUCCGAAGGAGAUAAUGGUCCUGUCUUAUCUCUUGACAAAAUUCAAGCUGCCCCGACCGAGCUCGAAAACGAUCGGCCUCAAGUCAAAGACCCCUUGGAAGAAAUUAAUGUUGAGGCGGCCGAUGACCCACGACCUUUAUUUAUUAGUGCUUUACUUCCCCAACCUAUGAAAACCGAACUUCGUGCCCUACUUGAGGAAUUCAAAGAUUGUUUUGCUUGGAGCUACCAUGAAAUGCCUGGCUUAGAUCGCACUCUCAUCGAGCAUGAAUUACGUAUUAAACCUGGAUGUAAACCCUUCCGUCAACCACCUCGACGAUUCUCGACUGAAGUGUAACACGGUAUCAAGGAUGAACUGGUUCGGCUUUUGAAAGCAGGGUUCAUUUGGACAGCUCGAUACGUUGAAUGGUUGGCCAAUAUCGUUCCUGUUUUAAAGAAAAGUGGUGCAUUGCGCAUUUGCAUCGACUUCAAAAUUUUGAAUCUGGCAACUCCCAAAGAUGAGUAUACAAUGCCGAUUUCGGAUUUGUUGAUCGAUGUCGCAGCGAAUCAUGCAAUCUUAUCUUUUAUGGAUGGACAUGCCAGGUACAACCAAAUUUUCAUUGCCAAAGUCGAUGUACACAAGACUGCUUUUCACUGCUCGGGGGCACUUGGCACUUACGAAUGGGUUGUCAUGCCAUUCAACCUCAAGAACGCCGGCGCCACAUACCAACGAGCAAUGAACACCAUAUUUCAUGAUUUAAUUGGAACCAUUGUCGAAGUCUACAUCGACGAUGUUGUAAUUAAAUCUAAACGCUGGCAGACACAUCUGGAUGAUCUCAGACAGGCUUUCCUCCGUAUGCGUCAACACAACCUCAAAAUGAAUCCUGCCAAAUGUGCCUUUGGUCUGUCGGCCGAUAAUUUUCUCGGCUUCCUCGUGCAUCACCGUGGGAUUGAAGUGGAUGAAAAUAAAGCACGCGCAAUCAUCAAUGCUCCACCCCCGAUGAUGAAGAAACAACUACAGUCCUUACUCGGGAAGAUAAAUUUUCUCCGCCGAUUUAUAGCUAACUCGACGGGUAAAAUGAAAGCGUUCUCCACGCUUUUAAAACUUAAGGACUCAGAUAAAUUUGAGUGGACAGACAAGCAUCAGGCGGCGUUUACGCAAAUCAAAGUCUCCCUCACGACACCACCUGUCCUUGUUCCACCCCGGCGCGGGAAACCUCUCAAGCUAUAUAUCUCGACGGUCGAAGAGUCCAUCGGCUGCCUCCUCGCGCAAGACAACGAUGCCGGAAGAAAGCAGGCUAUUUUCUACCUCAGUCGAAAUCUCAAUCAACCGGAGGUUAAUUAUUCCGCCAUCAAGAAACUUUGUCUCGCCAUAUUUUUCACCGCCUCCAAGCUUCGGCAUUACAUACUCCCAUCGGUCACCCAAGUCAUUGCCCAGACCGACGUCAUCCGCUACAUGCUCACCUGACCAAUCGUCAAAGGCCGAAUUGGGAAGUGGACAAUGGCGUUGUCCGAGUUUAGCUUGCAAUACGUGCCCUAGAAAGCUGUCAAAGGCCAGGCACUGGCGGAUUUCCUCGCUCAACACCCUUCCCCCUAUGGUUUUAGGGGCACCGACGUCGAAAUCGGCAUGGUUGAAACGGUGAUAAUUACUGGAUGAUGUACUUUGACGGCUCAAGUACUUCAUCAUCGGCUGGCGUCGGAAUUGUCAUUCAAUCCCCAAACCACGAUCGUUGGUAUUUUUCGCUCAAGCUGGAUUUUGAAUGCAAAAAUAAUCAGGCUGAAUAUGAAGCCCUUAUUAUCAGCCUUGGCAUCCUUCAUGACUUGCGGCCAACCCGUGCCCUCAUCCUCGGCAACUCCGAACUCGUGAUUAACCAACUUAAUGGGUCUUUUCGAUGCAUGAGUUGUACCCUGGCACCCUACCACAUGGCCGCCAACUAUUUGGCCAAAUCCUUCGACGGUAUUACAUUUGAACAUAUUGCUCGGAUUCAUAAUACCGAUGCAGACGAAUUGGCUCAAAUCGCAUUCGAUGCAUAACUCCUAGGGGGCAAGCUAGGCCAAGAAAUACCCGUGUUACGACAGCUAUACCCGACCUUGGUUAACCAAUAAGUUCUCCGACAUGACAACGUAAUACGCACCAGAGUCAUGUCCUUACCAUCGUUGUUAGACUGACAAAACCUUAUAGAAGUUUACGUUAUCGAGGUAAUACCAGAUGAUUGGCGAAAACCCAUUAUGCAGUAUCUUGACAAUCCCAAUGGCAAACACAGUCGCAAGACGAGAGUUCACGCCACAAACUAUGUCACGUACCAAAACGAGUUAUACCGAAAGGGUGAGGAUGGUCUAUUACUGCUAUGCCUCGGCCCCCAAGAUAAUGCUCAAGCAAUCACAGAAGUCCAUGAAAGGGUUUGCGGAGCUCAUCAGUCCGGACGUAAAAUGCGGUGGUUGCUUCGACGACACGGUUAUUUUUGGCCAAGAAUAUUAAAAGAUUGUAUCAAGUUCACACGAAGGUGCACACAGUGUCAGAUUCAUGGUCUUAUACAACGGGUCUCGGUCGAGUCAUUACAUUCGGUCACUAAACCAUAGCCGUUUAGAGGAUGGGCAAUGGACGUAAUCGAAAAAAUCAUACCAUCUUCCGGGGUUGCCAAGCACGCAUGGAUAUUGGUAGCAACCGAUUACUUCACGAAAUGGGUCGAAGCAAAAUCGUAUGCCGAGCUAACGUCUAAAGAAGUUUGCGACUUUGUGGAAGAACACAUUGUGACUAGAUUUGGCGUACCAGAAACGAUUUUAACUGAUAAUGGCACAAUCUUUACAGCCGAGAGGUUUAAAGAAUAUACGGCAAGUCUGAAAAUUCGGCUUGAACAAUCUACACCAUAUUAUCCACAAGCAAAUGGGCAGGCCGAGACAAGUAACAAAGUGUUGAUCGGCAUUCUCGAGAAAAUAAUAAAAGAGAGGCCUGGCAUGUGGCAUUUAAAGUUAAAUGAGGCUUUAUGGGCAUAUCGAACAUUGCUCCGAUUGACGACUGGGACAACCCCGUAUGCACUAACCUACGGACACGACGCAAUGUUACCAGUCGAGCUAAGCAUAAAUUUGUUAUGAACAAUUGAACAAAGUAGUCUGUUCAGCACCGAAUAUAAUCAGUCAAUGAGACAGAAGUUAGAAGACUUAGAAUAAGCGCGACUCGACGCUUAUAACUUGCUGGUGGCACAAAAAUAGAUUGCCGAGCGAGCAUACAAUCAAAAGGUCCGACAGAAAACAUUUGGCGAAGGAGAAUUAGUUUGGCAAACAGUGUUGCCCAUAGGAAUUAAAGACCCUAGGUUCGGCAAAUGGUCGCCGACUUGGGAAGGGCCUUUCGUCAUACAUAAGGUUCUCGACAAAUGCGCAUAUCAUCUUAGAGACCGGACUAGUUUAGUUCACAAAUUGCCAAUCAAUGGGAAGUUUUUAAAGAAGUACUAUCCAAUCACAUGGGAAAUGCGGGAAUAGAAAUUCAUUUCAUUAAGAUCGGUAGAAGAAUACAUAAAUUGAGUUGGUCGAUCAGUUUACAUUUAAAUAAAUUCAGGGCGAAGAAGGAAAAAAAGUGCCGAGAAGAGCCUUAAGCUCCAGCCACCGCACCUCACCCAUUAUGACCUCGACAUGCCGGUUCUUCUUGUCCAUCUUCAACUGCUCGAUUCGUUUUGUGCUCCCUGCAUACUCAGUCAGACAAUCUCUGCCGCCCGAAUCGAAAUCUUUCGCAAUCUCAAAAGCAAUAAUCGACCUUCGUUUUACUAGUUCGGCUAUUUGACAGUCGAGGUCGGCCAAAGCUUCCCCUUUUGCCUUUAAAGCAUCAAUCUUUGGACAAAGAGCGUCUUGGACGGCCAUGGCAGCUUUCAAAUCUUGUUCAGCCUGAAGAGCGUUCUCAAGGACACUAAAAGUCUCCCAAACUUGCUCUAAGGCAAACGAUGGCUUCGGCGCUCAUUUGACCAUCUGCGCUGAGGUCGUUUAGGCAGGCACCCAAUAAAUCGAGGCCUUUGCAUUCAAGGACUUGCGACGCAGAAAGAGACAAAACUUCUUGCACCCAAACCAGAGCAGUUGAAUCAAGGGGGUAAGUUGUAAGGGCCGAAGGGCCAGCCGCUCCAACAGUACUUGACAGGAGGGCUUUGAACUCGACUUCCCAUGAAGCCUGCACACAAAAAUCAGUUUAAGCUCCAGGAAAUCACGAAAAAGGUAGCAAGAAGGUUUUGUUUUUAAACCUGGCGGGAGGAGACUUCGGCCAUGUCUUCAAGAUCGUUACUCGAACCUAAAGAACUUAAAAGCCGAAGUGGCUUCCUACGGAGGAAUAUUGAGGUCUUGGUCCUACAGAUGAACGGACGUUUCCGCCGUCACUUCUGGCUAUCCUACAGGUCGUUUGCCAUGGUCGGCCGUAGAGGGGCCGACUUGGACAGCCACCUCGGACACAGGAGGAGGCACCUGACAUUUAGUAUUUUCCUGGUUUAGAGUUCUAUGGCAGAGAAAUAACCAAGGAAAGGCGGUAGGGGGUACUUACAAAGGCCGAAGUGGCUUCCUACGGAGAAAUAUUGAGGCCCUGAUCCUGCGGAUGAACGGGCGUUUCCACCGCCUCUUCUAGCUCUCCAGCAGGUCAUUUGCCACGGUCGGCCGUAGCAGGGUUGACUUGGACAGCCGUCUCGGACAUAGAAAGAGGUUGACAGCGGGGUCGAAAGUGACUCGCCAGUGGAACCUCGUCGCUCCCGUCGCUCUCUUCCAGAACGAAGGCCGAGGGUUUUGGAUUUUCAGGAUAAGUUAUCUCAGUCACAGGGACUGCCUCUUCUGGGACGGGUGCAGCCUCGACCAGUGGAACAACAACUGGUUCACCGACUUUAGAAACAGGCCUUACUUGGACUGUUUCUUCGGUCGAAACUGAUCAUUUCUCAACUAAAGCUUGGGUGAUUGGGGGAGAAGGGGAAACACUGGGAGUUGUCACCCUUGUAGUUUGACUGGAGAUAACGUGAAUCACCCGUUCCCCUUUCUUCACCAGUUUUUUGACCCGUUUGGCGGGCCGAGGGGCUUCGAUGGCUGGCUCGACCUCUUAACGAGGCCGUUUGCUCAGCACAGCCUGCACAGCGAUCUUGGCCCUCUUGGAAACGACUGAUUUUUUCUCGACCGCGGCCGCGGCCGCAGCCGCAACGACCACUUCCACCUUUUUCAAUGGCCGACUACCUGGAAAAGUAAAAGCAAAUCAACAAAGCCGAUCAGUAGUUUAAAAUUGAAGAAAAAGGUAGAAAUAAACGGUUACCUUGGGGUUGGGGGGCAGGAGCCUUCUUAGGUCAAUCACCGAAGAUUUUGUUCAGAACGGUUUCGACCGAAACACCAAAAAACUAUUGGGUAUACUCUUCCCACCAAUCACCGAAGGUGUCAGUGUAAAGAGGCUCUAGAGUGACCGGUCGAAGAUGGAAUUUUUGGCACCGUUCCUGGAACUCUCUUUUGGCGUCGUUGCAUUCAUUCUCUGAAGAGCCAGGUUCGCGUCUGCGGCUUAGGACGGACCGUGAGGAGAGAAGGGGGACUGGGCAACCUUGAAGGUAGCCAAGCUAAUGAGCGAGGAAGUUGGGAUGAUACACUUCCCAACUCGCUUAGCGACCCUCAUAGCCGAGAGACAGGUCGCGGGCAAGCACGAAAGACCCCUAGGAUGGAUGAAGGUCGGCAUCUUCGUUCGUGUCCCACGCUGAUGUAGGGAGUCUGAUCGACGAAGGGUAUUCUCGAUGACGGUAGAUCAAGAACUCAUCAUCAGAAAGGUCGUCAAGAGUGAAAAAGUAUCUGAACACUUCUUCGACUUGGUGAGAGGGGAUUGGCCGAAAAGUCAGCUGAGGGCCGAGCGCUUCCUUAGGCGAGAAAUCGGCAAUCGUUGGCUAAAGAGGAGCAAAGUAAACCUACAGCCAGAGUUGGAAGACCCAGAGGGGACCAUUCUGCUGCGGAUUGACCUUAUCUAGGGUUGUUUCGGCCAAGCAGCGUAAGAGAUGGGCGAGAAUGGCCGGGCUGAGUGCUAGAGUGUGACCGCUUGCUAGGGCUUCGGCCACUGGCAUAUUCUCGACCAGACACUUAUUAGAUUUGGUACAACAGAUAAAUUUAUUGUACCAAUAAAAGAGGAAAGCCUCGUGUUCUCCUUCUCGCAGAGCUUCUUCUCCUCGGCCGGUAAAAUGGAAAUAGAGGGUGUUAUAGUUGAAGAAGUUCUUAUGAAGCUUGUAAACCUCUUCUUUCGAGGGUAUUUGGCCUUCACCGCUUAGCAUCUCAAGGGCCCGUUUGUCGAAGAGUGCCUUCAAGUUAAGGUUCGACGGGUACCCAGAGAGGGCAGCGUCAAUUGGGAUUCCAGUCGGGGAAGUCCCCAAGAUGUCAGUGAGAUCAAGGAUGGUGGGGCCAAUGGGGCCGAGAGGGAUGACCAUGGUGUUGGUGGCCGAACACUAGAAGCAUAAGGCCGCUAGGAGGAGCUCCUUGUCCAGGAUGACCUCCAUAGACGAGAGGUGAAUGGCAUCGUAAAUGCCGAGGAAUUUCCAUUGCUCGCCGAAGAGCUUCUCCAUUCAUACAACCCAGGCUGCCCAGGUUGUAGUGGUCGAAGGCCAAGAGCCUUGAGGCCUUGCCACAUCCCACUUCGGCCAUUCAAACCCUUGUAGCAAAGGCGACAGGCAAUGUUUCUAGAGAAGCCCAAUGAUGGUUGAUGGUACUGUCGCUUUAAAGAAAUGACCCAAGAUUUGAUGAGGGGUGCUCAUGUCACUUUCGAACCGUAUGGUUUUGAUCGAACUUCGAUCAAUAAUGUUCUGACAUUGGUCGCAUUCCUUGGAAAGCUUGGAGAUGAAGGAAGCCAUUGUAAGGGGAUUAAAAGAAUGCGAGACGAAAUGAGCUUUUCUGGGUUGGGAGAUUUGAAGACAAAGAUCUGGAAGGAAGGAGUGCACCAGAGAACGAUGGCAAGAAUUUCAGAAAAUUUGAAAGCGUAAAGUACAAAUGAGAGAAUUUCGGUAUUUAUAGAACGGUGGAAGGAAGGGCAAUCGUUCGAAAUUCAAAAUGAAGGGUAAAAUCGAUCGAGAAAUUCGCUAAUCAUUAUGAACAUUUAGAAAAUCCAGUUGAGAAGACCAAGGUUUCGUGUUUAGGGGGACGCACGAUUGCGUAUGGCGGUGAGAUUUAUGGUGAAAAAUGUUUUGGCGUCUGCACGAUGCUGAAUGGUUCGCAGAUCGAGGCAGCAUGGUUAUGUUCAGCAACGAGGUUAUGAUGAUAUGACGGUUCAGGGAGCCGCACGCUUUAAACGUCAUUAUUGGGGAUUAGCCGUAUAAAAGGAUGCCACAUGGUGUAUUGGUUAGCAAGAUCGAGAUCGUGCAAUCGUGCUCAAUAAAUGCGCCUCGAGAAUAAGAGUAUUUGGAUUUUGAGUUUUAAUUUCACUUCUUUAAGGCCGGAGCUCGACCAGAGGAUUCAGGCCUAGGACCUCAAAAGCGAGGGGGCAAUGUUUGGGCCCAAAAAUAUCAGUUUGGGCCGAGUAUAGAAUUAUUCUCGGCCCAGCGUUUAGUUCUGGACCGGUUAGGUCGUGGGCUUCCGAACCUGGGUCAGUUAAGCCAUGCUGCAAGACGAGUCGAAUCCUGGUGCAAUGAGGAGUCUCGGCAAGAUUAAUAACCCCGAAGUGAAUCCGGCUUAAUAAAGGACUAGGUUCACAAAUAUGGUGAAAAUAGGACUGGUCGAGUUGGUAUUUGAUCAGGAGAAGAAGUCAUAAUCCGGGUAGGGUUUUAACUCGACCUUGAAGGUAUCGGGUGCUAUAAAUAGAGGAGGUUGUACAUCAUUCAGGCCCCUUCAAUUCAACACACAACAACCCUGCGCAAACUUUCACAACAACUUUGAGAUUUUUAUUUUCUCUUUUCGUUGACACAUCUUCUGUUGGCAUCAACAGCACUGUGAAAGCAACCGGUGAUAUCUUAAGUCGGCAUAAAUAGCUCUAUCACCGUAGAAUCAGUCGGUCUCGCAGCAUCUUCUGUUGGCAUCAACAGCACUGCGGCGAUGACGGUUGGUUACCUAUCCAAGUCUCAGUCGAGAAGGAUUUCCAAAUCCUUAUUGAUUGAGGUCAUCUCAUUAGCCUUCUCGGCGAAGUGAGGUGUUACAGUUUACUGAACUCGGCGCAUUGCACGCCGAGUUAUUUUAUGAUUGGAUACUCUCAAGUGGGAUUUAGAGUUCAGCAUUCAGACGGCCGAACCACGUUCACUAUUAAGACUUAUAUUCACUUUGAGUAUUUGUGCCCUUACACUUUAGUGUCAAUUCGGCGUGAGUUUACUCUGACGAACAACAUCACUGUGACCGAAUCCGACGACGACGAUUCGUGAACUUCGUAAGAAUAGUAGCCUUGUCUUCAGGUUCGAGAACCCAAGAGGCCGAGAUGUGUUCCUUCCUCGGUCGCAAUCGCAAGACGCAGAAGUCAGCCACGCACCCAACGCAACAUCAAUAAAUUUACUUCUCGGUCGAGCUCGACCGACGAGUUGGCACGCUCUGCAUUCACCGAAGGACGUAGUUAGCUUAUAGAUUACUCGGCCUGUGCGCUACGUAGGCUUGGUAGUUUUUAGGGUCAACAAUAACAUACAAAAACAUCAUAAUUUUUGCUUUAGCAAUUUAGUGAAUUAGAUGGUAUGAGAUGAAAGUUUAAGUGUGUCACAUCCCAGUCCGGCUCCGCCGUAGCACGAUAUUGUCCGUUUUGGGCUUACCAUUCUCUCACGGUUUUGUUUCUGGGAACUCACACAAGAACUUCCCAGUGGAUCACCCAUCCUAGGAAUGCUCUCGCCCGAACUCGCUUAACUUUGGAGUUCUGAUGGACUCCAAAGCCAGUGAGCUCCCAAAAGGUCUCGUGCUAUAGGGAGGGGAGCAUGUACAUAUAAGACACAUCACCCCCUCUCUGUUGGUCAAUGUGGGAUAUUACAAAGUGAUUACAAGACGCAAUGUUUUACGAAAUAUUUUUCAAAUGUCAUAUGUAUAGUGAAUUUUAAAAGAAAUAAUGGUGUCAAACAUGUGUCAUAAAAAAUAUUGAUUUAGUAAUCCACCAUCCCUUUAUUUAUUAAAAUGAUAGGUGACACAACCUGAUUAGAGAACAAUUAAAAAAAAUAUAAAAGAAAAAAUUGGGAAGUUGGACACGUGGGAAAUGGAAAAAGAACUUUUUCUUCAAAAUGGGGAGUUCGUCACGUGGGAAGUGUAGAGAGAAUGUUUUUCUUCUUCGUUGGAACUAGGUCCAAGAACAGGAGAAUCAUGGCGGUAUUCUCUGCGUUCCUCUUCGUCUAAGAUUAGACUUCUUCUCAACCCUGAAACUGGAUUGUCGAAGUAAGCUCGGAACUCUUUUGUUUCACAACACCCUAUUCCUUCUUAGGCCUAUUCAAAUGGCUGUAUGGAUAAUGCUUUUAGGCUGAACCGAAGAAUUGGCUUGAAAUGAUUAUCCGAGUUGCUCGCAGUUUGACAGUUUCUGUUGCUUGUUUCAUGCAUUUGUAACUUAUUUUUUGCCCUUUAUUCCAAUUAUGGUCUUUCUACUCAUUGUCUUUGACACAAUAAUGAAUAAAUUUUCUAUUGUUCAUUCGAAAGUACGGCAUUGCAUCUUUCACUUCUAGCAGGAAUUAGAAAUGGAAGAUUGAUAGCGUUCACUAAAAAUGAUAGCUAGCAGUUAGUAUAGGCUGGAAAAGGGUGAUAAGUAGAAGAACUAACAGAGUGGUGCUGGCAUGUACAAAGUUUGAUUUUGGUCUCUGUGGUUUAUUUUUUAAAUUAUUAUUAACAGGAGGGGGGAGGUUCAAAACUAUUACAAUAAUUUGAGGGAGGGGGAGUUUCGAGCCUUUGAUGCAUAGGUGGAAAUCCAACACCCUAUUACUAGGAUAUAUUGGACCACAUGCAGGUAUUACAUGGGUGGAAAUCCAACACCUUGUUCCUGUAGUUUCAAUUAUCGCGUUUCUAAAGAGAUGCUUUACCUUUUGGGUGUUACAUUUGCACGAAUCGCAUUGCAUCCGUCAUUUGUGUAGUUCCAACUUUGCUGUUCGUACACCUUCCAGGUACUAAUUCGCUGGAUGUAGCCAUAAAAAUGGGCUUAGAUAUGGAACAUCAUACAACUAAUUUCAAAUCGACUCUCAUUAUUUCCUCUAUUUGAAUUGUAACAUUACAAAGAUUUAGAUUUGUCUUGGAACAUAAUUUGUAUAAAAUGUAGCAUCUCUGAGAGAACUGCCCUGUAUCGACGACGUCAAUGGUCUACUCUUUAAUUAGAAGUGCCCUUAAGAUGACUUCACUCAUACCAUCUGGAGCUGGCAACAAAUGUCCACCACCUGGUACCUCAUGGUAGUGAAUCCAUGGAAGCUUUUCGGCAAUAUAGCGUUGCAGCUCAACUGGGACAAGCUUAUCUUCGUCACCCUGCCAUAGAUGGACCGAGCCUUCGUCGCUGGCAAAGGGGUUCUGCAGAUCCAUAGGAUCAAAUUCCCAGCUCCCAAAUCCAACUACCAUGUCGCGAAAGAUGGACUCAGCUUCUCCUUGCUGUGUGGCAUGUUCCUGCCCAAACAAAUAACAAAACAAACAAAAAUCAUCAACUCUGCCGAGUUUCUAUAAAAUCGUAAACAAUUAGCGAUCGAAUAAGGAAAGUACCUUGUGCUUUUCUCUUCCAAAAACCUUUGCAUUCUUAAUGGCUUCCCAAUCUUGGCGGGACAACAUAACCCUGUGUUUAGGAAAGAAUUUCUGAGUGUUCCACCAGUAGGUUAACCAAGGUAUAUAGUGGGCAGCUCGAAGCGCCCAUUGAUCCUGUGGAGCUUGCUUCUUAUAGGCAUAAGACGACAGGUUGGCAGGAAGUCCUGGCCACCAGUAGUUGAUCACCGGAGCGAUCAGUGCUGCUCCAGCUAGCCUGUCGUAACAGGCAUCCCAAACUCAUCGAACUUUAGAGAAAAUUUUCAGUACCGAACGAUGCAUCAUCAGGUAACGAGGCUGCUUGCAAAAUCCUACCUAUGAGGGAUGUACUGAAGACACUUCCAGAUGACCUGUCCUCCCAUUGAGUAUCCAAUCAUAUAAAAUUUGGAUCCGAGUUCCAGCUGAUCACCAAGCUCCUCUAUAUCUAACGCUAAGCUCUUCGUUGUUCGCUUAGGAUCCGGAUCACUUUCACCGUACCCUGGUCUGUCGAAAGACACAAUGUACACACCUAAAUCUUCAAUAACUUCCUGAGGAAAGGAAAAAAAAACACGCACCACGAAAUCAACCAAUAAAGAGUUGAACUGAAAAAUGACAAAGAAUCAAGCAAGGCAGUACCGGAGAGACGGCUGUUGCAAUGAUUGGAUCAUGUCGGGAACUAAAGAAGGGAUGAACAAAGAUAAUCUUGUACUUGGCCAAUUGUUUUGGAACACCAUGUUCCUUGUAGGCCAAAAAUCUUCCAUCCCUUAGCCUUAUUCUAGGCGCUGUGACGGGUGGACCGCCAGGCGAACCACAGAUGUUCGGAGGUGGUGGUCGGGUGGCCUGAUAUGCCCACGCCAGCAAUCCAACCAACAAGAUGAAUGUGAUCCUCUUAAACAUGUUUGAGAAGAUGGAAAGUAAGAAACUUUACUCACCUGCAGUAAAAAGAAGCAAAUAGAAAAAUAACAUUACACUAGAGGACAUCAUUGUAUAAUAAGUUUAAAGUGCUUUUAGAUUUAGGUCCAAAAAUAAGUUGUUUCGGGAGUGAGUUCAGUAAUCUAAUUACAUGUUUUGAUACUAAUUUUACCCUUUUAGAUAAGAAUAUUUAAAUUCUUUAAUUAAAGAAUACAAUUCUUAAAUAUUAAAUAGAAAAUCGAUUUAUGUGGCAGGUAAUCAAAAUGAUCAUAUAUUUGAAUCUAAAUAUACACUUUUUUUCGUAGCCAUAAAAACAUUAUAAUGCAUUUUGAGAAAGGAGAUGAUGAUAUGUGAGAGAAAAGAAAGAUCGAAGAUGUUGGAAGUUUGAAACGUGAGAAACAAAAACACAAAGAUACAAUAAAAUGAGUUAGUUGAUUAAAAAGAAAACAAGAAAUAAAAGAGGAGAAUGCUUCCAUGGUGCUUUGGUGCCACCUGUCUCAUAUUUAUUGGGUUGGUUGGAGUGCUUUAAUCAGACUUGACCAAACGAGAUUCAACACUAGGGGAUUUCAUUUCUACAUUUAAGAACAAAGCAGUAGCAGAUGCCAUACAAAAAUGAGAAAGAAGAACGAAAAAAAGACAAAAAAAGAAAAGGAAUAUUUUUGUUUGCUAUUCUUAAGUGAUGGUGAUUCUUAUUACUCUAUUUAUCAUCGUAAAAUGAGUUUAAAUUUCAAAUAUGUAUAGUGAAUAUAUAUAGACCUCAAAAUUUAAACCCAUUAAAUAAUGGUAAAUAGACUUGUGAGUAUUAUCAUCACUUGAUAAUGAUGAUUCGUGAGCAAAAAUGCACCUGGAAAAAAAUUAUGAAGAUAAAACGAGCCGUGAGAAGUAGGUCAGUAAGAGAUUUAAUUCCUAAUCACUGAAUUCAUUUCAACGAGUAAACUAUUCUUAAUAAUAGUUUGAAAAAUUAGACUUAUAGUAAAUUUUCUCGAGUUUUUUAAUUUGCUACUUCCCCUCAAUUGAUGAAAGGUUAUUUAAAUCAAACAACAACCAGAAAAAUGGACAAUCAAGUAUAAAGAAAACAAAUACACACACGCUUUACUUUUAUCCAAAACAAUAUUACAAUAUCAAAACUAUAAGAUGCGGAUUUUAAUAUAUAAGAGAGAAACAGUGUUCUAGCUAAUUUGAUUAUACUAAUUGUUCCUGUAAACGCACACAAUCAAUAAAUAAGUUGCAAAUUAAAAGAUGCACUCCUUUGUUUAACCAAAACCACAAGAAAAUAAAUCAUAAAAAAUCAUACUUGCUAAUGUGGUUUUUUGGUAAAAACUUACCACCAACACUCCUCCCUCUGUGAUAAUAAUAAGUUUAUGCAGAAGAAAAUGGCAGAAACCAGGCUGAGUGAGCAGCUGCUUUUAGCUUUUGUGUGGUUGUUAAAUUACGUGGAGGAACCCACCUUCACCUAUUUCAAGGCUCGUUUCUUGUCUAGGACUGGCUUGACUUAGACAAUCUGCCGGAUUUUAAAGAAAAAAAAAAUAGAAAUAUGAAUGUCAGAUUGCAUGUUUUGUCAAAGUGACGAACGUAGAUGGAGACGCGAAGAAAAAUUGUCCAUCUUAAUCUUAGACUUUUUGUAAAGAUUAGGAGAAAUAAGUUUUGUUGGUAAUUUUAAUGACAUAUUUGUCAAUCUCCUUCCCUCUGAACUUGGAAAAAGUUGCUAAAUUUCUGUAUAAAUUUUAAUUUUAAUCGAUUACUCGCCUGAGUUGUUAUAAUUAACCAAAUUUUCCCUUAAUGUUAGAUUUUAGAAUUUUUGUUCUAUUUUGGUCACAACAAAUGUUUGAGGACAAUAAAGUAAUUUUAUUCUUAAUGUGGACAUCAAAUUGCUUUUUGUUUUUUCCUUCUCCACCUCCUCGACACCGUUCACUCAAAUUGCUUUUUGUUUUUUUUUUUCUCCACUUCCUCGAUGUCGUUCACUCUCUGUUCGAAUUAGUAGCUGCAAUGUAUUAGCUUUGCACCCAAUUUACCAAAACAAAAUUAUCUUUUUGCCUUCAUACAAUUGUCAUGUGUUGCUUGCAUGACCAAAAUAGAAGAAAAAAUUUAAAAUCUAACAGGAAAAAAAUGGCUAUUUAUAACAGUUUAAAAUAAUAAUCGACUAAAAUUAAAUUUCAAAAGAAAAAUUAACAGUUGCAUAAAUGUUCGGAAGCAAAUCAAGAAAUAGGUCAAUUUUAAUUAAUGGCAUAUUAUUUUAUUUUUAUUUUUUUGAAGAGAAUUAAUGGCAUAUUACAAGGAAUAAAUCCUUGUGGUAUUUGAUAGUUGGUGGCCAUGGAGAAAUUUUUAGUUAUAACCGAAAUACGGAUGAUAUAUCACGUGUUUCUACGUAAGUGGUGAAAAAUUUUAAUUUUUAAAUUAUUAACAUUUUAACACACAUAAUACAUCAUUUAUAUAAAGAUACGUAGUGUAUCAUUUAAUGUAACGGUCACAUUAAAAAAUCUAUUGUGGCCAUGGUUGGCAGCCUUCCUCUUCGCUUUUAUUCUUUUUCUCUAUUGGGUUGGGAAUUUUUUUUUUUUUUUUUGAAGAAUUGGUUUGGGAUUUUUAUGAGUCGGCACUGAACAGGAAGGCAGGGGUGGUUGUUGGUUUGUCCAAUCCAAAAGUUGGAGGCUGCUCAACUACACGACAUAAUAAACGACAAAAUAGACAAGUCUAUAUGUGGGCGUUGUUAGUUGUCCUAAUAAGAGUAGACAAAUGCUAGCAGAAUUCUUUUUAAAAUGAGACUUUUUAUUGAUUUUUUAUCAUUCCACAGUUUAACGUUAAUUAUCGUGCGAAUGUUAUAAAAUAUUAUAUAAAAAAUAUAAGGUAUAGAGAGUCAAUUGAAAGUCUCACCAUUAAGAGAGUUCCUUUAUUAUUUCUAUAAAAUUUUGGUUACAACUUACAACCAUACCAUUAGAGCAUCUCCAAAAAAAAAAAAAAAAGAUAAUGUAGCAUCUCUAAGAGAGCUGCCCUGUAUCAACGACGUCAAUGGUCUACUUCUCUCUAAUUAGAAGUGCAUUUAAGAUGACUUCGCUCAUACCAUCUGCAGCUGGAAACAAAUGUCCACCACCUGGUACCUCAUGGUAGUGAAUCCAUGGAAGCUUUUCGGCAAUAUAGCGUUGCAGCUCAACUGGCACAAGCUUAUCUUCGUCACCCUGCCAUAGAUGGACCGAGCCUUCGUUGCUGGCAAAGGGGUUCUGCAGAUCCAUUAGAUCAAAUUCCCAGCUCCCAAAUCCAACUACCAUGUCGCGAAAGAUGGACUCAGCUUCUCCUUGCUGCGUGACAUGUGCCUGCCCAAACAAAUAACAAAAGAAAACAAAAGAAAAAUCAUCAACGCUGCCGAGUUCUGUAAAAUCCUAAACAAUCAGCGAUCUAACAAGGAAAGUACCUUGUGCUUUUCUCUUCCAGAAACCUUUGCAUUCCUAAUGAUUUCCCAAUCUUGGCGGGAAAACAUAUUCUCUGGUUUCCCGGAUACAACGCUGGAUUUAGGAAAGAAUUUCUGAGUGUUCCACCAGUAGGUUAACCAAGGUAUAUAGUGAGCAGCUCGAAGCGCCCAUUGAUCCUGCGGAGGUUGCUUCUUAUAGGCAUAAGAUGACAAGUUGGCAGGAAGUCCUGGCCACCAGUAGUUGAUCACCGGAGCGAUCAGUGCUGCUCCUGCUAGCCUGUUGUAAUAGGCAUCCCAAACACAUCAAACUUUAGAAAAAAAAAAUUCAGUACCGAACGAUGCAUCAUCUGGUACCGAAGGAGGCUUCUUGUAAAAUCUUACCUAUGAGGGAUGUACUGAAGACACUUCCAGAUGCACUGUCCUCCCAUUGAGUAUCCAAUUACAUAAAAAUUGGAUCCGAGUUCCAGCUGAUCACCAAGCUCCUCUAUAUCUAACGCCAAGCUCUUUGCUGUUCUCUUAAGAUCCGGAUCACUUUCCCCGUACCCUGGUCUGUCGAAUGACACAAUGUACACACCUAAAUCUUCAAUGACUUCCUGAGAAAACAAAAAAAAAUAAAAAUCCACCACGAAAUCAUCCAACAUAGAAAUUAACUGAAAAGUGACAGAGAAUCAAGCAAGGCAGUACCGGAGAGACGGAUAUUGUAAUGAUUAGAUCGUGUCGGGAACUACUGAAGGGAUGAACAAAGAUAAUCUUGUACUUUGCGAUUGGUUUUGGAACACCAUGUUCCUUGUAGGCCAAAAAUCUUCCAUCCCUUAGCCUUAUUCUAGGCGCUGUUAUGGGUGGACCGCCAGGCGAACCACAGAUGGUCGGAGGUGGGGGUCGGGCGGCCUGAUAUGCCCACGCCAGCAAUCCAACCAACAAGAUGAAUGUGAUCCUCUUAAACAUGUUUGAGAAGAUGAAGUAUGAAACUUUGCCCAACUGCAGUAAAGAAGCAAAUACAAAAGUAAAUUACACUUGAGGACAUUAUAUAAUAAGUUUUAAGAUAAUUUUUUAUUCAGGUCCAAAAUUAUAAGUUGUUUUUUGGAACGAGUCGAGUAAUCUAAUUACAUAUUUUUGUACCAAUUUUACCCUUUUAGAUAAAAAUAUUUAUAUUCUUUAACUAGAGAGUACAAUUCCUAACUAGCAGGUAUUUUACCAAAAUAGGAAAUUGAUAUACGUAGCAGAUAGUCUAGAAAAAUAUAUUCUAUGUAAUUUAUAUACUCAUUACUCUAUUUAUCACCGUAAAAUGAGUUUAAAUUUCAAGAUAUGCAAGGGCGGAGCGAAGUACAAGGCUACCCUUGUAAGAUCCCACAUCGCGCCCAGGGGUGUGGAUCAUGUAAGCCUUAUAUGUAUAUUCUCAUCUCUACCUAGCACAAGGCCUUUUGGGAGGUCACUGGCUUUGGUUUCCAUCAGAACUUCGAAGUUAAGCAAGUUCGCGCGAGAGCAAUCCUAGGAUAGGUGACCCACUGGGAAGUUCUCAUGUGAGUUCCCAGAAACAAAACCGUGAGGGCGUGGUCGGAGCCUAAAGCGAACAAUAUCAUGCUACGAUGAAGUCGAACCUGGGAUAUGAUAAGGGCCCGGACUGGGAUAUGACAACCCUGAGCCUGGGCUAUAGCCGAGGUAGCUCUUGUGGGUACAAACCAAGUAUUCCCUAUAUUUCAUUUAUUUUUAUAUUCAUCUCACUAUUAGCUCAUGUAUUUAUUUUAUUUAUUUACUUCAUUAACCAAUACUAUUUAUUUCCUAACAAAAUCUAUUUUAUAGUUCAUAUGCUAUCCAUUUAUGGUUAAUCGUGACAAUAAUUACUUACUCUAAUAACGCUUUUAAUUCUUUUCAAAAGUAACUCGUUGCAUGUUUUAGUUUUUGAAUUAUUUUAUGCAUGACUUUUUUCUAUUUAAAAAAGUUUUACAACGUGUUAACCUUUUUCUAUUUAUUUAUGUAUAUAUUUGCCAUAUUAAAGGUUGAUGAACAUAGAAUAAUUGGACGAGCUUUGCUUAUAACAUUAACGUAUAGUCAUUUUUCAAAAAACAAACAUUUUUUAAUACUUCUUGGCUAGCUCCGCCUUUGAAGAUAUGUGGAGUGGACAAACACUGACUUUAAAAUUUAAAUUCACAUGUGAGCAUUAUCACCACUUGACGAUAGUAAGCAAAAAUGCACCCGAAAAAAAAUUAUGAAGAUAAACCCAGCCGUGAGAGGUAGAUGAGGAAGAGAUUUAAUUCCUAAUUACUGAACUUACUUCAAUAAGGAAAUUAUUCUUAAUAAUAAUUAGAUUUAUAUUAAGUUUUCUCGAGUUUUUUAAUUUGGUAUUUCCCCUCAAUUGAAAAUGGUUAUUCAAAUUAGACAACCAGAAAAAUUUAGACUUUUAUCGAAAUAAUAUUCUAAAAUCUAAAUUACAGAAGACGGAUUCUAAUAUUUAAGAGAAGUCUUACUUGAUAUGCACUCCAUUGUUAAACCAAAAUUACAAGAAAGGAAAUCAUAAAAAAUCAUACUUGCUAAUGUGGUUUUUGGGUAAAAACUUACCACCGACCCUCCGCUCCUCCGUCUGUGACAAUAAUUUGUUUAUGCAGAAGAAAAUGGCAGAAAUAGGCUGAGUGAGCAGCUGCUUUUAGCUUUUGUGUGGUGAUGAAGCUGCCGUGUUUGGUGUCUCUUUGCUGCUCAUUUUUUUAAUACCAGUUAAUUUUUGCUCCUUUCUUAACCAAAGUCAAUUUUUUCAAAAUUGGAAAAGAACAUUUAAUAUUAAAGUUAACCAGUUACUUAGUAUCAUAAUCUAGUAGUAUUCAUUUUUAUUUAUAAGUGAGAGGUCUUAGGUUUAAUUUUCGCCAAAAAUGAAUUUGUACCAAAUUAUUGCUAACUCAUUGUGAGACUAAAGAUGGUGUAUUCAAUUAGGAUUUUGAGGGAUUUUAAUUUUUUUAAUGAAUCUAGGGGUAUUCAAUUAGGAUUUUAAAUGAUUAUAUGAAAUUCAAUGUGUAUUCAAUCAGGAUUUUAAGAUAGUUUAUUAAAAUCCUUAGAAAUUCGGGUGUAUUGAAUUAGAAUUUUAAAGAAGUUUAUAACAUUCCAAGUGUAUUCAAUUCGAAUUUGAAUUUAAAGAAUUUGGAAAAGUUAGGAAUUAUAGGGAAUUAGAGAGAUUUUGUAGUGUAUUUUAAGCAUCCAUAAAUCUCACAUAUUCUAUGAGAUUUCGAAGGAAUUAAAUCAAAAUUUUACAUUGAAUCUUUACAAAUCAGUUAAACUCCAUAAAAAUCCAUGGAUUUAUAAAUCCAUUAAAAUCUCUCAAAUUCCCAAUUGAAUACACCCCCAUAAGUCCAUCCCCUUCCCUUUCCAUUUAAGGGGUGUAUUCAAUUGGGAAUUUGAGAGAUUUUAAUGGAUUUAUAAAUCCAUGGAUUUUUAUUGAGUUCAACUGAUUUGUAGAGAUUUUAUGUAAAAUUUUGAUUCAAUUCCCUCGAAAUCUCAUGGGAAAAUGUGAGAUUUGUGAAUGCUUAAAAUACACUACAAAAUCUCUCCAAUUCCCUCUAAUUCCUCAACUUCUCCAAAUUCUCUAAAUUCUAAUUCUAAUUGAAUACACCUAAAAUGUUAUAAACUUUUUUAAAAUUCUAAUUGAAUACACUCGGAUUUCUAAGGAUUUUAAUCAAGUAUUUUAAAAUCCUGAUUGAAUACACAUUGAAUUUCAGAUAAUCACUUAAAAUCCUGAUUGAAUACCCCUAGAUUCAUUAAAAUAAUUAAAAUCCCUCAAAAUCUCACACUCCCUUAGUGUAGAUAAUAUCGUUUGUUAAAAAAAAUUAAAGUUAAUCAGAAUUAGUUAAAAUGACAUGUGUCAGAUGAUAAAGAGUAUUGGUGGUGAGUAAAAGUGUUCACGUUAUUGUUAAAUUACGUGAAGGCCCCCACCUUCACCUAUUUUAACGCUCGUUUGUUGUCUAGGACUGACUUGGCUUAGGUCACCUGCUGACUUUAAUGAAUAUCAAAUAGAAAUAUGGACCAGAUUGCAUAUUUUGUCAAAGUGACGACCGAAGAUGGCAAAGUCAAGAAAAAAACUUGGUCAAUUUAAAUUUAAAUUUUUUAUAAAGAUUAGUAGGAUUAAGGUUUGUUAAUAAUUUUAAUGAGUUAUUUGUCUAUUAUCUCCUCCCCAAGCUUGUAAACAGUUUCUAAUUUUUGUAUGAAUUUUAAUUUUAGUUGAUUAUUUGCUUGAACUUUUAUAAUAACCAAUUUUUAAUCCUAAGAUUAGAUAUUGGAAUUUUUCAUUCAAAACAAAUGUUUGAGACCAAUAAAGUAAUUUUAUUAUUAAUGUGGAUUUCAAAUUGCUUAUUUUUUUUUACCCUUCUCUCUUCCUUUAGUGGACUCCGAACACUUUCUGUUUGAAUCAGUCAUGAGAGUCCAAUAAGCAGCUCUAAUGUAUUGGCUUUCCACUCAAUUUACCAAAAAAAUUUACCUUUUUACCGUCAUACAGUUGUCAUAUAUUGUUUGCAUGACCAUGAUGAAUGAAAAAAAAUUCAAAACCUAAUUGGGAAAAUUUGUUUAUUUAUAAAAGUUUAAAAAUGUAAUCAGCUAAAAUUAAAGUAAAAAAAAAUAUUUAACAACUUUGUAAAAGUUUGGAGAGCAAAUCAAGAAACAUGUCAAUUUCAAUCAAUUAAAAUGAUAGGUGAACAAUUAAAAAAAAAGAAAAAGAAAGAGAAAAUUGGGAAGUUGGUCACGUGGGAAAUGGAAAAAGAACGUUUUUCUUCAAAAUGGGGAGCUGGUCACAUGGGAAGUGUAGAGAUAAUGUUUUUCUUCUUCAUUGGAACUAGGUCCAAGAACAGGAGAAUCAUGGCGGUAUUCUCUGUGUUCCUUUUCGUCUGAAAUUAGAUACUUCUUCUCAACCCUGAAAAUGGAUUGUUGAAGUAAGCUCGGGACUCUUUUGUUCCACAACACCGUAUUCCUUCUCAGGCCUAUUCAAAUGGUUGUAUGGAUAAUGCUUUUAGGCUAAACCGAAGAAUUGGUUUGAAAUGAUUAUCCGAGUUGCUCGCAGUUUGACAGUUUCUGAUGCUUGUUUCAUGCAUUUGUAACUUAUUUUUUGUUCUUUAUUCCAAUUAUGGUCUUUCUAUUCAUUGUCUUUGACACAAUAAUGAAUAAAUUUUCUUUUGUUCAUUCGAAAGUACGGCAUUGCAUCUUUCACUUCUAGCAGGAAUUAGAAAUGGAAGAUUGAUAGAUUUCACUAAAAAUGAUAGCUAGCAGUUGGUACAAGAUUGAUAGAUUUCACUAAAAAUGAUACCUAGCAGUUAGUACAAGCCGGAAAAUGGUGAUCAGUAGAAGAACUAACAGAGUGGCGCUGGCAUGUACAAAGUUUGAUUUUAGUCUCUGUAAUAUAUUUUUUUUAAUUACUAUUAACGGGAGGGGGAGGUUCAAAACUAUUCCAAUAAUUUGAGGGAGAGGGGGUUUCGAGCCCUGGACGCAUAGGUGGAAAUUCAACGUCCUAUUACUAGGAUAUAUUGGACCACAUGCAGGUAUUACAUGGGUGGAAAUUCUAACCCCUUGUCCCUGUAGUAGUUUCAAUUGUCGCGUUUCUAAAGAGAUGCUUUACCUUCCGGGUGUUACAUUUGCACGAAUCACAUUGCAUCUGUCAUUUGUGUAGUUCCAACUUUGCAGUUCGUUCACCUGCCAGGUACGAGUUCGCUGGAUGUAACCAUAAAAAUGGCCUGCGAUAUGGAACAUCAUACAACUAAUUUCGAAUCGACUCUUCAUUAUUUCCUCUAUUUGAAUUGUAACAUUACAAAGAUUUGUCUUGGAACAUAAUUAGUAUAUAAUGUAGCAUCUCUGAGAGAGCUGCCCUGUAUCGACGACGUCAAUGGUCUACUCUUUAAUUAGAAGUGCCUUUAAGAUGACUUCACUCAUACCAUCUGCAGCUGGCAACAAAUGUCCACCACCUGGUAACUCAUGGUAGUGAAUCCAUGGAAGCUUUCCUGCAAUAUAGCGUUGCAGCUCAACUGAGACAAACUUAUCUUCAUCACCCUGCCAUAAAUGGACCGAGCCUUCGUUGUUGACAAAAGGGUUCUUCAGAUCCGUAGGAUCAAAUUCCCAGCUCCCAAAUCCAACUAUGAUGUCGCGAAAGAUGGACUCAGCUUCUCCUUGCUGUGUGGCAUGUUCCUGCCCAAACAAAUAACAAAACAAACAAAAAUCAUCAACGCUGCCGAGUUUCUAUAAAAUCGUAAACAAUUAGCGAUCGAAUAAGGAAAGUACCUUGUGCUUUUCUCUUCCAGAAACCUUUGCAUUCCUAAUGGUUUCCCAAUCUUGGCGGGAAAGCAGAUUCUCUACUUUCCCGGAUAAAACGCUGUGUUUAGGAAAGAAAUUCUGAGUGUUCCACCAGUAGGUUAACCAAGGUAUAUAGUGAGCAGCUCGAAGCGCCCAUUGAUCCUGUGGAGCUUGCUUCUUAUAGGCAUAAGAUGACAGGUUGGCAGGAAGUCCUGGCCACCAGUAGUUGAUCGCAGGAGCGAUCAGUGCUGCUCCAGCUAGCCUGUUGUAACAGGCAUCCCAAACAUAUCGAACUUUAGAGAGAAAUUUCAGUAUCGAACGAUGCAUCAUCAGGUAACGAGGCUGCUUGCAAAAUCUUACCUAUGAGGGAUGUACUGAAGACACUUCCAGAUGACCUGUCCUCCCAUUGAGUAUCCAAUCACAUAAAAUUUGGAUCCGAGUUCCAGCUGAUCACCAAGCUCCUCUAUAUCUAACGCCAAGCUCUUCGUUGUUCGCUUAGGAUCUGGAUCACUUUCACCGUGCCCUGGUCUGUCGAAAGACACAAUGUACACACCUAAAUCUUCAAUAACUUCCUGAGGAAAGAAAAAAAAAACACCCACCACGAAAUCAACCAAUAAAGAGUUGAACUGAAAAAUGGCAAAGAAUCAAGCAGGGCAGUACCGGAGAGACGGCUGUUGCAAUGAUUGGAUCAUGUCGGGGACUAAAGAAGGGAUGAACAAAGAUAAUCUUGUACUUGGCCACUUGUUUUGGAACACCAUGUUCCUUGUAGGCCAAAUAUCUUCCAUCCCUUAGCCUUAUUCUAGGUGCUGUGACGGGUGGACCGCCAGGCGAACCACAGAUGUUCGGAGGUGGUGGUCGGGCGGCCUGAUAUGCCCACGCCAGCAAUCCAACCAACAAGAUGAAUGUGAUCCUCUUAAACAUGUUUGAGAAAAUGGAAAGUAUGAAACUUUGCUCACCUGCAGUAAAGAAGCAAAUAUAAAAAUAACAUUACACUUGAGGACAUCAUUGUAUAAUAAGUUUUAAGGUGCUUUUAGAUUUAGGUAAAAAAAAAAAAGUUGUUUUGAGCGUGAGUACAGUAAUCUAAUUAACUGUUUUUAUACCAAUUUUACCUUUUUAGAUAAUAAUAUUUAAAUUCUUUAACUGGAGAAAACAAUUCCUAAGUAUUAAAAUAGAAAAUCGAUCUACGUGGCAAGCAAUCAAAUGAUCAUAUCUUUGAAAUUAAAUAUACACCUUUUUCGUAGGUAUAAAAACAUUAUAAUACAUUUUGAGAAAGGAGAUGAUGAUAUGUGAGAGAAAAGAAAGAUUCGAAGAUGUUUGAAGUUUGAAACGUAAGGCCAUCUCCAACCGAAGGGUCUAGAGGGCCAGAGGGUCGAAAAUAGCCCUAAAACCAUCUCCAAACGAGGGCUAGGCCAGAGGGCUCUGGAAUCUGGGAGGGCCCCAUGGGAUCGGAGAGGGCUGGAGGGCUGGAGGGCUGGCUGCUUUCGGCCAGCUAGCCAGCCCCGGGCUGGCUUAUUUUUUUUUUAAUGUUUUCUAUUGCUGUCGGUUUUAACUGACAGCAUUAAACAGGUUUUAUUUUUUUUUAAUAGUUCUACUAUUAGUGUCGGUUAUAACCGACACUAAUAGUUUGAAUGUUUUUUAAUACAAUGGCUAGUAGCCGUUGUAUUAUUAGGCCUUUUUUUUUUUUUUAAACUUUUUUUUUCCCUUUUUUUUUCCUUUUCAUAUUAAUCAAAUUUUGUUUCAUAUUUUUUUUCAAUUCUAUUUUACAAAAUUUGUUUCAAUUUUUUUUUAAAUUCUAUUUUUUUCCUAUAACUUCUAUUUUACAAAAUUUGAUUCAUAUUUUAUUUCCUAUAACUUCUAUUUCACAAAAUUUGUUUCAUAAUUUUUUUCAAUUCUAUUUUUUUCCUAGGCCAUUUAUACAACAUUAAAUUAAAUUAAGUAACAUGAAACAACAUUAAACAAUAUGAAAUAACAUUAAAUAACAUUAACCAACAUACAAAUUAUACAAUUAUGUUUGGCCCUAGCCGUUAGAUUUGAAUUUAAAUUGUAGUUUUUAAAUAAUAAAUUAUGUUUGGCCCUAUGGCCCUUUGGCCCUCGGUUGGAGACGGUUUUUUGUGACAGGGCUAAAACGAGCCAUCUGGCCCUCUGGCCCUCGGUUGGAGACGGAGGCAAAUAUGGCCAUGUACUGUUCAUUAAAAUAUUAAUAUCUUGGAGAAUCUUGGAGGGCCAGAGGGCUAAAACGAGCCCUCUGGCCAGCCAUCGGUUGGAGAUGGCCUAAGGAACAAAAACACAAAGAUACAACAAAAUGAGUUGAUUAAAAAGAAAACAAGAAAUAAAAGAGAAUGCUUCCAUGGUGCUUUGGUGCCACCUGUCUCGUAUUUGUUGGGUUAGUUGGAGUGUUUUAAUCAGACUUGACCAAACGAGAUUCAAUGAGGGGAAUUCAUUUCUACAUUUAAGAACAAAGCAGUAGCAGAUGCCAUUCAAAAACGAGAAGGAAAAACGAAAAAAAGAAAAAAAGAAAAGGAAUUUUUUUGUUUACUAUUCUAAAGUGAUAGUGAUUCUCACUACUAUAUUUAUUAUCGUAAAAUAAGUUUAAAUUUUAGAUAUGUGUAGUAAAUAGAUACAGAUCUUAAAUUUUAAACUCAUCAAAUGAUGGUAAAUAGAGUUGUGAGUAUUAUCAUCACUUAAUAAUGAUGAUUCGUGAGCAAAAAUGCACCCGAAAAGAAAUUAUGAAGAUAAAACGAGCAGUGAGAAGUAGGUCGGGGAAGAGAUUUAAUUCCUAAUCACUGAAUUUAUUUCAACAAGUAAACUAUUCUUAAUAAUAGUUCGAAAAACUAGACUUAUAGUAAGUUUUCUCGAGUUUUUUAAUUUGCUACUUCCCCUCAAUUGAUGAAAGGUUAUUUAAAUAAAACAACAACCAGAAAAAUGGACAAUCUAGUAUAAAGAAAACAAAUACACACACACUUUACUUUUAUCGAAAACAAUAUUACAACAUCAAAACUAUAAGAUGCGGAUUUUAAUAUAUAAGAGAAACACUGUUCUAGCUAAUUUGAUUAUACUAAUUGUUCCUGUAAACGCACACAAUCAAUAAAUAAGUUGCAAAUUAAAGGAUGCACUCCAUUGUUUAACCAAAACCACAAGAAAAGAAAGCAUAAAAAAUCAUACUUGCUAAUGUGGUUUUUUGGUAAAAACUUACCACCAACGCUCCUCCCUCUGUGAUAAUAAUAAGUUUAUGCAGAAGAAAAUGGCAGAAGCCAGGCUCAGUGAGCAGCUGCUUUUAGCUUUUGUGUGGUUGUUAAAUUACGUGAAGGAACCCACCUUCACCUAAUUCACGGCUCGUUUCUUGUCUAGGACUGGCUUGACUUAGACAAUCUGCUGGAUUUUAAAGAAAAAAAAAAUAUGAAUGCCAGAUAUUUUGUCAAAGUGACGAACGUAGAUGGAGACGCGAAGAAAAAUUGUCCAUCUUUAUCUUAAACUUUUUGUAAAGAUUAGGAGGAAUAAGUUUUGUUGGUAAUUUUAAUGAGAUAUUUGUCGAUCUCCUUCGAACUUGUAAAAAGUUGCUAAAUUUCUGUAUAAACUUUAAUUUUAGUCGAUUACUCACCUAAAUUGCUAUAAUUAGCCAAAUUUUCCCUUAAUGUUAGAUUUUGGAAUUUUUCUUCUAUUUUGACCACAACAAAUGUCUGAGGACAAUAAAGUAAUUUUAUUUCUAAUGUGGACAUCAAUUUGCUUUUUGUUUUUUCCUUCUCCACUUCCUUGAUGCUUUUUGUUUUUUCCUUCUCCACUUCCUCGACGCCGUUCACUGUCUGUUCGAAUUAGUAGCUGCAAAGUAUUAGCUUUGCACCCAAUUUAUCAAAACAAAAUUACCUUUUUAUCUUCAUACAAUUGUCAUGUAUUGUUUGCGUGACCAAAACAGAGGAAAAAAUUUAAAAUCUAACAGGGAAAAAUUAGCUAUUUAUAACAGUUUAAAAUAAUAAUCAGUUAAAAUUAUAUUUCAAAACAAAGAUUAACAGUUGCAUAAAAGUUCGGAGGCAAAUCAAGAAAUAGGUUAAUUUUAAUUAAUGGCAUAUUAUAAGUAACAAAUCCUUGUGGUAUUUGGUAGUUGGUAUUGCGUACCACCUAACACAACCACACAGAAAAAUGCAUCCAUUGGUGGCCAUGGUUCGCAGCCUUCCUCUUCACUUUUAUUCUUUUUCUCUAUUGGGUUGGGAUUUUUAUGAGUCAGCACUGAACAGGCAGGCAGGGGUGGUUGUUGGUUAGUCCAAUCCAAAAGUUGGAGGAAAAGACUUGGCUAAUGAAGAAUUCAGCAGCAGAUUCUGCUUACAACUAAUCUGGCUGGAGACAUGUCCAAUUUUUGUUAAAAAAAAUUAAAAUUUAGACACGUGUCUAAUCGGGAUUGGCAGUAAGCAGGACCUGCUGCUGAAUUUGCAGCAGCCAAGUCCAGUUCAAAGUUGGAGGCUACUCAACAACACGACAUAAAUAAUAGACGACAUAAAAGACAAGUCUAUAUGCGGGGGCUGUUAGUUGUCCUAAUAAGAGUAGACAAAGGCUAAUGGAUUUCUCAGAUAAUCACAGUUUAACAUCAAUUGUCGUCUGAAUAUUAUAAAAUAUUAUAUAAAAAACAUGAGGUAUAGAGAGUUCAUUGAAAAUCUCACUCUUGAGAGUCCUUUAUCAUUUCUAUAAGAUUUUGGUUACAACCGUACCAUUGGAGCAUCUCCAAAAAAAAGAUAAUGUAUAAUUUCUAUAAUGUAGCAUCUCUGAGAGAGCUGCCCUGUAUCGACGACGUCAAUGGUCUACUCUUUAAUUAGAAGUGCCUUUAAGAUGACUUCGCUCAUACCAUCAGCAGCUGGCAACAAAUGUCCACCACCUGGUACCUCAUGGUAGUGAAUCCAUGGAAGCUUUUCGGCAAUAUAGCGUUGCAGCUCAACUGGGACAAGCUUAUCUUCGACUCCCUGCCAUAGAUGGAUCGAGCCUUCGUUGUUGACAAAAGGGUUCUUCAGAUCCGUAGGAUUAAAUUCCCAGCUCCCAAAUCCAACUAUCAUGUCGCGAAAGAUGGACUCAGCUUCUCCUUGCUGCGUGACAUGUUCCUGCCCAAACAAACAACAAAACAAAACAAAAAUCAUCAACGCUGCCGAGUUUCUAUAAAAUCUUAAACAAUUAGCGAUCGAAUAAGGAAAGUACCUUGUGCUUUUCUCUUCCAGAAACCUUUGCAUUCCUAAUGAUUUCCCAAUCUUGGCGGGAAAACAUAUUCUCUGGUUUUCCGGAUACAACGCUGGAUUUAGGAAAGAAUUUCUGAGUGUUCCACCAGUAGGUUAACCAAGGUAUAUAGUGAGCAGCUCGAAGCGCCCAUUGAUCCUGCGGAGGUUGCUUCUUAUAGGCAUAAGAUGACAAGUUGGCAGGAAGUCCUGGCCACCAGUAGUUGAUCACCGGAGCGAUCAGCGCUGCUCCUGCUAGCCUGUUG
RNAcentral lists this long non-coding RNA (151346 nucleotides) under Malus domestica (apple). Lineage: Eukaryota; Viridiplantae; Streptophyta; Magnoliopsida; Rosales; Rosaceae. The record is from RNAcentral.